RNAcentral lists this long non-coding RNA (115587 nucleotides) under Olea europaea (common olive). Its description in RNAcentral is "long non-coding RNA (OEUR_LNC002029)". The record is from RNAcentral. Lineage: Eukaryota; Viridiplantae; Streptophyta; Magnoliopsida; Lamiales; Oleaceae.
UAAUUUUUGUUUUCAUGAUUCGUUACAUGUUGGGAAAUUAAAUUAUUAAUAUCAUAUAUACACACAUGCAAUAAAAAGAUUGUAACAUGCUUGUUCUCUUAUGCUUCGAAGCAAGUCAAAUAUACUUUUUAGUUAGUUAUGAUUUUUAAUGGUACUUUUUUACUAACAAAAUUUUCUUUGACAUGACCAAAUAUGAAUAUGGUGCAUGAAAAGUUUAUGUUUUCUAAUGUGAACAUGCACCUUACACAUUUAAGGUUACAUUUCAUAUUUUUUCGGGCUGAGGCAGAUGUGUUCAACAAAUUCAAGGACAGCCAAGGAAAAUUUGAGGAUUCUUUGAUUAGCGAUGUACCAGGGCUGUUAAGCUUGUAUGAGGCUGCACACUUUGGAGUACACGGGGAGGAAAUUUUAGAAGAAGCAUUGAAGUUUUCUGCCACUCACCUCAGAUCCUCGAUCCACCAGGCGAGCAAUUCUCUCUCUAGACAAGUUAGUGACGCAUUGGAGAUGCCAAUUCAUAAAACUUUGACAAGGCUCGGAGUUAAGAAAUUCUUGUCCAUUUACCAAAAAUCAGGUGAUGACGUGCUCCUGAAUUUUGCGAAAUUAGACUUCAACAUAGUGCAGAAGAUCCACCAGAAGGAGCUAAGUGACAUUACAAGGUUAGUUUGUUUUGUGAAGCUUUACUACUUGCACUUAUACAUCUGAAAAAUUGCUAAAAUUCUACUUUUGGAUAAGAAUUACAGGUGGUGGAAGGCUUUAGAUUUUGGGAAAAAAUUGUCUUUUGCAAGAGAUAGGCUGGUGGAAUGCUACUUUUGGAUAUUAUGUGUCUACUUUGAGCCUCAGUACUAUCUUGCAAGGAAAAUUCUAACCAAAGUUAUCGCCAUGACUUCUAUUAUUGAUGACAUCUAUGAUGUUUAUGGGACCCUAGACGAACUUCAACUUUUCACAGAUGCAAUUGAAAGGUGAAUUUAUUCUACUGUCUAGUUUUGAAUUAUUCUUUGUAUCUUAUUAUCUAAUAGCACAUUAUUUAUAUUGAAAUAUAUAGUCAAACAGAUUUAGAUUUGAUAUUGAAUAUUUUUGUGAGCAGGUGGGAUUUUAGUGCCAUGGAUCAGUUACCAUCAUACAUGAAACAUUUUUACAAAUCUCUUUUAGAUGUUUAUCUCGAAGCGGAGAAAGAUUUAGAAAAGAUAGGAAAAUCGUAUAGUGUUCAGUACGCGAUUGAUGAGGUAAACAAUAUUGAUAAAGUUGCUUGACUUUUAUCAAAAUUACAUCCUAUAUAUCUAAUCAAAGUUUCAAUUUACAGAUGAAAAAAUUAGUCCGAGCUUAUUUCAAAGAGGCAAAAUGGAUAUACAACGGAUAUGUUCCAACACUAGAAGAGUAUAUGAACGUCACACUAGUAUCUAGUGCUUACAUGAUGCUAUCUACAACAUCUUUAGUAGGUAUGGGAGAACUGGUAACUAAGGAAGCCUUUGAUUGGAUUUCAAGUGAACCAUUAUUAGUACGUGCUUCAUCAAUAAUCUGUAGACUAAUGGAUGACAUGGUGGGAUAUGAGGUAAGAAAUCCGAAUUCUUAGUUGGCUUUAUUCUAUAUUACACAAGUUCAUCACACAGGUUUUUUGUUCUCAUGGCUGUCAACAUAUGAGAAAAAUGUAAUAGCCUGCUCAGCAUUAGAUAAAAAAGUUUUUUUGUUGCGUUACUUGUCUGCAGUACGAGCAAAAAAUUGCAUCAGUUGAAUGUUACAUGAAAGAGACAGGGUCUUCAAAAGAAGAUGCAUUUGCUGUAUUUCAAACACAAGUCAUGAAUGCGUGGAAGGAUAUAAACCAAGAAUGCCUUAAUUCAGAUGCAAUACCAAUGGCUGUUCUCAUACGAGUAGUCAAUCUUACACGUGUCAUCAAUCUUCUAUACAAAGAGAGUGAUGGAUACUCAAAUUCUACAGCUAAGUUAAAAGAUUUUGUAACAUCGACACUCAUACAACCAGUGACAAUAUCCAAUUGAACGCAGUAACUGCAUGGGCUACUUCCAUUUUAAUGUAUCACCAUAUUAUCAUCCAUAUUUAGUGCCGUGUUGUCAAAUUCUAUGACACAAUAUUAGGUCUUGGUUAAGGUUAUUCAAAAUUGAAUUUCCUUGCAUGUAACUGAACAUUAUAUCUACUGGAAAGCCCUUUGAGUAGUUAAAAACUUUGUAUUUGUCUUGUCCAAUGUUCUAAAUAGUGAUAUUAAUGAUUAAAGUUUUUUACAAUCCCAAAUAACCCAUAACUAUCUAAUACUAUAUAUACCGAACCAAAUUUCGUCCCAAAAGAGUGUUGAGCCAUUAUUCAUUAAAGUGGACAUCCUGAUAAAGAUCGAAUAUUGAUUCUAUAUUUCUCUUGCCUCACCCAGAAGAUAUAAACAACGAGACACCAAAAUAUAAAAAAACACCAAUAAACCUUUGCCAAAUAUCUUUUAGAGUUUUAUAGAUCCAGAGAGGUGACUGGGGUUAUGGUUUGUGAAGAACGAGUUUGUUCGUAGCAAUACACUUGGAGAAAAGAAGUUCUGAGGUUCUGGAGUUGGUGCUAGAGAACACAAUCGAGGAGUUCUAUAGUGAUUACAUGUUGGGGGGUUAGAGUUUACUGAGGUUCAGUUAUGUCUAAACCAAUACUGUAAGUUCAAUAUUUUCUAGUGAAUUAUUUACUGGCACAUGUGCUUGGAUGUUUUUUCUAUUGAAGAGUUCUCCAAGAUUUUCCCUUUGUAAAUAAUUAUUGGUGUUCUUUAUUUUACAGCUUCGAUAUUUACGAUUGAUUUAUUACUAGGGUUUAAAUUGAGUCAUACCUAGUUUAUUACAGGAGUCAUAUCAUUAAGAAUAAUUUGUAUAAAGAACUGUAGUUCAAUUUCCAAAUGUUAUAAGCCCAUAUACUAUCUCAUACUUAAUUGAUAUGGGAUUUUCGUUGCACUUUCCCAAUAAUUUGAACCCACCUGUCGACUUCAAAUGCUCCAUUAGAAUUUGUCCCAUCUGGAAAUCUUGUUAGCAUGCUUCAUGUUUUUAGGUACUUAAUUAGUUACUCCCAAAAAAAAAAAAAAGAGUAUUUCACACACCACGGUAUUUUAUUUUAUUUUAUUUAUUGCAGAUUAUUGAUUUGAAUCCCCUUUAUUGACUUUGUCUUUUAUUUGUUAUAAUUUAUAAUGAGACAUUUUUAAGAAUAUCCAAUUUUAAGGGUAUGAGUUGAAAAGUGUCCGUUUAUUUGAAUUUAGUGACAACUUGUCUAUUAUGCCCUUAAUAAAAAGUUACAUUUUGAAAUGGUAUUCUCCACAUUUGAUUUUUUUAUCAAUUUUUCAUUAAUUUUAAAAAGUGGCUUCCAUGAGAAUCUACAUUAAAAUAAUAUUUCUUGACAUUUUAUAUGUCAUUCUCGACAUUUCAUAUGUCAUUCUUGACAUUUGAAUACUGUUUCAUUUGUCUAGAAUGAAAUUUAAUUUUGAAUAUAACAUUUCUCUACAUUUAAAAAUGUCGUUCUUGACAUUUCUAAAUCAAUAGCAUUUAUUGUGAUUUGACAUGUAUACUUUUUAAAAUAAAUAUGACAGGUUAUGUGUCAAAAUUUUAUUGGCCAAUAACAAUAUUGCAAAAAUGUCCAUUCUUUUGUCUUAAUGUAGAAUUAUAAAUUGUUAAUAAGGGUAUUUUGGUCUAAAUUCUUCGAAAUUAGACAUUUUUGCAAUGGUGGGCAUUUUUGCAAAUGACUAGGUAAAAAUGGACAUUUUGUGAAAUUUUCUCAUUUAUAAUUCAAUACGUAGUAUAUUAAUUUUGUUUUAUUAGUAGGUUAAAAACGUGUAAAUUCUAUGUUUCAAAUCCAACUAAAAGAAUUAGUCAAUUUUGCAAUUUGAAUUCAAGAUUCAACUAGUAUGCAAUAAAAUAACGCUUGAUUAUUUUAAUUAAAUAUUGUUGAACAGAAUCAGUAUGAUAAUCGACCUUCAUGGCAAGGUCACUGUCAAGUUAGAAGGGGCUGGAAGCCCCCUCCCAGGAUGUCUGGGUAGAGUCUUUGGACCAAGGAUGGUUUAGAAAUUUACACUUGAAAUUUAGAUUUUAUUCUAGUUUUAUCUAUAAAUAGAGAACCAUCAUUAGAGUUUUGUAAUCAUCAUCAAAAGAAAGAUAUUAGAGAAAAAAAGGGUAUGGGAUUUUUCUCUUAUACAAUUCUUUUCAAUAAAGUGAAUAAUCGGCAGAAGAGCAUGUAGUCUCACAUUGAAAUGGGCCUCUAUAAAUUUUACGUGUUCUUGUGUCUAUUUUCUUUCUACAAUUUUAUUUCUCUCGAUGAUGUAAAAUUAAAAUUUAUAAUUAUCAAUUAUUGCAACUUUUUAUCAACUAUUUUUAGUGAUCGAAAAGCAGAUAACUGAUACGUGGUCAAGACUUUCUAGGCCUACAUAUAUUAGUCUUCAAAUUAAAACGAGCACACAAUUGAGCUUUGUCUUUUUGGAGAAUGGAAAGCAAAUACAUUUUCAUUUUGUGGUGUUUGUGUUGCACAAUGGUACUGGUUGUCCGUCUACCUAAAUGCUUCAAUUUACUUGUGGGAUACUGAAGAAAAAAAAUAUGCACAUUGCAAUAAAAUAUAAAUUUUGUCUUGCAUAUUAAAAUAUUUUAAGCUUUAAAACGCUUGGACAGGAAAUACUUUCUCAUAAAGAACAAGAAAAAAACUACGAGAAGAGGUAAAUAAUUUUUUGCAGGAAAUGUUAAAUCAAAUAAGCACUAUGAGUUCCCUAAUUGUAAACCAAAUAAUCACUAUGACUUCCCUAUGAUAUUAAAAGCAUUUACAUCCAAAAUUGAUUGGACCUAGGGCAUAACACAUACAGUGUCAUGCAUAUUACAAUGUUUUAACCUUUAAAACACGUGGGCAGGAAAUAUUUUCUCAUCAACAACAAGAAAAAGACUUCGAGAAGAAGUAAAUAAGUUGUAGCAGUAAAUGUUAAACCAACCUUUGGACCAAAAUUUCAUUAAGGAUGGUUUAGAAAUUUACAAUUGUAAUUUCGAUUUUAUUCUAAUUUUAUGUAUAAAUAGGGAACCAUCAUUAGAGUUUUGUAAUCAUUAUACAAAAAAAAAAAAAAAAAAAAGGAUAUUAGAGAAAACAGGGUUUGCGAUUUUUCUCUUAUAAAUUUCUUUUCAUUAAAGUGAAUCAUCUGUAAAAGAGCAUGUAGUCUCACAUUAAAAUGAGCCUCUACAAAUUUUACGUGUUCUUGUCUGUCUAUUUUCUUUCUACAAUUUUAUUUCUCUCGGUGAUAUAAAUUAUUGCAACUUUUAUCAAUUGUUUUUAGCUAGCGAAAAGCAGAUAACUGAUGUGUGUUCAAGACUUUCUAGGCGUACAUAUCUUAGUCUUCAAAUUAAAAACGUGCAAUUGAGCUUCGUCUUUAUGGAUAAUGGGAAGCAAAUAUAUUUUCAUUUUGCCGUGUUUGUAUUGCACAAUUGUGCUGGUGGUCCAUCUACCUAAAUGCUUCAAUUUACUUGUGGGAUACUGAAGAAAAAAAAUAUGCACAUUGCACUAAAAUAUAAAUUGUGCCAUGCAUAUUAAAAUGUUUUAAGCUUUUAAACACUUGGGCAGGAAAUAUUUUCUCAUGAAGAACCAAAAAAAAAAAAAAAAGACUACAAGAAGAGGUAAAUAAGUUGUUGCAGGAAAUGCUAAACCAAAUAAGCACAAUGAUUUCCCUAACUACAAACCAAAUAAUCACUAUGACUUCCCUAUGAUAUUUAUGGUAUCCUAGAUGAAUUUUCACUUUUUCUCGAAGUGCAAUUACAACAAAAACAGCUUUUUGUAACGUUUAAAAAACGUUGCCGAAGACCUUUGCAACGUUUGGAUGUAUGUUGCAAACCGCAAUGUUGUCGUAAAAUAGAAGGAUAUGCUAGAGUUUUUUGAACAUUGCUAAUAAUGUUUUUGCAACAUUUUUUGAACAUUAUGAAAAACGUUUUUGUAGCAUUUUUUGAAUGUUGUCUAGACUUAUAUCCUUAUUUUUUGCAACAUUUAUUGAACAUUGCCGUUUAAAUUUUUUUUUUUUUUUAACAUAUUUCAAACUCAUUUCACAAGUCUUUAAAUUUAUUUAUACACUAGAAUCAUCUCAUUCUAGUUCUUAACAAAAUUUCUUGAACUCUUGCAAUUUGUUUGGAGAAGACAUUCAUAGACGGGCUCCAGCUUCUGCUAUGACUUGGGCUCCGAUUCCUGUUUCAAGUCCUCACUGGAGAAUGGGCCACACCAGGACUUUGACUGCGGCUUCUGUAGCCAUUGGGCGAACUGCCUCGCACUGGACUUUGACUGCGGCUCCUCGAACCAUAAUAGGGUGGAGAACGUUUCCUUACUGGUGAAUGUGAGAAUGACCUUUCUCUACCGUAUCUUCGCUCCCUCGGGGACAUAGACCUGCCAAACUCAUUAGCAGGUAGCAACUUAUUAAUUCCAAAAGAAAAAGAGUGACCAUAUCAAAUAAAUAAUAAAAGAGAUGAAAAAGAGGAGAAAUUAUAUUAUAACUUGAGUAUCUUCUUCUAGGAAGAGGUGAAUAGUAAUCACGGCUAUGAGAUGUGGACCUCUAGUAGCGUGUAGGUGGAGAAUGAGAAUAACGAGGAGACCGUCUCCGGUCAUAAACAUUAGCUCUGCAACAAAUAGGAAUCAAAACAAAGAAAUGGAUAGUCAUCGAGGAACUUGACUUACAACAGAUUGUCCACCCAAUUUAAAGAGAAGUAUCAAAGUUCCACAACUAAUUUUUAGCUAUAAAGCAAACUGAAAAUGUAUAGUAAAAAAGUGAACAUCUUUAAAUUAAAAAGAUAAAUGUAUGAACAAACUUUACCUUCCUCCACGUUCCCCCUCUCUCAUUUCAGUUAGCUUCUUCCUGUUCUCCUUAGCAAAAACAACUGUGAGCUCCCGACCAUGCAGAAUCUGACCGUCCAUCUGAUAUUUAGCUUCAGCAGCAUCAGCAGGGUCCAUAUACUGCACAAAUCCAAAGCCUCGUGGUUCACUGCAAGUAAAGGAGCGUAAGGAAAAGAGAAAGUGAGUGUGGUUGUUUUGCACAGGAGUACGCCAGCCCAAGCGAAAUACUUUUUGAGGGGCGGUUUGAAGAGCUUCACUCCCCAGUCAGCGAUUAAUGAUUUGGCAUGAAUUUUUAAAAUGUCGAUGAAAAGAAACUAAAAAUUCCAGAGGAAGUUGAAAGCUAAAUAUAUUGUUUGCUUAUUGGAAAAACUAGAUAAAAAAACUCGAUGGGGAGAUGUCGACGGGAGCAUUUGUUUACGUAUUACUUUGUUAGAAUUGGGUGGUAUGAAUCCUGCUUGAGUUCGAUGACCUCCCCCCUCGAUGGAGUAACUAGUGGAUUCACAGAUCUGGCUUUCAACUACGUCAUAAUCUUCUGAAACAAGAGGCCUCUCUAUGUCAUCAACCUAUGCAAAUGACAGUGUAAAGAGGUUGCACGAGGAAAUAAAAAAUAGCACAAGGAAAGACCAAGUCACUCAUCUUUUGAAAAGAAGAGGGGGCAAUUAUGCCAAAAGAUUCAAAAUUACCAAAAUGGUUUGGAAGAUCGAGAACAAAUCACUCAUCUUUUGAAAUUGCAUAAGAAAGAUAAGCUAAAAUCGUGUCCAUUGUACUCUUAGUCCUAAGUAGACAUGACAAGAAGAACUAACACAUACAAAUCAGAAAGGGUCUAAAACAGAAAUUGGGCAAACCAAUGGAAAAAAAGCACGCAAGCAGUCUGUAUGCACUCCUUUUUUACUCACACCAUUUAAAAACACGUCAAAUAACUAUAUACUUUCACAUUUAACCAUAGAUCAAAACACAGAAGAUCGUUGAUCAAACACCAAAACCUACCUUCGCCAACUAAAUUUCAGAGUUACUGGAGUUUUGGGAAGAGAUGCUUGAAGUUCCGAUGCUGCAGAGAAAGGUUCCAUUGGAAGAACGAGAUUAGUUCUCGGAGAUCCAUAGAAGAUAAAUGAUACCAGGGAUUGAGAGUUGUUUUGAGGAGGAAGUAAUCUAGGAGGGCCAAAUUGAUUACAUAAAGAAGGUAAGAGGAAUUAAAAGUUAGUCGGGUCUGGACCAUAAUAUAAGUCUCAACGCUUAUAGUGGAUUGUUAACUAGCAAAGUGCCAUGAGCUUUUACCUAGUUGGGAUUUUUCUGUGAUCAUCUUUGGUGUUCUUUACUCAUUAGAUAUUAAUCGUGAUAUUCAAACUUAGGAUAAAUUGACUUAAUUGACCUAAUCAUCUAGAAACACUUAAAAAGUGACUUAUUACUUUUAAUUGUGUGAUUCUGCAUAUUGGGUCUAAAUAUUCGACUAAUUAGAACUUUCGAAUAGUAUCAGAGCUUAAUUGCGAUCCUUGACCUCAAUUUGUCUAGAUUUGUCAAUCAAUUUUGGACUCCGGAUAUGAGUUUGAUAUGGAAAUUAAGGAGGUUUAUGACCAAUUGUUUGAGAAGUACCCUAAGUUGAAAAAAGUGAAUCGCUCUACCUUUAAAAAAUUGAAUAAUCUUGAAUUAGAAAAGGAGAGUCUUCUAGCCAAACUUGAGGAAUAUAUUAGAAGUUUGAAUGAGUUAAGAGUUAAGAAAGAGUCCUUAGAUGUUAAGGAUAAAUCUCUUAUGAUUGAUCUGGAAAAAUCAAAUACCCAGCUCUAAUCUUUUCCUGGGGGAUCUAAGAAAAUUAAUAACAUGAUAGGUUUGAAUAAAAUAAUUGGGGAUAGAAGAGGUGUGGAGUUUAAUGAAACAAAUUCCCAUACCGCUUCUUCCUUGAAAUAAGCUUGUACAAACCUUGAAGCUUAAGGUUCAAAACUUGAAAUUUGAAGUUGCUCCUAAGUUCAUCCCUACAUGCCAUCAUUGUGGUAAGGUAGGACACAUAGACCUAAGUGUUGUGAGCUCUUGAAUAGGAAUGAGACGAAAAAAUAUAGGUGUUCGAUGACCGAAAUCACCGGUACAACUUAGGUUUCCUCCACCCAAGGUUCAAAUUUUGAAAUCUAGGAUUGUUCCUAAAUUCAUUUCCACAUGUCAUAAUUGUGGUGUUUUAGGUCACAUUAGACGUAAUUGUUGUUAGCCCUUAUUUAGGUACAAUAAUCAAGAUUUAACUACUUGAGUUACUUUCUCGAUUGUCUAAGUGAAUCACUUGACUAAGUUGAUGACUAAAUUGACUAAUAUUACAUCUUCUUCUAAGAAGAUUUGGGUCAAGAAGAGUGAACUCACUAGUCUAAGUGAUGUUGAUAAUUGUGAUAUUCCUCACAUGCCCUUCAUCGUAAGAGCAUUUGUGUGCCUCAUUGAUUAGGCAUUUAGGUGCAUCUAUUUGCAAUUUUCAUGAUAUCUAUAUAUUCAUGCAUGCACAUUCACUUAUUGUAUAUUAUGAGCUUUCUUUUUGCAUGUUUGCUUUAUAAUAAAAAAAUAAAAAACAAUUUUUCUGGACAUAUUGUUUUUCUAUCAAGUACUAGUAAGGUUCAUUAUUGGUAAAUUAAAUUUUCAUUAAUUGGUUUAGAACUUGUUUGGAGUACUUGGUAUAUGUUAUUACAUGUAUCUUAUGCAUUGCACACAUUAGACUCUUGUGAGUAUGUUUUGAUCAUAUGGUUGAGAUUUGGGAUGGCAGUCAUUUGUGUGGUAAAUUGACUUUGAAUAUAGAAUGACUUUUAAUUAGAUUGACCUAAAGUUCUAGUAUAUUCUUCUUAAAAGGAAAAAUUGGUUGAGAUUCAAAAAUUUUGAAAUAUAUGAAAAAGUGAGAUUCAUCUUAUACUCCAUUUUGGAGCCUAUUUGACUUGAGUAAUUAAGUUUGAAAGGUUUCUCAUAAUCUGAUGCCAUAUAGUCAAUUAACUUGGAGUUAUUGGCCUAAAACUAGUUACAGGGACUAUCUUAGCUGCUUAAUGGAGAAGAGAUUGUACACAAAAUAUAAAAGAAAAUGAGAGAAAAAAAUAUGUGCGCUCAUUGAUAAGGGGAGAAAGAAAAGUUAUAUACUGAAAAAUCAAUAUGAGCAUUUUAUUUAUAAGGUCCUAAUAACAUUGAGUUUGAUUAAAUAAGUUGAAGGAUUAUUAAUUCACUAGUGAUUUUUGUAUGUCCUUUCUAUUGAUUUAAGGUUUUGAAACUUGCUUACAGGAGUUUAGUGGCACUUAUCACACUUGUGUAGCUCAUACAAUUUAAUCCAUUUACGUUUAAAAUAAGUUAUGUGAAAAAAAGUUUACUUUUUUAUAAACUAUGCAUGCAUAAGUAAGCAAAUAACUAUUUAAGAUGAAAAUUCAUAGAAAAAAACAGUUGGUCUCAAAAUUGAACAAUUUUUAUUCUCCUAUCACAUGUUUUUGCAUAAUCUUUGCUUCAUUAUACAUGUGCAUAUUUUUUAUUAAUUCCUCUCUAUGCUUUACAUGAUUAUUACUUGUUUUUCCUUCGUUAUUCGCGACAAAAGAGGGGGGGGGGAGAUGUGCAUUUAGUUCAGAGAGUUGAUUACAUGAGUUAGGGAGAGAAUUUUAAAAAAUUGAAUUUUUUUUUAUUGAUAGAUGACUUAGGGAGAGUCAUUUGAUGUAUUUGCUGGAAUUUUAAUAUUGAUAUUGUAUUGUUUAUUGUCUAUAUUGAUAUAAAACUCUAUGGUUUAUUUCUAAGUUUAUAGUUCACAUGAUAUUGCUUGCUUUGAUAUUGCACAUGUUUUAUUAUGAUGUUUUAUGUAACUUAUUUAUAUGAUUUUAGUUGUUAGUUUCCUCUUACUUUUCACGUGGUAUUGUGGUUUCUAUGUGUUUUAGGAAACAGGUCGACAACUUGCUGAAGUGUAGUCUAGAAAGUGUCUAUUAUGGAGAUUGUAGUGGACUUUUGACUUUGGAAUAAAUGAUUUUGUCACGAAAUGUCAAAGUGGGAGAUUGUUAAGUCCAAAUUGUAAUUGACAAUUCCUAAGUGAAAAUCAAGUCCUAGUUGAAUUGUAUUAGGUGUUUAUCGAGUUAUAAUCAAAGUUAAAAUAGUUAAAGAAUGAUAGUAUGGGUCUUGAAAGAGUCCAAGAAGAUCAAAUAUGAUCAAGAGAAUGCAAUUAGAAGUCUAAAGGGUAUCAAAUUAAAUAGCCGCACAAGUUAUAUAUGCUCCAAAUUCUUAGUCACAACUUGCAACGCAUUUUUGACAUAGAAGACUUUCAAAUUUGGAGAAUUCUGUUGAAAGUAUUGUAGCAUUUUGAGUCAGCUUUCCAACGCAAUUUGAAUCAUCUUAAUCAAAUAUUGGGAGAGAAAGUUUUGAAGAAAAUAUUGACGAUUGCUCAGCUGUUGCUUGCCUGUCACUAGCCUAGUAUCGACCGAUGAGUCGACAUUCAGAAUUAUGUUUAGCUUCAAACACUUGGUCUGUCAAUCCCUUUUCAUCCCAAACACUUUUCCCUAUAUAUAUCCUACCCUAUGAAUGUCCAAAAGUGUGUUGAAUCAUAAUUUAUCUGUAGAGAUCAGUCCUUUGAAGAUCGAAAACAUUCAUUGAUUUUUAGAUUCAAUUACCAUUGAUUAUUUGAAAAGAAAGAAAAGCACAUAGCCUUUAUGUCAUAUUGAUAAUGUAAAGAGCAAGAGAUUGAAAGUGGGAUGGAGCAGGUUGAUGAUGAACAUCAACAACCUAAUGUUCAGAUUGAAUAUGAGAAUGUUGAAACUCAAACUAAUGGAGGUUCUAAACAUGAGUCUAAGGCUGAUUUGAAAACAAAUCAACUUUUAAUGAUUAUCAACUUACUAGAGAUAGGCAAAAAAGACAUAUAAGACUUACUAUUAGGUUUGAUUAUGAAGUUUUACUCUUAACCUUCCAAAGUUUAAUUGAAAAUGAACCUAAUUCAUUUAAGAAUGUUAUAAGUUGCAAAGAUUCCAAUUAUUCCCUUGCAUUAGUGCAAGAUGAAAUGGAAUCCCUUAAAAAGAUUUAAACAUGGAUUCUAAUUAAAAGACCUAAGGAAAAAUGUUGACUGUAGAUAUAUUUUUAAAAUAAAAAGAGGAGAACAAAAUUAGAAUGACAUAAGAUACAAGCCAGACUUGUAAUAAAAGACUUUACUCAAAAAGAGGGAAUAGAUUUCAAUGAAAUCUUUUCUCCAGUUGUAAAUUUUACAACUAUUAGAAUAAUCUUGGCCUUAGCAAUACAGUUUAACUGAGAAUUGGAUCAAUUGGAUAUAAAAACAACUUUCUUAAAUGAUGAUCUUGAUGAAAUAAUUUACAUGGAAUGACCCAAAGGCUUUGAAGUAAAUCAAAAGUCUGACUUAGUAUGCAUUCUUAAAAAAUCUUUAUAAGGGUUAAAACAAGCUCCAAGAUAACGAUACACUUUUGUGCAUGGACUUGAUUUUAAGAGAAGUAAUUUUGAUACAUGCCUUUAUUGCAAUGAAGGUGUAGGUGAAAAUUCACUUUAUCUACUCCUUUAUGCAGAUGACAUGCUCUUGGCUAGUCAUGAAAUAAAAGAGAUAGAGUUAAUAAAAAGCAAAUUGAAAUCUGAAUUUGAAAUGAAUGACUUAGGUCCUGUUAGAAAGAUUUUAGGUAUUGAAACUAAAAGAAAUAGAAAAGAAUGCACACUAAGUCUCAAUCAGAAAUCUUAUAUUUUGAAACUAUUGGAAAAGUUUGCUAUGUUUGAUUCUAAGAGUGUUAGUUUACCUUUAGCAAAUUAUUUCAAACUUUCAAAUAAAUAAUGUCCUAAAUCUGAAUAAGAGCUUAAGAGAAUGGCAAAAGUGCAAUACUCAAAUGCAGUUGGGUCUGUUAUAUACUUAAUGGUAUGAUCCAGACCUAAUUUGGCAUACUCAACAUAUGUAUUGAGUAGAUAUAUGUCCAAUCCUAGAGAAGCUCAUUGGGAAACUAUGAAAUAGCUUCUUAGAUACAUUAGGAGGACUUAUGAUUUGGGAAUUCAUUUUAGAAAAUAAUCUGAUGGUGUUGUUUUAAAAGGCUACACUGAUUCUAACUAUGCAGGUGAUAGAGAUAAUAUGAAAUCCACUUCUGCCUACAUGUAUACUUUGUGUAAUUUUUGUAUAAGUCGAAAAUCACAAUUUCAAAAGAUUUUUGCUUUAUCUUUUGUUGAAGAAGAAUACAUAGCUGCCACAAAUGCUAUAAAAGAGGGGAUAUGGUGAAAAGGUCUUCUAAAUGAAUUUGACUUUCAAUAAGAUGUUGUUUUAUAUUCUGAUAGCCAAUCUAUCAUUCAUUUAAGUAGAAAUCAUGUAUUACGUAAUAGAUCGAAAUAUGUUUAUGAUAGAUUCCAUUUUAUUAGAGAUGCUAUUACACAAGGAGUUGUGAAACUUGAAAAUAUUUCUACUUAUUUCAACCCUGCUAAUGAAGGUACCAAGGUGCUAUCAUUACACAAAUUUCUGGAUUGUUUUGUUGGAAGAUUAUUAAUUUUCCAUGUGGGCCAACAUAUGCAAUUAAUUGUGUAUAAAGACUAUUUUAAAGUUAAGACAAAAUUAAAAGUGUUCUAAUAAAGAAUUGAGUAAAUUUGGUCUGGGUAUCUAGAUAAAGUGUGUACCGAAUUAUGUAUAGAAACCAGAUUCUUUUAGAAUUGUAUUUCAUGAUGAUCAAAUAUAUAUGAAAACUAUAUAUAAGGUUAUGAUCCCCAAUUCAUAAACAACUUUUCAUUCUUUAUGUCAUCCCAUCAACACAAAAAAAUUAGAAAGAAUGCUUAAUGAAGAGAAAGAUCCAAAAACUAGCCAAAGGAAUUCAAGAAUCAAGAAUAAGAAUUCAAGAAUUUAUAAUCAAGAAUCAAGAUUAAAGAUCCAGAAGGCAAUAUUCAAAUAUUAUAAUUCAAGAUUCAUUAUUCGAGAUACAAAUCAAUGAAUCAAGGUAUGUUCUUCAUUAAUUAUUUUUCUUGGUGAUUCGACAUGGAGAUCUUGACAAUUUUAUAAAGUUUAAAUUUCAUAAAUAUACAACAUGUUUAAAUCUGUUGAAUAUCAAUGCUUACUGUUUGGGCAUCUGUUAAGAGAGCAAAGGAUGUCAUGAUUAGAAGUAAUCACUGUAGAUGAAAUUGGGAUCAUUGUACCAAGAUGAAGAUUGUGAAGAAAGUGGCAUAAUGAUGCAGACUCAUAUGUUGAUUGGAUGAAUGUUUGAUUUGAUGGAUUUGUUAACUCUUCAAAAGUUGGUUGAUAAAGUUGUUUUAAAAUUGGCAAAAAGGGUUUUGAAGAAUGCAAUUUCUUUAGUAGAAGGAAAGCCUCAGAUGUUGCCAAAUGUCAACCCCAAUAGUUGUUGGAUUGGCUGACUUUCUGAUGACUUCUAUAUAUCACAUAUUCAUCUAGAGUUUGAAGAUCAAUUCAUUUUUUCCCUCUCUCUGGCUUUUGAAGUUCUUCGCCUCUUUCUCACUCAAAAAUCUGAAAGUCUUUUGAUAUUUCAUACCCUCUCAAUGUAAUACUUUUCUUGAGUGAUAUGUAUAUUGAAAGUGUUAUGUUGUUUUUGAGUGAACAAUUGUUGUAUUUGAAAGGCUGUUUUGAUGUAAUCUAGAGUGGUUAUAGUCUGAGUGCCCAGAUCUGUAUCCUAGAUAUUUUGGUUCCGUUUUCAUACAGUGGUUUCUUUUGGUGACGGAAGCUCGAAGGGGUUUAUGGUUUUCUUGACUUACGGCAAAAUAAUAUCGAGUUCAUUUUAUAGUUCAUGUAGCUCUUUAUGUUUUCUGUCUUUUAUUGUUGAUUCAAUGAACUAAUCAUUUGAACCUAAUCAUAACAUGCUAUAGCCUUGAUUCGUUCAGCUACAUCCUGAGAAGCACUCUUGUGGUAUUUUUGCCAUUCUUAAGGAUGCAUUCUUCAUUCUUAAUUGAGCCACUUGUGCUGCCUAAUUAAUGAUUUAUUGAUUGAGUUGUGGCCUAAUCGAUCUCUUCGUUUAUUGGGUCGGGGGAAAAAGAUGAGGAGGGCUAGGUUAGGUCUACAAAAAGGUUAGAAUUAUUUAGCCCCUGUUUGGUACUCAUUUUUUGAGCCAAAAAUGCAUUUUUUCCGUCACAUCAGCACACAAUUUUUGACUUCUACACUCUAAUGGGAGAUCCGCGAUAUGAUGUUUAAAAUGCAUUUUCAUCUAAAAAAUGUGAACCAAACGGACUCUUAGGCUGGGAAGAAGAUGGAGGGUGGAUUGAAAAAUGAAGUUUUAAAGAUUUGGGAUUGUGGUUGGCACAUAUAAAAAAAUUGGGCAUAAUUUGUAAAAAAUUAAAAAAUUUGGGUACUGAAACUGCAAAUUUGACCUUUUUUUAAAUUAUUUCUAACUUCUAAAAUANNNNNNNNNNNNNNNNNNNNNNNNNNNNNNNNNNNNNNNNNNNNNNNNNNNNNNNNNNNNNNNNNNNNNNNNNNNNNNNNNNNNNNNNNNNNNNNNNNNNNNNNNNNNNNNNNNNNNNNNNNNNNNNNNNNNNNNNNNNNNNNNNNNNNNNNNNNNNNNNNNNNNNNNNNNNNNNNNNNNNNNNNNNNNNNNNNNNNNNNNNNNNNNNNNNNNNNNNNNNNNNNNNNNNNNNNNNNNNNNNNNNNNNNNNNNNNNNNNNNNNNNNNNNNNNNNNNNNNNNNNNNNNNNNNNNNNNNNNAAAUUGGGGCUUUUUUUUUUUUUUUUUUUCAAUACGUAGGAAAUAUAUCGUACAUAGACAAAUUAAGUUAAGCCUCGCACUAACCAAGUAAAGUUUGACCAAAACCAACUUAGUCAAAUUAUGGUUGGAGAAAAUAAUCACAAAAGAAAUUAGUGCUGUUCGUCGAUAACAUUAAAUCAAGCACAGGGUAGCGGGCAAACAUAUUAAUUUAACCAAACUAAAAAAGGAAAGAAUAAUAAGGUUCAAUCGCUAGUUACAUUAAUUAAGAUGUCUAAAAUCAUGAAUUUGGCAGUCUAACAAAAUUGGAUUUCGUUUUAAAUUGCUCAUAUAAGUUCUUUUAAUUUAUGGAAUCCGAUGGUGGAGAAAAGAUCAAGCGCUAGCCUAAAAGUUAAUUUAUCUCCAAGAAACUUGAUCACAAAAAUAUUUGAAUGAUAUAAAAAUAGACUCCAUAUAAUUUUUGAACCGAAAAGAACGAAUCAACCUACUCUUCAAAGGAAACAUAUAUUUUGGUUUGAAUCAAUGUUCAGGUAGUCCUUUCGACAAUUUUUUAUUUUAAUAAUUGACGCAUAUAUAUAAUGUUUCAAUGAGAGUUCAAGAUUCACACUUUUCAAGUAAGUGGGACUAUAGUCUAAGUAUCUUAAUUAGGCUAAAUAGUCAUUCAUAGAUUUAACAACAUGAAAGUUGAUGUUUGACAAAUAUUAUUAAGGUGUAAUUUUUUGUGCAAAUAGAGGGUUAAAACUAAAAAACCUUCAUCGAGUUAGAAUUUUUUAUUUUAUUUUUUUAAAUAGGAAAUAUCUUUAUAUGCAAACAGAUAUAGAGAAAUAAAUAAAGUUUUAGUAUAUGAAUGAAAGAAAUAUAGAAUUUGUGACGAUAUUCUUAUUAUUAUUAUUAUUAUUUUUAAAGAAGUAUAAUAUUUUAAGGUAAAAUAUCAGAUCUUUUGCUUAUCUAACUACUUAUAGAAAGAUGAAUAAAAUUCACUGUAGUUGCAAUAGUGUUUGAGACUUCUAUUGUAGCUAAAUAGUGAUUUCACUAUAGAUAUUAGUCAUACCCAUUUUUUCUUACUCAAAAAGACGGUGAAGCCAUUUCCCCACGCAAACCCAGACACAAGCUUUCUUCUUCAUCAUCAUCAUUUUCUUCUCACUUCUUCUUCAAUUAUUCUCUAUUUUUUCUGUGAUUAAUCUCUUCGUGCAAAAUUCUCGUGAAUAGAGAGGUAAAUCUUGGCAUGCCCUUUUUUUCAGAUUAUGAUUUUGUUUAUUCAAGAUUCUAUGUGCAAAAUUUUUUAUUUCGAGUGAAUAGAGAUGUAUAUCCUCGAUUUUAUCUGAUAAUUAUAAUUUUGUUUAUUCGAUUCACCAUUUUGGGUUUUUGUGUGAAUAGAGAGGUAUAUUUUUGGUUUAAUGUAAAUUAAAAUGCUUAUUAGUUUGUUAAUUCAUUUAUGUCUCUUGUGUAUUUCAUACAUUGGCAAUCUUGGCAGAAAUCGUAAAGUAUGGCUUCUUGUAGCAAUCUUGGUGCUGAGUCCCUGCACAGGUUUUAACACUAAAUAAUUUUGAAGGUAUGGACUUAUUUUAUCUUAAUCCCUAAAUUUAUGUGUUAAAUGUUUGAGUUUUCGUCAUUUCAUUAAUUUUGGGUGUAUGGGUUUUGUUUGUUGAUGGUUGAUGAUUGUUCCGAUGAUGCCGUGAAUAGACUUUUGAUAUGUACUGCAGAAAAGAAGUCUUGAAUUUUAUUUAUUUAUUUUUUUUAGAGUCAACUAGGGAAAAAAUCUGCCUUUUUAUUUAUUUUCAACUUUUUUUUUGUUAGGACUCUUGAUAUGAGUUUAUUCAUACUUUAUGCAUAUUAAGAAUGUGUGUAUUUUCUGUUUGUAUAAGUCUUUUAUAUUGAGUUUUUGGCUAUAAGAUCAACAGAGCAUAGAGAGGAAAAAAAAGAAGAAGGAAAUAUAGAUUAAUUUUUUAGACUAUGGUUUGGCACCUGAAGCAGGAAAAUGUAGGACUAAAGAAAUUAACAAGAAAUCGAUGAAUGAUUAGGUUAAGCAUAUAAGUUUGGUGAAAAUGAUUGAAUUGCUCCAAGUAUAAGGGGUUUUGUUAUUUUAGUUAAUAGUUGCAAAUGAUUUUUGUUAAGUUUUUAGCUAUAGGCUUAAGCAGAGCAUAGUAAGGUGAUUGGACAGACCAUUUGAAUCUCUAUCUACGCCUAUAGAAUUUCCAUUGCUAAACUUUUUGGUAGUAAUUUAUUGAAAAUGAGCCAGCAGCACAAUAUGAUUAUAUGUUGCGUGUUUUUUCUCAAUGUUGAUGGCAGUACAUUUCAUUUUUUAGGAAGUUAUUUCCACUUUUCAUCCUUACUUAUAUAAAUAAAUAUUCUCAUUUUUGCUAAAUUUUGGUCAUAUUAGUUCUCUUAAUCACUUUGAGCAUGCAAACACUUAGAACCCGUGAAGUAUGGCUUCUUGUAGCAAUCUUGAUGCGGAGUCCCUGCACAGACUGUGCGGGGACUCCGCACGAAUUGUGCGGGGACUUCCACGCACGGAAUUGGUGUGGAAUCCCCGCACAGAAUUGGUGUGGACUCCGCACGACUGUGUGCGGACUCCCAUAAAAUUAUAAAUUAUUUUUUACUUAUAUUCCCACAAUUUUAAAUCUAAUUUUUACUAAUUGUCAGAGAAAAUUCAUGCCAAAAAAUUUAAUUCAAACUUCAAAAGCAUGUCAGGAUUAUGAUAAGAAAACUAAAAUCUCUACAUCACGCUAAUAAAGACAUAUUAAAUACAAUAAUUUUACAACGCACGUGGCAUCGACUAGUUAUAUCCUAUAUUUCCAAUCUAAUGGGUAUUACAAAUUCGUUCAUUCCACGGGUUUCAUGUAAACACACAAGUGAUAUGCACAAGUCACGAUUUUUUAGUCACAUCAUCUGUUCAUCACACGUCCAUUGCAAUACCCGACAUAAAAUAAGAUUAAUUAAGAACAAAAAUUAUGGAGGUUAAAUUAUACUCUUUAAGAUGAUAUGAUUAUUUUAUGGUAAAAGAUCAGAUCUGCUUCCAGAAACCAUCUAGCCUCUUCUACUCUCAUUUGCGUGUUUCAUUAGAUCUCCGGCUCUCUCUCUCUCUCUCUCUCUCGUUUUACCUUACGUUCUUCUCCUAUUUUUGACUGUUAUAGGUUGUUUGUUUAACUAGAUCUAGCCGAGAAACUUCAGUUCGUGCUGGAUCCUUGUUUCUUUGUGGAUUAGUUUGUUACUUUUUGUAGUUUUGCUUGAGGGUUUUUUCCUUUUCCUUGUCUGAGAUGUGAAAGUUUGUUGGGUUAUUCUUCAUUUACAUCGAUCUGCCUCAAAAGUUACAGAUCUUGCUCAAUGUAUUUUUUUCGAUUUCUGUUGUCUUUGACUAUAGUCACUACAAGAAUUUUAUGUUUUCCCUACAAAAUUUAUUUGUGGGGAAAGGCUUUUAUUUGUAGGGAAAUACCUUUGCAGAUGAAAAAAGUUUGUGAGCACGUUUGUGGGGCAAACAUCGAGGGAAUAGGUAUAAGACGGCAAAUUUUUGAAAUUUGUGGGCUAAGGUUUUUUUCCUAUGAACCCUUUGGAGACAAAUACAAUUUGUCGCGUAAGUUUUCCUCCGACAAAGUAAUUCGUCUGCUAAAGUUAUUUCUACAUACGAAGCGAUUUCGCUUGUCCCUACAAAUUAUCUUGUGGGCUAAAUCGUGUUUGUCCCCACAAAUGAUAUUUUGUAUGGAAAAUUUAUUCGUGGGCCAAGAUAUAAACAUCUUUUCCUACAAUUAAACGUUUGUGACAAUAUGGAACAAAUUAUUUUGUGAGCUGAACCCUGUUUUUCUGCAAAUAAUUUUUAGUGAGGAAAUGAUAUUUGUAGGCUAUUAAAAAAGAAUUUGUAGGGAUAAAUUAAACUAUUUCUAUAUUUAUUAUUUAUUAUUUAUAUUAUACUAAGUUUUUUAACUUCAUUCAAAAUAAUAUAAAGAUACAAAAAUCAUAAUAAAUCAAUUAAAACGUAAUGUCAAUCAAUAUUGAAUCCAAAAUAUUUCAUCAAAACACGAAUAAAUGACAUUCACCAAGUAUGAUUACAUCUAAAGUUAAAAUAAGCAGAGCAAACAUGCUAUAUAUAUAUUAUUGUGCAAAUAAAAAAAUGACUGCAUACAACAAUUGUCAUACUACUUAAUCUAAUUAUAAUUUUCUAACAUUUUUUAAUCUAACUUUGCAAUAUAUAUUUUGUGUCUAACAUGGUAGACAAAACACGAUAAAGUGCGGUGGAAGGAAAGAAAAUUUUAAAGACUAUUUAAUGUCUUGGGAUAGUUGAGCUUCUGAUUUAGUAGCAGAACCUAGUGAGGUAAAUUUUGAAGACUUGCUCCUAUUUGCAGCAUCCACCAAACAAUUUGAAGGUCUCCAAGGAUCAACUUUCACUUCCCUUGGUUCGAAACCACUCUCUCUUCCAUUAUCUGGUGUUGUGAGGCUAGAUGGAUGGAUAGCACUGGAGUUCCACAAAAGCAAGGUCACUAAGCAUGAAAAGUUGAGUCUGUGGAAAUAUGACAAGGCAGGUAGAAUAAAGCAUAUGGAAGAAGCCUAUGUAUGAGGCAAUGUUGUCAAGCUUCAAAAAUAUAUUCCUUCCCUUCCUGUUGGUCUGAGAGAAUUUGUUCAAAGUCUUGGGUGAGCUAGAGCUAUUGAGAUGGUCUUCCAUGGAGUCUUCAUCUUUCUUAAAAGGUUUCUCUAUGGUGAAACUGGAACCUCUUGAUGCUUUCCUUGCAACAGACUUUGAUCUUCUUCCUUUCAUGGUAAAACUACUUUUAGUGUAGUUCACCAUAUCUAAAGAGAAGAAAAACAAAACUAGAAAGAAAUGAAGAAAUAACCAAUAAUUCACGAGACAAUCAAAUAACCUUCUUGACUACAAGACAUACUUUUAGCUCACCCUAAAUCCGUUAUUUGGUUAAAUGAGGAUUCCUAUAAGAAAAACCUCCACAGCUUUAGUGAAAACAAACAUGUAAAAAGUAGUGAAAUAUUAGCUAGAAGAAAAAUAUGUCAAAUAUCUCAUAUUAACAAAGUAGACGAUGCAAAAUAUGUAGAUUCAGCAACUAUAGUUUAGACACAAUGAAUUUUCAGAGGAAAAAAAGAAAAAAAAAACUAACCAUCAUACAUACUAAGACUGGCUUCUUUGCUCAAAACCUUGAGUCUUAGCUCCAUGUUUGCUUGUAGCAAGAACUCCAUAACUGAAAUCUCGUCCACCGAAAGACUCGAUUUCUUAAUGGUAGUACUAAAUUUCUAUUCAUUUAAAAUUAUCUUAGUAAAUAAACUACAUGAAAUAUCUAAAUCUAUUCAUUUAAAAUUGUCUUUUUUCUCAACUUCUUAAUGCCAGUACUAAAUUUCUCAAUAAUAUUAGCAGACUGGCUAAAAGGAACAAGAAUCUUAAAACUCCUUAUUUCUGUUGUUAUUCUUCCUGUUAAAAGCCUUGACCAUACCCACGGCAUUUGUAAUGGUCUCAUUCACCUUGAGGAGCGCAUCUUGAGCUGGACAGAACCCUUAUAAUUGUAUUCAUCAUUAACUUCAACAUCCUCUUUCUCUUUAACAUAGCAAUAAAUUGUGAUAAAUUUUAUCUCUAGCACCAAGAAAUAGGGCCAACACAUUGACCUUUGCUCUCGUCUCUUGCCGGAUCGAGUUAAUUAUGUUUCAACUCUUUCCAAUCACGUUCCCAAUAGCACCAUCAGGACAACGAAUCCUAUACACUAUUAGUUCAGCAUUACCCUUGUCAUCCCUGUCUCUUUCUCUAUCCAGUUGCCUCUUUUGGUUCUUGAUAUCCUCGUCAUCACGAUGAGAACUAAAGCGCUUCCCAUUUUCACCCAUUCCAAACUACAAAACAGCUCCCCUGAAUGUACUGAAAAAGCAAUUCCGAACUUUGAAUUUGAAUCAAAAUUAGAUGGCAAAAAUUGCAACUAAAUUUCACAAAAAAAUAAUAAUUAAUAUAUAAAAGGUCAUAAAUAAAAAGAAACUUUUUUUCCCUUCCUUCUUUCCAUAUCAAGCCCCUAACGUUUCAAUUUUUGUUCCCAUUCGUUAGAGUUUUGAUCUAACACGGAAUAAACCAAAAAUGUCUGGAAUCUACUACCCAUUCGUAUUGCUAAAAUACACAACUAUUUAUAAUGAAUCACAUAGAAAAAAAAUACAAAAUCCAUUAAAUGUGUUAUUUCACGUAUAGAUAGAAAUAAUAUUGAUCACUCAAAAGGGCCGUUACCUUCAAAGAGGCAAAAUUCCAAAAAUCCUUCAAUUUCAAUGAAUAAGAACUAAAAUUGAGAAUAAAUUAAAUAAUUAAAAAAAGAUUACACCUGGUUAGCUGCUACGGAUAUUUUUUCAUGGGUAGGAAUUUUGCCCCCGUUCUUGGCCUUCAUAGCCUAGAGUCCCCACUUGCGGUACAUCUGGGAACGCGAGUUCUUCCAGACCCCAUAUCGUAGCCAAGUAACCAAUAGCCCAUCCCAUCCCACCAUUAAAAGGCAAAGGGGAUUGAAUGUAGAGAGGAGAGGAGGCGGUGAGAGGGGUCAGGGUUUUGGAAAUUUUAAUAGAAAAGGAAAAUGAAAUGUGUCGAUGGAAGAGGGAUGUUUUAAGGAAAAGUGUGAGAAUUUUCAUAGGGGGAAAUUAAAAUUUUCAAUGUUAAAAAUUUUUCAUGGAGGGAAAAUUAAAUAAGAAUAAAAAUUGGUCAAUCAAAACUUGCUUUUAACAAAUGUUUUUUCUUUUUAAAAUUUUUCUUUUAAGAAUAAAAAUUGGUCAAUCAAAAAUCUGAAGAUGAGGGUUUUUAUUUUUGGAUUUUGUUAAAAAAAAAAAUGUAUUUUCACUUUUUUUUUUUUUUUUUAGUGAUCUUUUAACUUCAAAUAUAAUUUGUGGGGACUAAAUUUAAAGAUAGUAAUUGAUAAUUUUUCUCCUUAAUUAUUAGCCAACAAAGAGGUCUAAUAUUUUUGUCGGGGAAAAGAUAUAUUUUUCCCGACAAAUUUUUUGUCAGGAAAAGAUACAAUUUUCGUGGGCACAAAUUUCUCUAAUACUGAAAAUUUUGAAUUAAAACUCAACCCUAUGAAACAUUUGUUUGUGGGGAAAAGUGAAUUCCGCAGACAAAUCAAUUUGUAUCAUUGAUGGGAUUCACACAAGCAUGAAAACAGAUUCAUACUUGCAUGUGUUUCUAUUUGGCACAAUUUCGCCACAUACGUGUUAUCUCACCUAGUACCACACUACACUACAUCAUGCUAUAGUGACAAUAAUGGCCUUCUUUCAUCUCCCCAGUCAAAAAACAAAUAUAUUGGCAAAAAUUGCAAAUAUCAACUUUUCCUAACUUAUUUUUGUAUUUCCCUAGAAAACAUGCAUAUCACUUGUAGACACAAUGUCACAUGCAGUAGAUUUAAGAUGGCUAUCGACAUUCCCUAGGAUGAACAAGGGUAAGUUCUACGCCCAUUUUUUAUACUUUAUGAUUAUUAGAAGACACUAGGUGCUAAAUCAUUACUUGAGUACUACUAUAGAUUUAACAUUGCUUCUAAAUUUUUUUUUUUUAAUUUCAUGUGUUGGACUGCAAAAUACUGAUAAAUUGAAUUGUGACAUUAUCCAUAUUCCUUAUGCAAUCAAGAGUGCAAUGUGUUCAUGAAAAAUUUGCAGAGUUCAUCGUCAAUGAGAAGAUGCACAAAAUGUGAGAAUUGUUUGUUACAAAUAUUGUUAGGAUUCACUUAGCUUGUCAACUGUAUAAGUGUAAAAACCAAAAGAUCUUUGGUGGCUAUGAAAUGGAUGCCAAUCUAGUCCCAAGGAGAGUGAGAAAAGAAAGGAAGGGCAGGAAUUUGGAACAAGUCUAGAAGUAAAAAAAAGGAAGGAACUCCAGUGGCUGUUGAACCAUAUUUCAUGAUUUUGAGAUGUUUGUUUAUUUGCAAGUGUUCAUGUGGAUUCAAAAAAAUCAUAUGAGGAUCAUUCGUUGAUAACGUUGAAGAGUAUCAUACUGAACUAGUGGAUAGAUCAGGGAUACAGAAACAAACAGUAAUUGGACCAAAGAAUGCAAUUGCAUUGUAUAUAAGGUUGCUAUCUAUUUAAAUGUUAACAUACUAUGACAUGCUUCGUCUAACAUCAAGAGACAUCUGUUGUUCAAACAUAUCCACAACUUAUAAAUUUAAUUGUUAUCAGCAUUCUACGUGGGAACUAGAUUUAUGUUCACAACUAAAAAUCAAUUAUCAUAUCAAUUCUGAUGGAUACAUUGCAUAAAUAUUUUUUUCUUGAGCAACAAUAUAGGUUAUAUGAUUAUCAUGCACCUAACAAGAAAGUGUGUCAUUCUAUGAUCAUUUCAAUCCAGAAUAGAAAGCUACACGAGAGAUAUAUGAAGUUGUGGAAAUCAAAAUAGCCAAAAUUUGUUAGUUAAGUAGGAACAGUCUCUUUCCGAAGAGAACUCCACACUCAUGUUAAAGAAGCAAAAGGGAGCACGAUGAAAAAAGAAACUGUAGAGAAUGGCACAAUGAUGUUGGGCUGGACUCUUUGAAUUGAUGGGCAUGUGGGCCAGAUCCUUAAAUGUUGACUUGGUAUUGAUUAGCUUCUUGGCAAAAAAUUUGUUGCUGAAACACAAUUUCUCUUUUAUAAGAACAAAUGCCCCUGAUCUUGCCAAGUGUUACCUCUUACAUCGUUAGAUGGAGAUUUCUAGUGCUUUCAAUAUUUAAUCUAGAUUAGGGUUUGAGACGUCAGACUUUUGAUUUUCUCUCGUCUCUUGAACUCUCUCUAUGGGUUCUUCAUUUUCUCUCUUUUGCACUCUGAAAUAAGCCCUUGUUUAUGAGAUAAUUUCCAACCCUUUUGUAUAAAUCUUGAGUGAUUUGUAUAGGCUUAUUAUUUGUCAUUUUUGAGUGAAUGUUAUUCUAUAUUGUGAGGUUUAUUUAGGGAGAAAUCUUGUGUGAUUUCAUCUGAGUGCCAUGGAGCUUUGUACUGGACAGUUCGUUUGAUUCCAUUGAGUUAGUUAUAUUCUUUCGAUGACGGAAGCUCAAAAGGGGAUUAGGAACUCCAGUUAUGAACCUCUUGCCUUAGGACGAAAAUCAUCGUGUUCAUUCAAUUCUCUUUCUGGUUUUUGCUUUAAUUUUUCGUAUUUUUGUUGAGUUUUAAAGUGGGUAAUAUUUGAACUACUUGUAAUAGAAACAUUAGUCAUUUUCCUUUAUUCUUCUGUUAUUUCCUUGGUGGUUUAUGUUGAUUCUGGCAUUUUGCUGGAACCUAUUUAACUACCUCCCUCUGUUGCUUGGUGCUUGUAAUGGAAUUUGAAUUGGGACAAUUGAGAAAAAAAAAUCAUUUUUACACGUAAUCCAUUUACACUUGUAGCACUCCACAGUUCCAUUAACUGCAUCACCUACAAGGCCCUCAACCUCCAUAAUCAACUAUUUAAUGUUAUGGGCUAAGUGCUUUCCUAAGGUGAGAGUUUGCAUUGAAAUGGAUGUUUUAGUUCGACAAUUUUAUUGCUUCUUAGCCAAUUAUUUUAGAAAAUUGUGGUUGACAAUCAUUGUAUUUCUCUCAAAAAUUAAUAAGAUCUACUAAAAGGCAAGUUGAUGUACAAUAGAAGAAUUUUUAUGGCAUCCUAUAAAGUGCAAAACAAAUUUCGACCUUCAAGAAAUGUUCCGUCAUGAACAACCCAGUAAAUAAUACAAAACUUAGUAAUUAGAGGAAAAAUAAAAUGGCAAGAAAAACUAGAAAAGAGUAGAAUGCAUUUAAAAGCAACGAUGUUAAUCUUUGUAUAGUUUGAUACUAAGAAACAAGUUGUGAAGAACUACAGAAAUCUACAGUUCACUAAACAAAAGGAAAGAAUUCAAAUCGAGUCCAAAUGAACUAUUGGGCAAGUAUCAGCGGCAUAUGUUUUUGGUGCACAUUCACUUCUUGAAUAUGAGACAUAUCAUAUGGUCAUCCCCAAGCAAGACUUAUGGCAGGAGAAGUGCUACUACCAUAUGGAAUCGUUCUCUUUCCCAUCGCUCCACCAUCAAUGUAAUAAGGCCUACCAUAGUCCUUAAACCCGACAUUAACGUUCAUCGAAUGUGUAUAUGAAGGAUUUAGGUUCAUGUAUGUACUGCCAUAUAGGGUUGGAACUACCCACACUAUAACAAAAAUAACAUUUUGCAACACGCAAAAGGCAACAUUCGUUAAUUGAAUGUUGCUAAAGGGGGUCUAUUGCAACAUUCUUUAAGUGAAUGUUGCCAUUGGUUAAUAUAGUUGAGCUUUGACAACAUUUUUUAAAUAAAUAUUGCUAAUGUCACCUUUUGUAAAGAUCAAUGAUUGUUGCGAAAAGUUCUAUUUUUUGCAACUUUUAUUGAAAGUUGUUAAAAUUGCUGAAACUCUUAAUACAUAGCCAUUUGCAAUGUUUAUUAACUAUCGCAAAAAGUUCACCAUUUGCAACGUUCUUUGAAAGUUACGAAAAAUUUCAUUUUUUGCAACGUUUAUUGAGUGUUGUUAAAAUGUCGUUCUAUAACAACAUUCAACAAUUGUUGCUGAAACUCUUACUAUAUAACCUUUUGCAAUGUUCAUUGACUGUUGCGAAAUCUUUUUUUCCCCUCCUGUAAGAUCUUUUGAAUAUUACAAAAGUUUUAUUCUUUCCUUUGUUUUACUCAUCGUUAUCCUUUUCUCUUUUCCUUUCCACUUUUUGUUUCCUCUCUCAUUUUCUUUCUUCUCCUUCCACUAUGGGCACUGCAAUAUGGGUGGAAAUUGCUGAGGCCAUUCGGUUAAUCUACUUGCUCAUCUUCUUUAGGAACUAGAUUUCUGUCCUACAGUCUGCAUUAUUAAGUUAUAAAUACAGCUGCGCCACCUACGCUCGAACAUUCUCCGUCACCAUGGGUCAUAUGCUCAGCCGCCGGUAUGACGACAUUCCUCUCCUAUCAUCUAUACUUCAUAGAUCGGGUUUACUGGGUUAGGUAGAGAUUCGGGUUCCAAAUCGUUCUUCUCCUUUCAUCUAUACUUCAUAUUUUUCAUUUUUUCUUCAGGAGUACAUAUAUAAUCUCCUACCCCGUCUUUCCUACUACUCAAUAUUUGGGUUUUUGAAAAUCUUGUUCAUUUUGCAGGAAAGGAUUAAAAUAGAAAAGAAAGAAUCAAAUAAUCCGCCCGUCCCAAGUCCCAGUUUAUUAGAUAGAGAACUUAAAUUAUGCGUCUCAACAUUUUCAAUUUGAACCUGUCAUAGGUUGGACCCUUUAGUUUAUUUUGUUUAAUUGGGCUUGUAGUAGUGGGCUAGCUCAAGCCCUUUAGGUCAUUUUGUUCUAUAUAGUUGUAUCUCUACAUAUACAAGAAGUGGUUGAAUGAUAAAUUGAUCAUGGCUACUGCCGUCUAUCCUCAACCUCUGUCUCUGUUCUUCCCGCUCUUCUCUGUGUCUCUUCCCUCUGUGGUAAGCUUCUUUACCUACUUCUUCCUCUAUUCCCCAUUUCUCUUGCCUUCUUCUCAGUUCAUCCUGUGUUCUCUUUUUGUGCUCUUAAUCUGUUCUUCUACUUCCCUGUUCUUCUUUCUCCAACGUCUCUCUGUCUCUGUCUCUUUUGUAUUUGUCUUUUACUUGUAAUUUGUAAUCUCCCUGCAAUGUAAUGGAAAUAUAAAUUAAGGGACUCAGUGGUUGAUUUUGGAAUGAAUAUUAAUUGCCAAUGUUAGCUAUUUCAGUUUAUAAUCCUCAAUUUGAGUCAUUACAAUUUAUAUCCUGCAUCUUAUGUUUACUGCUGCUGAUUAUUGGUUGAAUUUAACUGAAAUUGAACUCCCAUGGUUAUUGAUUAUUGGUUGAGUUUUGGAGGAAGUUGAAGCUCAACCAUAACAAUAUGUCAUGGGUUGGACCCUUUAGUUUAUUUUGUUGAAUUGGGCUUGUAGUAGAGGGCUAGUCCAAGCAUUUUAGGUUAUUUUGUUCUAUAUAGUCGUAUCUCUACAUUUGCAAGAAGUGGUUGAAUGAUAAAUUGAUCGUGGCUACAGCCGUAUAUCCUCUGCCUCUGCCUCUACCUCAUAUCUGUUCUUUUCAUUUUUCUCCGUGUUCUGUGUCUCUUCCCUCUAUGGUAAGCUUCUUUACCUACUUCUUCCUCUAUUCCCUAUUUCUCUUGCCUUCUUCUCUUCUUCUCGAUUCAUCCUGUGCUUUCUUCUUCUGCUCUUAAUCUGUUCUUCUACUUCUCUGUUCUUCUUUCUCCAACGUCUCUCUCUCUUUCUCUUUUGUAUUUGUCUUUUUCUUAUAAUUUGUAAUCUCCCUGCAAUGUAAUGGAAACAUCAAUUAAGGGACUCAGUGGUUGAUUUUGGAAUGAAUAUUAAUUGCCAUUGUUAGCUAUUUCAGUUUAUAAUCCUCAAUUUGAGUCAUUACAAUUUAUAUCCUUCAUCUUGUGUUUACUGCUGCUGAUUAUUGGUAGAAUUUAACUAAAAUUGAACUCCCGUGGUUAUUGAUUAUUGGUUGGUGAUCGGUUGAGUUUUGGAGGAAGUUGAAGCUCAACCAUAAAAAGAUGUCAUGGGUUGGACCCUUUAGUUUAUUUUGUUGAAUUGAGCUUGUAGUAGUGGGCUAGCCCAAGCCCUUUAGGUUAUUUUGUUCUAUAUAGUUGUAUCUCUACAUUUGCAAGAAGUGGUUUAAUAAUAAAUUGAUCGUGGCUACUGCCGUCUAUCCUGCGCCUCUACCUCGUCUCUGCACUUUUUGUUCUUCUCUAUGUUCUGUGUCUCUUCCCUCUGCGGUAAGCUUCUUUACCUACUUCUUCCUCUAUUCCCUAUUUCUCUUGCCUUCUUCUCUUCUUCUCGGUUUAUCCUGUGCUCUCUUCUUCUACUCUUAAUCUGUUCUUCUACUUCUCUGUUCUUCUUUCUCCGACGUCUCUCUCUCUCUCUCUCUUUCUCUUUUGUAUUUGUCUUUUACUUGUAAUUUAUAAUCUCCCUGCAAUGUAAUGGAAGCAUCAAUUAAGGGACUUAGUGGUUGAUUUUGGAAUGAAUAUUAAUUGCCAUUGUUAGCUAUUUCAGUUUAUAAUCCUCAAUUUGAGUCAUUACAAUUUAUAUCCUGCAUCUUGUGUUUACUGCUGCUGAUUAUUGGUUGAAUUUAACUGAAAUUGAACUCCCUUGGUUAUUGAUUAUUGGCUGGUUAUUGGCUAUUGGUUGAGUUUUGGAGGAAGUUGAAGCUCAACCAAAACAAGAUGUCAUGGGUUGGACCCUUUAGUUUAUUUUGUUUAAUUGGGCUUGUAGUAGUGGGCUAGCCCAAGCCUGUUAGGUUAUUUUGUUCUAUAUAGUUGUAUCUUUACAUUUGCAAGAAGUGGUUGAAUGAUAAACUGAUCGUGGCUAUAGCUGUAUAUCCUCUGCCUCUGCUUCUGCUUCUGCCUCUGCCUCUACCUCAUCUCUGUUCUUUUCAUUGUUCUCCGUGUUCUGUCUCUUCCCUCUAUGGUAAGCUUCUUUACCUAUUUCUUCCUCUAUUCCCUAUUUCUCUUGCCUUCUUCUCUUCUUCUCGAUUUAUCAUGUGCUCUCUUCUUCUGCUCUUAAUCUGUUCUUCUACUUUUCUGUUCUUCUUUCUCCGACAUGUUUCUCUCUCUCUCUUUCUCUUUUGUAUUUGUCUUUUUCUUGUAAUUUGUAAUCCCCUUGCAAUGUAAUGGAAACAUCAAUUAAGGGACUCAGUGGUUGAUUUUGGAAUGAAUAUUAAUUGCCAUUGUUAGCUAUUUCAGUUUAUAAUCCUCAAUUUGAGUCAUUACAAUUUAUAUCCUUCAUCUUGUGUUUACUGCUGAUUAUUGGUUGAAUUUAACUAAAAUUGAACUCCCGUGGUUAUUGAUUAUUGGUUGGUUAUUGGUUGAGUUUUGGAGGAAGUUGAAGCUCAACCACAACAAGAUGUCAUAGGUUGGACCCUUUAGUUUAUUUUGUUUAAUUGAGCUUGUAGUAGUGGGCUAGCCCAAGCCCUUUAGGUUAUUUUGUUCUAUAUAGUUGUAUCUCUACAUUUGCAAGAAGUGGUUUAAUAAUAAAUUGAUCGUGGCUACUGCCGUCUAUCCUCCGCCUCUACCUCGUCUCUACUCUUUCUGUUCUUCUCUGUGUUCUGUGUCUCUUCCCUCUACGGUAAGCUUCUUUACCUACUUCUUCCUCUAUUCCCCAUUUCUCUUGCCUUCUUCUCAGUUCAUCCUGUGUUCUCUUCUUGUGCUCUUAAUCUGUUCUUCUACUUCCCUGUUCUUCUUUCUCCAACGUCUCUCUGUCUCUGUCUCUUUUGUAUUUGUCUUUUACUUGUAAUUUGUAAUCUCCCUGCAACGUAAUGGAAAUAUAAAUUAAGGGACUCAGUGGUUGAUUUUGGAAUGAAUAUUAAUUGCCAUUGUUAGCUAUUUCAGUUUAUAAUCCUCAAUUUGAGUCAUUACAAUUUAUAUCCUACAUCUUAUGUUUACUGUUGCUGAUUAUUGGUUAAAUUUAACUGAAACUGAACUCCCUUGGUUAUUGAUUAUUGGCUGGUUAUUGGUUAUUGGUUGAGUUUUGGAGGAAGUUGAAGCUGACCCAAAACAAGAUGUCAUGGGUUGGACCCUUUAGUUUAUUUUGUUUAAUUGGGCUUGUAGUAGUGGGUUAGCCCAAGCCUUUUAGGUUAUUUUGUUCUAUAUAGCUAUAUCUCUACAUUUGCAAGAAGUGGUUGAAUGAUAAAUUGAUUGUGGCUACAGCCAUAUAUCCUCUACCUCUACCUCUGCCUCUAUCUCGUCUCUGUUCUUUUUGUUCUUCUCCGUGUUCUGUGUCUCUUUCCUCUAUGGUAAGCUUUUUUACCUACUUCUUCCUCUAUUCACUGUUUCUCUUGCUUUCUUCUCUUAUUCUCGGUUCAUCUUGUGCUCUCUUCUUCUGCUCUUAAUCUGUUCUUCUACUUUUCUGUUCUUCUUUCUCCGACGUCUCUUUCUCUCUCUCUUUCUCUUUUGUAUUUGUCUUUUUCUUGUAAUUUGUAAUCCCCUUGCAAUGUAAUGGAAACAUCAAUUAAGGGACUCAGUGGUUGAUUUUGGAAUGAAUAUUAAUUGCCAUUGUUAGCUAUUUCAGUUUAUAAUCCUCAAUUUGAGUCAUUACAAUUUAUAUCCUGCAUCUUAUGUUUACUGCAGCUGAUUAUUGGUUGAAUUUAACUGAAACUGAACUCACCUAGUUAUUGAUUAUUGGUUAGUUAUUGGUUGAAUUUUGGUGGAAGUUGAAGCUCAACCAUAACAAGUGGUAUUAGAGCACCUACGUGAACUGGGAGUGGCCUUUAAAACAAACGACCAGAUGCUACAGGGUGUUUGUACUAGCCUGGACCGAAUGGAACAAAUGAUGGGAGAAAUGAAAGCUACACAGGAGUCUAUGGUGUUGAUGCUAGCUUAAUUAUAUGGGAGCAAGACUCAUUGGAAAGAAAAACAAAUAAAAAUAUAUGGAUCACCAUCCCAAAUGCAUUUGGGUAAACUAUUAUUCGAGCUCGUCCUUGACAUGGCAUCAAAUGCAUUUCCCCGCAACCAAUUAGCUAAAUUUAACCAAAUGCCUUUAGAAUGCCAAAUGCAUAUUCAGGAAAAUGCCCGGAAUUGAAUUCCCUAAAUAAAAUAUAUUGAUUUGAGUUCUUUUCGGGUGAAAGUAGUCGGUGAUCCUAGACCUGUUUACCGUAGAAUGGUUGAAUCAUUCAAAGAUGACUGUGUUAGUUGUCAAUCUUUGAACCUAUAAUCCCCUACAUGUUUGUUAGAUGCUAACUUUGUUUCCUAAUAUUUCAUCUUAAAAUUAAAGCUCAUAGAGAAGAUUUAAGAAACUUGACUAUGAAAUUGCUUAUGACACAUGAAUUUUGACAUUUAGGAUAUGGCAUUGAAGUUUUGAUAUUUCUAUGUAGAUUGGAAACUUAAUUUACACACUAGUAAAAUUUAGGUGGAAACUUAUAAAUUUAGAGUAUGCUAAAGAUAGCCUCUUUUUCUUUGCAAACAGAUUUCUUAUAAAUUUAGAGUUUUCUAAUGAUUUGUGAUAAAGUUCUUGUGCAUUGUAAUGAUAAUGUUUGACUGAAAAUUAUCAUUUCACACUAAACGAAAAAAGAAAGAACAGGAAUAGCUAUUUAAAAGGAAGAUGCAUCAGUAAAUGUCAAGAUAGCGUAAUGCUUAUGAGAAAUUGUUUGUUUUGAUGGAUUAUAUUCUGCUUCACUUUGCUUUAUUACUUUUUCUGUUGAUAGUUUUUGCUGGUUCUUCCUACUCUACAAGGUAGAGGAAUUGGCCAAAUGAUAGUUCAGAAAAUUGGAAUGUUGGUCUCAUUGAUUAAAGAUAUUAAAGUUGGGAAUUUCAAGAAAAAGUAACAAUUAUUGGCAUGUUUAGUAAAAUGGAUGGGACGAUAUUAAAAUAGAAAAAUGAGUUCAUAUCUUCAAUGGGUUUCCAAUUUCGUUCACUACUGCAUGUUUAACAUUGUUGACCUCAAAAAAUGUGCCAACAAAAUCUCAACCUCGCCCCUUCUAUGUGGAUCUCACCUGCACAUUGAACACCUUGUUAGGAGGCAAAGGCCGUCGGUUGAGAAAAAGGUCUGGCGACCGUUUGCACUCGGACGGUCAAAUCAACGGCCGAACAAAAAAAAAAUGAAGAGAGUGCAAGAGCAGGAGAGGGGUUUGGUUAGUGUUUUUUUUUUUUUUUUUUUUUUUUUUAAAUUUUUUUAAAUAAUGAUGUGGCUAAAUGCCACUAUUUCUUAAAGAAAUGAAAGAAAUAUAUAUAUAUAUAUAUAUAUAUAUAUAUAUAGGAAAAUGCAAACGGGCCACGUGAUUAAUGGGCUAAGCCCAAGAUGCAAUUGUUUAAUAGGUCCAAUCAAAUUAAAUAGUCAAUGCCACGUUAGCCAAGGUGGGAUCCCCUCCAUCACGCGUAUGCCAUGUAAUUUAUGGAUAUAACAAACAUAUCCAUACGUACACAACUGGUUGGUACUAGCUUCUUUCAGCAUUUGAUAUUCAAACAUUAUUAGUGUCUGAUCAUUUCCCUUACUAUCAUAGAAUGUAGACUGAAAGUUUAGGGAACGUUCUACAACCACUUGAAAAUUCACGAGAAUGCUUUACUAUGUGAAAUUCAAGUUUUAGAUAUUACCAAGUUUACAUUCCAAUCAAUUUAUUAUUCGACCUCACUGCGGAAUUGAUUAAUAAAAGAAACACAUCACUUUAAUUAGUUGUCUGGGUAAUUAAACAUACAGUCCAGUUAAUUCCAAUGUUGAACUGUCGAUUUAUGUAAAGUAAAUAAAAUAAUACAAAACACAACUUACGAUAUGAUGACAGAGAAACCCCAACGUGGGUAAAACUCUGGGACCAAGCCAGUAAGUUCCACUAUACCAAUUCAGUCACUACAAGUUCUGUCAAACUCUGUACCCAGUUAGACCCGCUGUUCCAGUCUCACGAUCUACUGUCGUAAAUAUUACUAGUCUCUUGCUAGCUUCCUCGAUCUACCUCUUGCAGUCUAAUCUACUGUCCAUUACAGCCUCUUGGUCUUUAGCUGAUUGUAUCGCCAAGUAAAAUUCCAAGAACCUCAUGUUCUUGUUCAGUUCCUGUGCUUGUCGUUCACCUCCCUCAAUCCCCCUUUGAGAGAGUCCCUUCCUCAACAAAUGAAGAAGUACCGGUGUGUCUUCACAAAUUGAUGUUUUUCCCCAAAAUAUUGGUUGUCGGAUCACAAGAAUAAGAUUGAUGAAUUCUCCAGUUGGUUGUGUUCUUGGAUCUCUUCACAAUGAUAUGAACGUGUUAUAACUAAAUUAAGCCUUCGAUUGGCCACCAUUUUCAUUCUCAUUCUUUUUCUCUCUCUUAUUUUUAACCACACAAUCUUCCAUAAAAUAAUUUUAUACGCAAAUAAAAAACUUUUCAUUAUUUUUCAACUACAUAUUUAAAAAAAAAUACUACUUCAACCAUUAAAAUUUGGAAAGAAUGGGGCCAAACGGGGGCUAAGUUUUCAACAACAUUUUAGUUUGUUUGAUCUCCAUUUUUUUCAAAAUAUAUUUUUCUCUUUUUUCUUUUCAACCACUCAUUUUUCAAUAAAAUAACAUUACACGCAACCCAAAAAAUUUUCCUUCAUUUUUAACACCAUACAUUCUCCAUCAAUCUACUAUUUCAAAAUACAUUCUACACUAAAAAUGGGGCUCGAAUAUAAUGUCAGACUUUAGAAGUGUUAUUGAGGUCCUAUUUGGGCCGCAUUCUUUUAAAAAAUGAAUUCUUAAACAGUGAUUUGAUAUCAUUUUAAUCACACAUUUUUCAAUAAAAUAAUAUUAUACGCAAAUUCAAAACUUUUUCUCAUUUUUUAACCACAUUUUUCAUUAAUCUAUUAUUUUAAAAUAGAUUCUUGCAAAAUAAUGUGCCUCAAACACACUGAUUAUGCCUCAUCCCCAAAUUUCGACACUAAAAAUAAGCAAAGCUUACACAAGUUUCGAUAAGAGACUCAUGUCCACCUACCAUUACGCUUAAAUGUUGCUAAGGGAAAGAGUAAUUCCCCGCUCCACCCUCAAUAAAUCCUUAUGAUAGAAGGGAUAUUAGAGAAAACUAAUAUAGGUAUGAAUACCCCCAUAUGUAACGAUCUAGGCCCCGUGCCCAAUUCGUUGUAUCAUACAUACUAUCCGCUCCUUUACUUAAUUUGAAAUGUUAAGGGUUCGAAUCAUGGUACGCGAUAGAAAUUCUAAAGGGUAAGAUGGGCUUAGAUUUUUUCAAAUUGGUUAGUAUGUAUGAUAUAACGAUUUGGACAUGAGGCUUAGGUCAUUAAAACGCGUCUUUUUUUUAUUUUAUUUUUUAUUUUGUAAUGACUCCGUUGCUGUGCUCAUAUCCAAGCUGUUAACUUACGUGCCGUCCAUUCUGGGAGAGUUUGAGUCCAUUUUACCCUUCACAAAUUUCUAUCGCAUCCUCAUGAUUCAAACCCUUGACUUUCCCAUAAGAAUGACAUAAGUUAAAUUCAAUUACAAUAGAAAAGUGUGCUUAAAUACGAAAUGCAAAUUCUAAAAAUUGUACUGUUGGCAGCCGAAUAAUUUGGAUGUGGGAUCCAGCUAGAAUGCGAUAGCAAGCUUCAUCAUGCAAAUUUUCUUUUUAUAUUUAAAUCAUGAGACAUUUGAUCUUCAUCAUUUUCGAAAAUAGCAAGCAAAUAAUUUUUUGUCGUACAGACAAUGAUGUAUAGCCUUUUUUUUUUUCAAGUGGAACUAGUGGUCCAAUCCGACUAAAUGCUAAAAUUUAGUGAGUGAUAUUCAAAAUUUUUUAAUAUUGCACUAAAAUAUAUACAUUCACAAUUGAAAUAUCCAAUUCCCAAUGAACAUGUUAUAUUUGCUGUCAAAAAUAUUUUUCACUAUAUGCAAAUGAAAAAAAAAUGGAAAUUACUUUCUGUAUAUUUUGAAGAAGUUAAAUGGGUGUAUCUGGGAUACGGCUGGAAUCGGACACUGAAGGAGUAAAUUACAAGGGUUCUAGCAGUUCUAUGUUGUAUUUUUCAUUUAUUAACAGUUAAAAAAAAAAAAAAAUUAGUUCAGCAUUUCUUGGCAUUUUAUACAAAUGGAUUUAUAAAUUUUCAAUAUUUCAAAGUAAUGAAAACGAGGUCUAAAUUAUCUUGGCCUACGUACUCCUGAUAUCCUAGUACUACAAAUACCCUUCAAAGGAACUUGUAAAUUCAAACAAGACCACUGAAGUGGGAAGCAUUUCUUCGAUUUACUGUCCAAAUUUCAAGAGUGAAAUACAAAAAUGGACAUCCAAAUCCAUGCAUCUGCUGCCCCAUUUUCCUCCAAAAAUAUGAUCAUCUAGGAUACUCAUCGCUCUGUCACAUAUCAUCCUACCAUUUGGAGAGAUUAUUUCCUUGCGUAUAGUUCUUGUAAGUGUUAUGCCCUAAAUCCAAUCAAUUUAAGUUGUAAAUACUUUUAAUAUGUUUAAUGCAUUAAUUUUUGGCAAGAUCUAUUAUUAUUUAAAUUAAUAUUUUGAUGAAUAAUGUUAAAUAAUAGAAUCCAAAUAUUCAAGUUUCAGUAAAUUGUUAAUCACAAAGAGUUGUGAUUGUGAAAUGUAAAUUACAUAUGAUUGGAUCUUAAAUUAUCCAUAGUCGUAAGUAAUAACGAGAUACGAAUAUUGUUCUUACGGAUAGACCAUCACGUGUGGCAUUUCUUACUUGUGAAGUAAAUAGUUGAUCUCACAAUCUAAAAUGUGGAAACACUUAAAUGAACGCGUUGAUAUUUUGUUAUAGAACAAAACAUUGAAAACCCGCUAAAAGAUUUCACAUGGAUAACUAUCUGAGUGUCAGUGGUUAAUCUCUAACGAUCGAUAGUGAAAUUGGUCCUUUGACUAGAGGUUGUUAUAGUGUCUUGUAUGAGAAUAGUCAUACUUUCACGGUGUUGGAUGUUUCUCUACCAAGGGCCGCUAAUACUACAUCGUUCGAAUAUGUCAAGAAUCAUAUGAAGGUUGUAAAUGACGGAUAGAGGAUUUGUCAUUCUUAGAUUGUAAGAUAUUAUGAUCUGCAUUUCAUUCAAUUAAGUCAAUAACGAAAUUCUUGGCCAAUAUAUACUGAGAAAUCGAAAAGGAGUUUUCGACUUAUAUAGACUUAAUAGUGGAAUAAAAGAUAUGAUCGAUGAUUGAAAUUGAUACACUUCCAUUUCUCGUAAUUGAUCAGAUCAUAUUGACGAUAGGAUUAUAGUUUCACGAUAAACGAACAAGUUUGGUAUUGAUACCACGUGAUAUUUUUCGUCACAUGUAUUGUCUUAACACAUUGCUAGAUAUCAAUCUGAGACGGUGAGUGUGAACUAGUGAUAAAUUAAAAGGGAAUUUUAAUUUAUCUAUUUUGAUUAGAUCAAAAUAAUAUUUUACAUCGUUAGGCAUCAUGAUCGGGAACCUAACGUAACACACACAAAAAGAGAAUUGUAAUAUUGUAAUUUGUCAAUUAAUUAAUUUAACAAUCAUUGAAUAAAUUAAUUAAUUGGAUUGGUUAUUUAUAAACCCGAAUUAAUUAAUUCAUAGACCAGGAUUAAAUAAAUAAAUUAACUAAAUAUUGGACCGGGUCAAGUCAAGCCCAUUUGGACUUAUAUAAAUAAAUGGCUAGGGUUUUCUAUUUGUAGAGAUUCUCAUAAUUCUUUGCUAGCACAAGAGGAGAAAAUCUCGGUGGCUACAAUAUGUUCUCUGUGUGGAAUUUUAUUGGAGGCUGGACAAUUGGACAGCUGUUGGAUUGCUAGGCAGCACCUAAGUGAAUAAAAGAAAAAAAAAAAAAGGGGUUUGGGGAGAGUUGGAGGCGGGGGCCUCUCAUGCAAUUUAUGAAAUUGCAGGCCCCCAUAUGUAAAUUGUUUUGGGGAGUUGUCUUGCAAAUUUUAAAUAAAGGACUUGUCACGUAAAUUGCAUAGUUGAGGGGCCUGUUUUUAAUUCUGACUUGGGUCAAAUUGCAAUUGUUAAAAUGGGUUUUAAAUUUGAAUUCUAAAUGGGUUUUUAAAUUAUAAUUAUAAUUGGGUUUGACCCAUAUUUGUAUUUGGGCCCAAAAUUAAUAAUUUAUUUAAAAUUGACAACUUUUAUAUUUUUGUUAAAAUUAGAUUUUAACUUAAUUAUUUAAUUUUAACCCUAAAUUGAAUUUUUGUUUUACUUAGGAGUUUGUCUUAAAUUAAAAUAUUAAUUCAAUUUAAUUAGAGUUGCACUCUAAUCUUAUGUUAAUUAAAAUUUGAUUUUAAUUAAUAUUACUUCCCCCAUACAAAUAUUGAAAUUAGAGUAGGGCUUUAACUUAAUAAUUACUUAAAAUUUGAUUUUAAUUAAAUUAUCACACUCUAAAUUUUUAUAGAAUUAGAGUUGGACUCUAAUAAGGAAUUUAAUUAAAAAUUGAUUUUAAUUAAAUAACUUCCCCCUAUAAUCAUGGAAUUAGAGUUGGACUCUAAUUCGAAAUUUAAUUAAAAUUUGAUUUUAAUUAAAUAUGCCUGCCAAUUAAGUUAAUUAGUUAAUAUGAUUAACUAAUUAUUUAAUUAUUUCGAUCCAUUUAUUUAAAUGAGUUUUGACGACUAUAAUUGUUAGAUUUCUGAGACAUUGCAUGUAAUAUUAAAUAUUAUAUAGGAAACAUUUAUGUGAUGAAUGUCUAUUUCUAGAUGAUUAUGGACUCGAUCAUAUGGAUGUGUUAAAUGGUUGAUUUAGUUCUUGUCGUUUUACAGGUCUAGGAGCUCUCAAUUGUUUUGAAUUUGCGAGUCCGUUAGUAUUAUUAUUGUUAUGGGGCCUGCGAGCUCGUUAUUAUUUUUGGACUUGCAAGUCCGUUGUUGUUAUUAUUAUGGCCAUGCGAGUCCAAUUUCAUUUGGGUCUGCGUGCCAACUAGUAUGGGAUACAUGUUACAGCUAGACUAAUUGAAGGGGCAAGAAAAUGAGAAGACCAUGUAGAUGGUGCAUUGAUAUUGAUUCGAUGCUAUACUUCCUAGGAAUUGACCAACUAGUUUUCCUCUUGGCUCGGGAAAAUUAGGUAGAAUAAGUACAUAAUCAUCCAUACUAUUAUAUGUAUAUUUAUUUGCAUAGUUGAUGCAUGAUUAUAUGUAUGAGACCAUUGCAUGUUAAAUCCCUCGUUAAAAUAUUAAGUUGGUAUUAUUUUCUUUCCGUCAUUAUAGUGAAAAAUGAGAAUCCUAAAUCGAUCUUAACUUGUUGAGUACUCUCAAGUCUGAUCUAUUAGGGAUAUGUUUGACACUAUGAAAUAUUUGAUAUUUCUGAAUGAUUGACUUAACUAAAAUUUAUCGUUUGUUGAGUACACUCAUUUUAGUGGCAUGUUUGUCGGCUUAAUAAUUUGGGAGUUGUAUGGAGAUACAAUUGAUAAUAGUAAAUGUUUUAUUAAAAUUUGUUAAGUACACUCAAGAUCUUGAUGUAACAGAUGAGAUCUUAGCCUACUGGGAAUCAGAUGUGGAUUCCAUUCAUUUAUGUAUGAGGGCAUGAAUUCAUUUUAAACAUUGGGAGCACGUUUAAUAAAAUUCCAUAUUAAAUUUGUGCAAUGCAUUACAAUACAUAUUGAUUCUUUAUUUUUCGUCAUUUACAGUUUUCGAAUCAUGAGUAAUCAUAUGAAUUUGAGAGGCAUACUGGAUGCCAACAAACUGACCAAACCAAAUUUUCUCGAUUGGCACUGCAAUUUGAGAAUCAUUCUCAAGCAUGAGAAAAUUGGGUAUGUCCUUGAGCAGCUCCUUCUAGGGUUAUCUACUGAAAACUCCAUUAAGAAAGAGGUGGCUGCUUACAACAAACACAGUGAUGGCAAUAACACUAUAGCAUGUGUGAUACUUGUAGCUAUAUCACCUGAGUUGCAGAAGUAACAUGACGAUAUGGAUGCCUACACUAGGAUUUUUCAUCUCAAGGAGUUGUAUGAUGAACAAUCACGUGUGGAGAGGUAUGAGACCUUCAAGCAUCUUUACCGGUGCAAAAUAGCAGAGAGAUCUUCAGUUAGUGCUCAUGUGUUGAAGAUGAUUGGUUUCAUUGAGAAAUUGGCUCAAUUAUGUUUUAUCAUGGAUCACGAACUAAGUAUUGACUUGGUUCUACAAUCUCUACUAGAGAGUUAUUUACAGUUCAUCACGAACUUCAAUAUGAAUAAGAUCGAAUGCACACUCACUGAGUUGUUUAAUCUGUUUAAAAUUGCGGAUCCCAAUGUCAAUGCUAGCACUGGGCAUGUCUUAGCCAUUCAAUCCUCCAAGAGCACUAAGACGAAGAUCAAAAGAAGUUUUAAGAAAACAUCCAAGAAGGCUAAGGGCAAUAAUAAAGUAGUUAAAGCAAGCGAGGAAAAUACUAUGUCCGAUGACCCGUGCUAUCACUGUGGAAUGAAAGGUCAUUGGAAGAGGAACUGCAAAGCUUACCUCGCAAGCUUGAAGGGAAAGAAGUCUAUUUUAGGUAUUUUUGUUAUCGAGGCUAAUAUGUCUACUUCAUUAGCGUCUUGGGUAUUAGAUAUCGAAUGUGGCUCUCAUAUUUGUAUAAAUAUACAGGGCCUAAAGAGAAGUAGACCACUAUAGAAAAGAAAAGUUAGCCUGCGAGUGGGAAAUGGAGCAAGAAUUGUUGCAUUAGUUGUAGGAACAUACUUUUUACCAUUACCUUCGGGCUUAGUAUUAGAAUUGGAAAAUUGCUAUUUUGUUGCCUCCAUUACUAAAAAUAUUGAUAUGAAUAGUUUUUCAAUUAAUGCUAAGAACAAUCGUUGUUCAUUUUAUAAAGAUGAGAUAUUUUAUGGUUGUGGUGUGUUAUAAAAUGUAAUUUAUAUUCUUGAUACUGAGUAAUCUAUAUGAGGAUAAAAAAUAAAAGGCAUAAAAGUGAUAAUCUAAAUAGUACCUAUCUUUGGUAUUGCAGAUUUGGUCAUAAGAAUGACAAACGCAUUUCCAAGUUACAUAAAGAUGGAUACUUAGGGUCAACUGAUUUUGAAUCAUUUGACAAAUGCGAGUCAUGCCUAUUAGGCAAAAUGACCAAAUUUCCUUUUACUGAAAAAGGAGAAAGAGCUGUAGAACUAUUGGGAUUAAUACAUAGUGAUGUAUGUGGACCCAUGUCAAUCACCGCUAGAGGUGAUUUCUCUUACUUAAUCACAUUCACUGAUGAUCAUUCUAGUAUGGUUUGUAUAUCUGAUGAAAUUCAAGCAUGAAGCAUUUGAAAAGUUCAAGGAAUUCAAACUUGAAGUGGAGAAACAGACAAGUAAAAAUAUUCUCACGCUGAUAUCAGAUUGAGGUGGCGAAUGCUUAAAGGGAAAAUUUUUAGAUUAUCUAAAAGUGAAUGGGAUUUUCUCGCACUGGACUCCACCAUAUACACCGCAACAUAAUGGUGUAUCUGAACGGAAGAAUCGCACAUUGUUAGACAUGGUGCAAUCAAUGAUGAGCCAUGCAAACAUUCCAAAAUCGUUUGAGGUUAUGCACUAAUUGCUAUGUGCUAUAUAUUGAAUUAUAUCCCGUCUAAAUCGGUCAACAAAACUUCAUACGAGUUAUGGAGAGAAAAAAGACCCAACUUAUCUCACAUAAAAGUUUGGGGCUAUGACACUUAUGUGAAGCGAAAUGAAUCAGAUAAGCUUGAACUUAAAUUUGAUAAAUGUAUAUUUGUGGGAUAUCGAAAGGAGACAAUUGGAUAUCAGUUCUAUAAUCCUAUUGAGAAGAAGGUGUUCAUUUUAAGACAUGUCAUAUUCUUAGAGAAAGUGUUUAUUCUAGGAAAGGGUAGUGGAAGCAAGAUAGAACUUGAACAAGUUCAAGAAUCCAUAGAUACUGUUGACCAAUUAGAUUAACUUGAGUCUGAUCCCACACUUGCUGAUGGACAGACUUUUGAUCAAGAUAUAGAAACUCCUAAAGGUACUCUAGCUUAGCGAAAUCAAGUAGGAUCAUUCGACCUCACAGAAGAUACGAAUUCACGAUUACUAAUCAAGUAUUAUUAGUCGAGGAUGAUGAACCUACAAAUUAUGCAGAAGCGAAGUUAAGUGUUGACUCAAAGAGAUAGCAAGAUGUCAUGGAAUUCGAAAUGAACUCGAUGUAUGAGAACAAGGUUUAAACAUUGGUCGACCUUCCUUAUGGGAUAAAACCCAUAGGUUGUAAAUGGGUUUACAAGAAAAAAGGUCGACGUGGAUGAAAACGUCCAUACAUACAAAGCAAGACUAGUAACAAAAUGUUACACACAAAGACAAGGUGUUAACUUUGAUGAAACCUUUUUUGCCUGUAACCAUGCUGAAGUUCAUUCGAAUUUUACUUGCUGCAUAUCAUGAUUAUUAGAUAUGGCAAAUGGAUGUCAAAACUACUUUCCUUAAUGGAAACUUGCAAGAGGAAGUGUACAUGACACAGCCAGAAGGUUUUGAGUCCAAAGAAGUCAAUAAGGUAUGUAAGCUUAAUUGAUCCUUUUAUGGAUUAAAAUAAGCCUCAAGGAGCUUGAAUAUUCGUUUUGAUGAGACAAUCAAAAAGUUUGAUUUCAUCAAAAAUGAAGAUAAACCAUGUGUUUACAAAAAGACGAGUGGAAGUACGGUCGUAUUCCUAAUAUUAUAUGUUGAUGACAUAUUAUUAAUGGAAAACGAAUCUCAAUACUUCAAUCGGUAAAAUUGUGGUUGUCAAAGAAUUUCUCCAUGAAAGAUAUGGGAGAAGCAGCAUAUAUCUUGGAAAUCAAGAUCUAUAGAGAUAAAUAUAAAAUAUUGCUUAGCUUGUCCCAAUCUUUGUACAUAGACAAAAUCUUGAAAAGAUUUAACAUGGAAGAGUCCAAGAAAGGUUUGUGUCCCAUAUCACAUGGGAUUUGCCUCUCAAAAGAUAUGUGUCCUAAAACACAUGAUGAAAGGAAUCGCAUGGAUGAGAUUCCUUAUGCUUCAACGAUAGGAUCUAUCAUGUAUAUGAUGCUAUGUACGAGACUAGAUGUUUCAUAUGCUCUAAGUGUUAUGAGUAGGUUUCAAGCAAAUCGUGGUGAGAAACACUGGAUACCGGUUAAGAACAUUCUUAAGUACUUGGAAGGAUUAAAGAUGUGUUCUUAAUAUAUGGAAGAGAUGAACUAAAGAUUUAUGGGUAUACUAAUGCUAGCUUCCAAUCUGACAAAGAUGAUGGCAAGUCUCAAUUUGGAUAUAUGUUUACUCUCAACAAAGGAGCAGUUAGUUGGAAAAGUUCCAAAUAGGAGACUAUCGCUGAUUCAAUAACAGAAGCUCAGUUUAUUGUUGUUUCUGAAGCAGUAAAGGAAGCUGUCUGGAUCAUGAAGUUCAUUAAUGAACUAAGAGUUGUUUCUAGCAUUGUUGAUCCUAUUCUUUUGUAUUGUGAUAACAAUAGAGCCAUCGUACAAGCAAAGGAACCGAGAUCUCAUCAACGAUCCAAACAUGUGCUAAGGCGAUAUCAUCUCAUUAGGCAGAUUAUACAAAGAAAUGAUGUAAAGAUAGAGCGAGUUCCCACAGAUGAAAAUAUUACAGAUCUAUUGACAAAGCUGUUGUCACAACAGAAAUAUGAUCCUCUUGUGGAUACUUAUGGUACUAGAUACAUGAGUGAUUAGAUCUAGUGCAAGUGGAAUUUUGUAAGUAUUAUGCCCUAGAUCCAAUUGAUAUUGGUUGUAAACACUUUUAAUAUGUUUAAUACAAUUAUUUUUGGCAAGAUCUAUUAUUUAUUUAAAUUAAUAUUCUGAUGAAUAAUGUUAAAUAAUAGAGUUUGAAAAUUCAAGAUUCAGUAAUUUGUUAAUCAUAAGGAGUUGUAAUUGUGAGAUACAAAUUACAUAUGAUUGGAUCUUAAAUAAUCUAUGAUCGUAAGUAAUAACAAGAUACGGAUAUCGUUAUCACAGAUAGACCAUCACGUGUGACAUUUCUUACUAGUGAAAUAAGUAGCUGAUCUCACAAUUUAAAGUGUGGAGACACUUAAAUGAAUGCGUGGAUGUUUGUUAUAGAACAAAAUAUUGGAGACCCACUAAAUUUUUUUACAUGGAUAACUAUCUGAGUGCCAAUGGUUAAUCUCUAACAUUCGGUAGCGGAGUUGGUCUUUUAACUUGAGGUCGUCAUAGUACUUUGUAUGAAGAUAGUUAUAUUUUGACGAUGUUAGAUGUUGCUCUACCAAGGGCCGUUAAUACGGUAUCGUUCGGGUAUGUCAAGAAUCAUAUGAAGGUUGUGAAUAACUAAUAGAGGAUUUGUCACUCUUAGAUAGUAAGAGAUUAUGAUCUGUAUUUCAUUUAAUUAAAUCGAUAACAAAAUCCUUGGUCAAGGUAUACUCAAAAAUCGAAAAGGAGUUUUCGACUUAUAUAGACUUAAUAGUGGAAUGAAAGAUAUGAUCAAUGAUCGAGAUUGACACACACUUCCAUAUAUCGUAAUUGAUCAGAUAAUAUUGGCGAAGAUAUUAUAGUUUCACGGUAAACGAACAAAUUUUAUUUUGUCAUAUCACGUGACAUUUUUCAUCACAUGUAUUGCCCUAACACAUUGCUAGAUGUCAAUUUGGGAUGACGAGUAUGAACUGGUGAUAAAUUAAAAGAGUAUUUUAAUUUAUCUAUUUUGAUUAGAUCAAAAUAAUAUUUCACAUUAUUAGGCAUCAUGAUCGGGAACCUGAUGUGUAGCACAUAAAAAGAGAAUUGGAAUAUUGUAAUUUGUCAAUUAAUUAAUUCAACAAUCAUUGGAUAAAUUAAUUAAUUGGAUUGGUUAUUUAUAUACCCGAGCUAAUUGAUUGGAUUAAUUAAUUUACGGAUCGAAUUUAAAUAAAUGGAUUAAUUAAAUAAUAGAUCGGGUCAGGCAAAGCCCGUUUGGGCUUCUAUAAAUACAUGACUAGGGUUUUCAAUUUAUAGAGAUUCUCAUAAUUCUUGCUAUCAUAAGAGGAGAAAAUCCUAUGGCUACAAUCUAUUCUCUGUGUGAAUUUCUAUUGAAGGCUGGACAAUUAAACAGCUGUGGAUGACAGAUCAAGGCUGCUGGAACAAGGAAAAAGUAAAGGAGUUUGCAGCUAUUGAAAAGGUAUAACUUUUAUCACAAUUCCUAUCUAAAUACAAAGAUGAUUUCGAGUGGAAAUUGAAAUUUGUUUUUUAAUUUCGCUAUGCAAAAUAAGUAAAUUCCCAACACUUCUAAAGUGAAUUAGCUAGACCUUUUAUUCCUCAUAAUUAACUAAAAUAUAAUUGUGUUAAAAUGUUAAAUGCGUACUUCCACUUACUUGACCAGGAUAUAUUGGCCCACGAAGAGCAAGAGCGUCAAAGAUUAAAAGAAGAAGUGAAAAAGUUGCUAGCGGCUGCCCCAGAUGAUUCAUUGUAUAAACUAGACCUCAUCGAUGCAAUCCAACGUCUUAGAGUCAGUUACCAUUUUGAAAAAGAAAUUGAAAAAUCUUUAAAAUACAUCUAUGAAACUUAUCAUGAAAGUCGCAGUAAACAAGACAAUGAUCUUCGUACAAUUGCUCUUCGAUUUCGAUUACUCAAACGACAAGGAUAUUAUGUCUCAUGUGGUAAGUAAUUUUUGUUUUCAUGAUUCGUUACAUGUUCGGAAAUUAAAUUGAUACAGUACAUGAAAAGAUAAUGUUCUCUAAAUAUGAACUUACACCUUACACAUUUAAGGGUACAUUUCAUAUUUUUUACGGGCUGAGGCAGAUGUGUUCAACAAAUUCAAGGACUGCCAAGGAGAAUUUGAAAAUUCUUUGAUUAGUGAUAUAUGGGGCUGUUAAGCUUGUACGAGGCUGAAAACUUUGUAGCACACGGGGAGGAAAUUCUAGAAGAAGCAUUGAAGUUUUCUGCCACUCACCUCAGAUCCACGAUCCACCAGGCGAGUAAUUCUCUCUCCGGACAAGUUAGUGACGCCUUGGAGAUGCAAAUUCAUAAAACUUUGACAAGGCUCGAAGUUAAGGAAUUCUUAUCCAUUUACCAAAAAUCAGGUGAAGACGUGCUCCUGAAUUUUGCAAAAUUAGACUUCAACAUAGUGCAAAAGAUCCACCAGAAGGAGUUCAGUGACAUUACAAGGUUAGUUUGUUGUGUGAAGCUUUACUACUUGCACUUAUAUAUCUGAAAAAUUGUUAAAAUUUUACUUUUGAAUAUAAAUUGCAGGUGGUGGAAGGCUUUAGAGUUUGGGAAAAAUUGUCUUUUGCAAGAGAUAGGCUGGUGGAGUACCGCUUUUGGAUAUUGUGUGUCUACUUUGAGCCCCAGUACUAUCUUGCAAGGAAAAUUCUAACGCAAGUAAUCGCCAUGACUUCUAUAAUUGACGACAUCUAUGAUGUUUAUGGGACCCUGGACGAACUUGAACAUUUCACAGAUGCAAUUGAAAGGUGAAUUAUUCUUUGUAUCUUAAUAGUUAAUAGCACAUUAUUUAUAUUGCAAUAUAUAGUCAAACAGAUUCAGAAUUGAUAUUGAAUAUUUUUGUGAACAGGUGGGAUUUUAGUGCCAUGGAUCAGUUACUAUCAUACAUGAAACAUUUUUACAAAUCUCUUCUAGAUGUUUAUCUCGUAGGUCAGAAAGAGUUAGAAAAGAUAGGAAAAUCGUAUAGUGUUCAGUACGCGAUUGAUGAGGUAAACAAUAUUGAUAAAGUAGCUUAACUUUUAUCAAAAUUACAUCCUAUAUAUCUAGUCAAAGUUUCAAUUUACAGAUGAAAAAAUUAGUCCGAGCAUAUUUCAAAGAGGCAAAAUGGAUACACAAUGGAUAUGCUCCAACACUAGAAGAUUAUAUUAAAGUCAUACUAGUAUCUAGUGCUUACAUGAUGCUAUCUACAACAUCUUUAGUAGGUAUGGGAGAACUGGUCACUAAGGAAGCCUUCAAUUGAAUUUCAAGUGAACCAUUAUUCGUACGUGCUUCAUCAAUAAUCUGUAGACUAAUGGAUGACAUGGUGGGAUAUGAGGUAAGAAGUUUGAAUUCUUAGUUGACUUUAUUCUACAUUACACAUGUUCAUCGCACAGGUUUUUUGUUCUCAUGGCAAACAACAUAUGAGAAAAAUGUAAUAGCCUGCUUAGUGUUAGAUUAAAAAGUUUUGUGUUGAGUUACUUGUCUGCAGUACGAGCAAAAAAUAGCGACAAUUUGAAUGUUAUAUGAAAGAGACGGGGCCUUCAAAAGAAGAUGCAUUUGCUGUAUUUCAAACACAAGUCAUGAAUGCAUGGAAGGAUAUAAACCAAGAAUGCCUUAGUUCAAAUGCAGUACCAAUGGCUGUUCUCGUACGAGUAGUCGAUCUUACACGUGUCAUCAAUCUUCUAUACAAAGAUUGUGAUGGAAACUCAAAUUCUACAACAAAGUUAAAAGAUUUCAUAACAUUGACACUCAUACAACCAGUGACAAUAUCCAAUUGAACGUAGUAACUGCGUGGGCUACUUUCAUUUUAAUGUAUCACCAUAUUAUCAUCCAUAUUUAGUGCCGUGUUGUCAAAUUCUACAACACAAUUAGGUCUUGGUUAAGGUUAUGCAAUCAUUGAAUUUCCUUGUAUGUAAGUGAAUGUUAUAUCUACUGGAAAGACCUUUGAGUAGUUAAAAACUUUGUAUUGGUCUUGUCUGAUGUUCUCAAUAAUGAUAUUAAAGAUUAAAGUUUUUUACAACCCCAAACAACUCAUAACUAUCUAAUACUAUAUACCAAACCAAAUUUCGUCCCAAAAGAAUGUUGAGCCAUUAUUCAUUGAAGAGGACAUCCCGUUAAAGAUUAAAUAUUGAUUCUAUAUUUCUCGUCUCAACGAGAAGAUAUAUACAACGAAACACCAAAAGAUAAAAAAACACCAAUAAACCUCUACCAAAUAUCUUUUAGAGUUUUAUACAUCCAGAGAAGUGAUUGGGGUUAUCGUUUGUGAAGAAUGAGUUCGUUCUUGAUGAUACACUUGGAGAAAAGAAGUCCAGAGAUUCUAGAGUUGGUGCUAGAGAAUACAAUCAAGGAGUUCUUGGGUGAUUACAUGUUGGGGUUUAGAGUUUACUGGGGUUUAGUUGUGUCUAGACCUACUGUAAGUGACUAAGUUCAAUAUUUUCUAGUGAAUUAUUUACUGGCACAUGUGCCUGGAUGUUUUUUCUCUUGAAGAGUUCUCCAAAAUUUUUCCUUCGUAAAUAAUUAUUGGUGUUCUUUAUUUUAUAGCUUCGAUAUUUAUGCUUGAUUGAUUACUAGGGUUUAAAUUGGGUAAAACCUAGUUUAUUACAGUAGUCAUAUCAUUAAGAAUAAUUUGUAUAACUGUAGUUCAAUUUCCAAAUGUUAUAAGCCCAUAUACUAUCUCAUACUUAAUUGAUAUGGGAUUUUCGUUGCACUUUCCCAAUAAUUUGAACCCACCUGUUGACUUCAUAUGCUCCAUUACAAUUUGUCCCAUCUGGAAAUAUUGUUAGCAUGCAUCAUGUUUUUAGGUACUUAAUUAGUGACACGCACAAAAAAAAAAAAAAAAAAAAAAAAAAAAAAAAAAAAAAAAAAAAAAAAAAAAAAAAAGAAAAGAAAAGAAAAGAAAAGAAGAAGAAGAAGAAGGAGCUUUUCACACAUCACGGUAUUUUUUUUUAUUUUUUUUUUGUGCAUAUUAUUGAUUUGAAUCCCCUUGAUUGAUUUUGUACUUUACUUGUUAUAAUUUAUAAUUCAAUACUUAGUAUAUAAAUUUUGUUUCAAUUAGUAGGUUAAAAACACGUAAAUUCUUCGUUUCAAAUCCAACUAAAAGGAUUCUUGUCAAUUUUGCAAUUUGAAUGCAAGAUUCAACUAGUGUGCAAUAAAAUAACGCUUGAUUAUUUUAAUUACAUAGGCUUGUUAAGUUUUGAAAUCUAAUUAUUGUUGUUGUACAGAAUCAGUAUGAGAAUCAACCUUCACGGCGAGGUCAUUGUCGGGUUAGAAGGCGCUGGAAGCCCCCUCCCAGGAUGUCUGGGUAGAGUUUUCGGACCAAAAUUUCAUUAAGGAUGGUUUAGAAAUUUACACUUGUAAUUUAGAUUUUAUUCUAGUUUUAUCUAUAAGUAGAGAACUAUCAUUAGAGUUUUGUAAUCAUCAUCAAAAGAAAGAUAUUAGAGAAAAAUAGGGUAUGCGAUAUUUCUCUUAUACACUUCUUUUCAUUAAAGUGAAUCAUCGGUAGAAGAGAAUGUAGUCUCACGUUAAAAUUGACCUCUAUAAAUUUUACGUGUUCUUGUGUCUAUUUUCUUUCUACAAUUUUAUUUCUCUCGAUGAUGUAGAAUUAAAAUUUCUAAUUAUCAAUUAUUGUAACUUUUUAUCAAUUGUUUUUAACGAUCGAAAAGCAGAUAACUGAUAUGUGGCCAAGACUUUCUAGGCCUACAUAUCUUAGUCUUCAAAUUAAAAACGGGCAUACAGUUGAGCUUUGUCCUUUUGGAUAAUGGAAAGCAAAUACAUUUUCAUUUUGCGGUGUUUUUGUUGCACAAUGGUACUGGUGGUCCAUCUACCUAAAUGUUUCAAUUUACUUGUGGGAUACUGAAGAAAAAAAUAUCCACAUUGCAAUAAAAUAUAAAUUGUGUCUUGCAUAUAACAAAUAUUUUAAGCUUUAAAACACUUGGACAGGAAAUACUUUCUCAUAAAGAACAAGAAAAAGACUACGAGAAGAGGUAAAUAAUUUGUCGCAGGAAAUGUUAAAUCAAAUAAGCACUAUGGGUUUCCUAACUUUAAACCAAAUAAUCACUAUGACUUCCCUAUGAUAUUUAUGGUAUCCUCGAUGAAUUUUCACUUUUCUCAAAUGCAAUUACAAAAUAAAACCAUGUAUUCUCUUGUGCAGCUCAUUCUUUUGUAUUGAUAUCGUUAGAAUAUUUAUUUAUUUCUACUAAUAUUUUUCUCGAAUUAGUAGAAAGUUUUGUGUGUCCUUAAAUAAAAAUGUAGUGGAAGUAGCAUUAAUAUCUUUAGCACUUUCAAAUUCUUCUUUUCUUUUCUCGUUGUAUUGUUUCGGAAAUAGAAUUAUAUUUUUCUUUCAAAUUUCGUACCGUAGAAUUAUAAUUUAAAAAGUAGAAUUAUACCGUCCAACUUCAUCAAAUAUUUUUCUUUUUCAUCGAUCAUAUAUUUUUUAAUAAAAUAAUAUGAAAUGUAAAUUUAAAAAAAAAAAAAUAUAUAUAUAUAUAUAUAUAUAUUUAUUUAUUUAUUUUUAAUCACAUAUUUUUAUGGAAUUUAUUAUUUCUUUCAUUAUAAUUUAAAAUAAUGAAACCCAGUAAUGUAAAGUCCCCGUCUGGUCCCCAUUGGAAACCAUUUUCAACUUUUUCAAACAAGCUGGAGCCCCAUGUCUGAAUAAUAGCAGACAGUACAGUUAUGUGGUUCAGAUGGGUUAAUUCGUAAAAUGACAUUUAUGCCCCUAGUUUUGCCACCGGUUGAUUGAUGGUAGGGGUAAGAAUGACAUUGCACAAGUAAAAUGAAGGGUAUAUAGGUCAAUGGGUUCCAACGAUUUAGUGGAUUUUUUUGGAUUCUCUGGCAUUUGAAUGAUAUGAACGGAAGUGGAUACAGUUGUGUCCACCAUGUUGAGUUGAACAAUGAAACAAAAUGUGAAAUAACGAGAGUUAAUGGGUGCCAAAGGGGGCCCAGCUACCAUGUGAUAUUUUGUCACUAUUAAUUACGACAUUUCUUUUUUCCUUUAGCAUUGUUUUCUUCCUAACACAGGAUGGUAUAAUUCUACGGUAGGAAAUAGCACUUGCAUUAAUACGGUAGGAAAUAGCUUAGGGGGUAAGGCAAAGAGGCCUCCAACCCCUCUUGUAUUUGACUUGUUUAUUUAUAAGACGCGGUCAGAGUCGAAAUUCACAUUGGAUCUGGGUGGAGACCUAGAAAUGCUGUCUAGGCUUUAAUAGUACUUUGAUUAAACAAUAAAAUAAAUGGAUAACAACAGCAACAAUUGAACUCAACACCAUUUGCAUCCUUAUAUAUUAGGUUGAACUAUCACAUUUAAAAGCUUAAAUUAUUCAAAAUUAGUCUCAUUUAUUUAACUUAAUUAAGUUUUCAACGACAUUUUAGCUUGUUUGAUAUCCAUUUUUUUAAAAAUAUAUUUUCUUUUUUUUCUUUUCAACCACUCGUUUUUCAAUAAAAUAAUAUUACCGCAACCCAAAAACUUUUUUUUUCAUUUUUAACCACACAUUUUCCAUCAAUCUACUAUUCCAAAAUGCAUUUUACACUAAAAAUGGGUCUCGAACAUAAUGUCAAAACUUUAGAAGUGUACCUCAGGUCCUGUUUGAGCAGCAUUCUUUUAAAAAAUACAUUUUCAAACAGUGAUUUGACAUCGUUUUAGCCAAAAAUUCUUCAAUAAAAUAAUAUUAUACGCAAAUCCAAAUUUUUUUUUCAUUUUUUAACCACACAUUCUCCAUCAAUCUAUUAUUUCAAAAUAUAUUCUUUCAAAAUAAUAUGCCUCAAACACACACUGAUUAUGCCUCAUCCCCAAAUUUCAAGACUAAAAAAAAAAAAAGCAAAGCCUACACAGUUUUCAAUACGAUACUCAUGUCCACCCGCCAUUGCACUUAAAUGUUACUAAGGGAAAGAGUAACCCCCCCCCCCCCCCCCACCCNNNNNNNNNNNNNNNNNNNNNNNNNNNNNNNNNNNNNNNNNNNNNNNNNNNNNNNNNNNNUGAUAGAAGUGAUAUUAGAGAAAACUAAUAUAUGUAUGCAUACCCCCAUAUGUAACGAUCCAGGUCUUGUGUCCAAUCCGUUGUAUCAUAUGUACUAUCCGCUCUCUCACUUAGGGGUGUUUGAGAGUCAUUUUUAUGUAAAAAUGCAAUUUAGAAUAGUAAUUUGAUGGGAAGUGUGUGGUUGAAAAAUAAGGAAAUUUUUUUGAUUUACGUGUAAUAUUAUUUUAACAAAGAAUGUGCGAUUGAAAAGAAGAGAGAAAAAAAUGCAUUUUGAAAAAAAUAGGUACCAAACGGGGGCUUAAUUUGAAAUGUUAAGAGUUCGAAUCAUGAGAUGAGAUAGAAAUUCUGAAGGGUAAAUGGGCUCAAACUCUUUUAAAGCAAAUAGUACGUAUAAUAUAAAAAUUUAGACACGAGGCCUGAGUCAUUAAAAAAAAGGCUUGUUUCUUUGUAAUAACUCGGCCAUUGUACCCGUACCCAAGCCGUUAACUAAUGAACUAUUCAUUCUGGGAGAAUUAGAGUUCAUCUUACCCCUUACGAAUUUCUGUUGCAUCCUCAUGAUUCAAACCCUUGACUUUACCAUAAGAAUGACUUAAGUUAAAUUCAGUUACUAAAUAGAAAAGUGUGCUUAAAUUCAAAAUACAAAUUCUAGAAAUUGUAUUCUUGGCAACUGAGUAAUUUGGAUGUGGGUUCCAGCUAGAAUGCGAUAGCAAAAACAUGCUUCAUCAUGCAAAUUUGAUUUUUAUAUUUAAAUCAUGAGACAUUUGAGCAUCAUCAAUUUUGAAAGUAGCAAAGCAAAUAAUUUUUUGUUGUACAGACAAUGAUGUAUAGCCGUGUUUGUUUUUCAAUUGGAACUAGCUGUCCAAUCCAUCUGACUAAGUGCUAAAAUUUACUGCGAGUGAUAUUCAAAGAUUUUUUAACAUUGCACUAAAAUAUAUACAAUCACAAUUGAAAUAUCUAAUUCCUAUUGAACAUGUUAUAUUUGCUGUCAAAAAUAUUUUUCACUAUAUGCAAAUGGGAAAAGAAAAAAAAAAAGAAAAAGGAAAUUAGUUUCUGUAUAUUUUGAAGAAGUUAAAUGGGUGUAGAUACGGCUGGAAUCCGACACUGAAGGAGUAAAUUAAUAGCGUUCUAGCAGUUCUAUGUUGUAUUUUUCAUUUAUUAACGGUUAAAAAAAUUUUAGUUCAAUAUUUUUUUGGCAUUUUAUACAAAUGGAUUUAUAAAUUUUCAAUAUUUCAAAGGAAGUAAUGAAAACGUGGUCUACAUUGUCUUGGCCUACGUUCUCCUGAAAUCCUAGGACUAUAAAUACCCUUCAAACGAACUUGUAAAUUCAAACAAGACCAUUGAAGAGAGAAGCAUUUCUUUGAUUUUCUGCCCAAAUUUCAAGAGUGAAAUACAGAAAUGGAUAUCCAAAUCCAUGCAUCUGCUGCUCCAUUUUCCACCAAAAAUACGAGCAUUCAGGAUACUCGUCGCUCUGUCACAUAUCAUCCUACCAUUUGGGGAGAUUAUUUCCUUGCGUAUACUUCUAAUGUGAAUUAGCUAGAGCUUUUGUUCCUCGUUAAUUAACUGAAAUAUAAUUGUGUUAAAAUGUUAAAUGCAUGCUUCCUCUUACUUGAGCAGGAUAUAUUGGCCCAUGAAGAGCAAGAGCGUCAAAGCUUAAAAGAAGAAGUAAAAAAGUUGCUAACGGCCGCCCAAGAUGAUUCAUUGUAUAAACUAGACCUCAUCGAUGCAAUCCAAUGUCUUGGAGUUGGUUAUCAUUUUGAAAAAGAAAUUGAAAAAUCUUUAAAACACAUCUAUGGAACUUAUCAUGAAAGCCACAAUGAACAAAACAAUGAUGUUCGUACCGUUGCUCUUCGAUUUCGAUUACUCAGACAACGAGGAUAUUACGUCCCAUGUGGUAAUUAAUUUUUGUUUUCAUGAUUCAUUACACGUUGGGAAAUUAAAUUGACAUAGUACAUGAAAAGAUUAUGUUCUCUAAAUAUGAACUUGCACCUUACACAUUUAAGGGUAUAUUACAUAUUUUUUACGGAUGAGGCAGAUGUGUUCAACAAAUUGGACUGCCAAGGAAAAUUUGAGGAUUCUUUGAUUAAUGAUGUACCCGGGCUGUUAAGCUUGUACGAGGCUGCACACUUUGGAGCACACGGGGAGGAAAUUCUAGAAGAAGCAUUGAAGUUUUCUGCCACUCACCUCAGAUCCAUGAUCCACCAGGUGAGCAAUUCUCUCUCUAGACAAGUAAGUGACGCGCUGGAGAUGCCAAUUCACAAAACUUUGACAAGGCUCGGUGUUAAGAAAUUCUUAUUCAUUUACCAAGAAUCCGGUGAAGACAUGCUCCUGAAUUUUGCAAAAUUAGACUUCAACAUAGUGCAGAAGAUGCAUCAGAAGGAGCUAAGUGACAUUACACGGUUAGUUUGUUUUGUGAAGCUUCACUCUGUAUAUAUGCACUUAUAUAUUGGUAAAAUUUAUUUACUUUCGGAUGUGAAUUGCAGGUGGUGGAAGGCUUUAGAGUUUGAAAAAAAAUUGCCUUUUGCAAGAGAUAGGCUGGUGGAAUGCUACUUUUGGAUAUUAUGUGUCUACUUUGAGCCCCAAUACUCUCUUGCAAGGAAAAUUCUAACCAAAGUAAUCGCCUUGACUUCUAUUAUUGAUGACAUCUAUGAUGUUUAUGGCACCCUAGAUGAACUUCAACUUUUUACAAAUGCCAUUGAAAUGUGAGUUCUGAGUUGUUCUUUGUAUCGUAAUAUCUAAUAGCAUAUUUAUUUACAGCAAAAUAUAUAAUUCAAAUAGAUCCCAAUUUGAUAUUGAAUAUUUUCGUGAGCAGGUGGGAUUUUAGUGCUGGAGAUCAAUUACCAUCAUACAUGCACUACUUUCACAAAUCUCUUUUAGAUGUUUAUCGUGAAGCUGAGAAAGAUUUAGGAAAGAUAGGAAAAUCGUAUCGUGUUCACUACUCGAUUGAUGAGGUAAUCAAUAUUAAUAAAGUUGCUAGAAUUUUAAGCACGGUUACAUCCAAUUAAUAGUAUCUAAUCACAAUUUCAAUUUAUAGAUGAAAAAAUUAGUCCGUGCAUAUUUCGAAGAGGCAAAAUGGACGUACAACAGAUAUACUCCAACACUUGAAGAGUAUAUGAAAGUCGCAUUGGUAUCUAGUGCUUACAUGAUGCUAUCUACGACAUCUUUGGUAGGUAUGGGAGAACUGGUAACUAAGGAAGCCUUUGAUUGGAUUUCAAGUGAACCAUUAUUAGUUCGUGCUUCAUCAAUAAUUUGUAGACUAAUGGACGAUAUGGUUGGUCAUGGGGUAAGAAGUUUGAAUUCUUAUAAAUUGAUUUUCUUUAAAUUACACAAGUUCAUCACAUGGUUUUUUUUUUUUUUGCCGUCAACAUAUGAGAAAAAUAUAAUAGCCUGCUUAGCAUUAGAUUAACAAGUUUUGGGUUGUGUUACUUUUAUGCAGUUUGAGCAAAAAAUAACGGCUGUUGAAUGUUACAUAAAAGAGAGAGGCUUCAAAAGAAGAUGCAUUUGCUGUAUUUCAAACGCAAGUCAUGAACGCGUGGAAGGUUAUAAACCAAGAAUGCCUUAAUUCAGAUGCAGUACCAAUGGCUGUUCUGUUACGAGUAGUCAAUCUUACACGUUUCAUCAAUCUUCUAUACAAAGACAGUGAUGAAUACACAAAUUCUAAAACAAAGUUAAAAGAUUUCAUAACGGCUAUACUCAUCCAACCAGUGCCAAUAUCCAACUGAACAUAGUUGUGGUGCGGACUUUCAUUUUAAUGUAUCAUCUUGUUGUCAUCCAUAUUUAGUGUUGUCUUCUCAAAUUCUACGACUCAAUUAGGUCUUAAUUAAAGUUGUCCAAACGUUGAAUUUUCUCGUAUGUAAUCAAACGUUAUAUCUACUGGAAAGCUCUUUGAGUAGUUAAAAACUUUGUAUUUGUUUUGUUCGAUGUUCUAAAUAAUGAUAUUAAUGUUGAAAUUUUCUUACGAAUAAUUAGAACUGGAAUCUAUCUUACAAUUCAUUGAUAUUCAACUACUUAUAUAACAAAUACAGGACAAAUCUUACAUGAAAAUCCAUGAUUCUACGAGCUAUAAAAGGCUGAAUCAAAUCUAUAAAUUGUUUGCUAUUUAUACAUAUUUGAGGCAGAUUUCUCCAGCAAUAUAUCAGCAAUAUUGAUUUUCUUGUGAUUGAUUGCUUCAUUGCCACCAGUAAAGGGAUCAUUGUCUUCAUCCUUUUUGAAUGCUUCAUUACCAAUAUUUUUGUGAUCAUUUCCUUGGAACUAACAAAGCGGAAUGGACAAGGAUAGCUUGCUUACUACUUUCUUGUCUCAUCCAACAUCUACAGUGGAGAAUUAGUUAUAGCGUAGGGGAGGAAAAAUAUGUGGUCUGAAAUUUAAGACAUUAGUUGGAGAAAGUAUAGACACUGAAUUUGACAUGCAAUACCAUGCACAUGGUCACAACACCAAGAUUGUUGUUAGUUUUUAUAUUGAAAUCACUGUUCAUUUUCUGUCCAAAUUCAAAGACUAAAAGUAAAUGAAUAUUUACAUUCCUUCAUGAUUUCCACAAAAUAUAUAUGGUAAAUGAGAAUACACGGUGCUCUGUCACAUAUCAUUCAACCGUUUCACAAUAUUUCAUUGCAUAUACUUUAGACCCCAUAAUAUAAUUAAUUAGUCCUUUAUCUGGAAAUAAUUCAUUGCUCUAGAUAUAAUAUUUAGGCAUUUAAUUUCUACAAAAACUGUAUUUUGAUGCACCACAAAUUUAUUUACAGCAGCAGUCCUAACGGUUAGUAUUUUAUGGAAAAUAAAUAUUCAAAAACAAAUAACAAAUUAGAAAAUUAUAGACACCCCUUGAGAAUAGUGAGUAUUACAGAUUCGUUCAGCCUCUACAUUUAAAAAUAAAAAAAAUUAAAAAAUUAAAAAAUUAAAAAAUUUAAAAAUUUAAAAAACCUCCAACAAGGUUUCAUUACAUAUUCGCCCGGUAAGCAAAAAAGCAAAUAUAUAUUUUUUGUUUAAUCCCUUUGCUUUGUACUAUUUUGAAAUUCUUAUUACAUACAAUUAAACUAUUUUUCCUUUAUAUUUCUUUUAAUUUCUUAAAAUACCUUACAUACUAUUAUUAGCCUUAGUUAAAAGAAUAUCAUUAUGAAUUGUGAUAAUAUCUUAAAAGAUUUUAAAAUACAAUUUACUUUCUAAAAACAUUAUAUGUUUUGGCUAAUAUGAUUGACGAAUAUUUAAAAAAUGAAAAUAAAAACAUGUUAUAGAAUAAUAUAAUAAAGAAAGAAAAUAAUUUUUAAAUAUUUUAUAUUUCUUGAUUUAGUAGCAUUUUCUAAAAUUUUUACUCAUUUAUACUCUUAAAAUUUAAACUACGUUUAGAAAAUCAAACUAAUAAUAUCAUAAUAAAGUUGGCAUUAAAGAUUUGUAGUUUCUUUUUAAGCCAAUAUUUUAGAUCUAUUUUUUAUUUAUUCAUUUUUAAAAUGAGAAAUUAAUUUUAAUUAGUGGUUUUUAUUACUUACUUUAACGAUAAGUAUAACUUUGUACUCAUUGAUCACGGCCAUAAGAAAAGGGACAUAUGCAAUGACUUUAAUUGAAUUGAUACUUAAUUUUUAUUGUAUAUAGAUUGAUUUAUGAGAAACUAGAUAUUGUAUUGCAUAUGAAGAAAUAGGGGCAGAAAUUGAAUGAUAAGGACUAAGAAUGAACAAAAUAUUGAAAAAAGAGGGAAAAUGAUAAGGACUAAGAAGAAACAAUUUGUGGAAAUUUGGGACUGAGGUAUAAAUAUUCGAUGAAGGACCAACAACGUAAAUAGGAAGUAACUUGAGCUGAAUUGAUAGGAAAACUUAGUGACUAACUUGAAUUGGAAGCAAAAAGGAUGCACCUUGCAAUCGCAAGACUCUACCUAUGCAAUCACAAGUUUCACCAAGUUCAAGAAUAUUAUCAUACGAUCACAAUCAACGUUACCCUGCUAUCGUGUUGAUUUCAAUCACGUGGUUUUACAAGGUAGCAAAGAUUUUAUUUCUUAAUUUAAAUCAAGUUCUACAUGGAAUGGGAUUGGAGCACAAAUUUCACCUAAUUCUAGGGGCUACAAAGACGAUUAUUCAUCGAGCAAAAGGGGAAGAGAGUUUUGGGGGAGACAAAAACAUACAUUCUAUACACUUUAACCAUCAAGAGCUUCUUGCAAUUACAUAUUCCCGGUUGUAAAUUCUCAAUUUAUUAUGUAUUUUUGUAAUUUAAACAUGAUAGGAUAAAUCUUUAGUAGUUCUCAAUUUAUUUUGUCCAAUGUUCUAAAUAAUGAUAUUAAUGUGUGGUUGAAAAUUUGAGACAUUAGUUUUGUCUUUAUGAUAGUUAGAAAGCAAGUAUAGCCAUUGAAUUUAAAAUGAAAUACCCUCCAUAAGGUCACAACAACACAUGUUAUUUUUAUUUUUAUUUUUAUUUUUUUAACUUGAAUAAACUAAAAUAAAUCACCAUCAACACAAACUUCCAUUUUUAAAAAAGUAAGAUUGACACUGUUUUUAUAUUAAAAACACAGUUCAUUUUCCGAUCUAAUUCUAAGACUAAAAGUAGGUAUUUAUAUUCAAAACACAGUUUAUUUUCUAUCCAAAUUCUAAGACUAAAAGUCAAUUAAAAGAAUAUGGAAUGAAUAUUUAAAUUUCUCCAUCGACUGCUCCCAUAAUUUCGACAAAUGUGGCAUUGAGAUUCCAUGGUGUUCUGUCACAUAUCAUUCAACCCUUUGAGGAUAUUUCCCUGCAUAUAAUUCAGACCUCACAAUAAAAUUAAUUAGUCCCCCUACCUUGAAAUAAGGCAUUGUUCUAGAUCUAGUAUUUAGGCAUUUAAUUAUUACAAAAACUUUAUUUUGAUGCACAACAAAUUUAUUUACAGCAGAUAGUAUUUGUUAGAACAAAAAUAUCCAAAAAAUUAAUUUAUUUGAAAGUAUAUAAAAAAAUUAGAAAAAUAUAGACAUCAAAGGUUAGUGACACUCCUUGUGAGCAAAAGCAAAUAUAUAUUUUUUGUUUUAUUUCUUCGCUUUGUACUAUUUUAAAAUUCUUAUUACAUAAACUUCAAACUUUUGAUUUAGAUGACAACAUGAUGUUUUAAUGAAAAGAAAUAUCAUUACAAAUUGUCAUAGUAUUUAAAGUCGUCGUAAAAUAUUAUUAUUUUAAAAUAUAUGUAUACACACACGUGCGCGCGUUUGGCAAAUAUGAUUGACAAGGAUUAACAAAUCAACAUAAAAACAUGCUACAAAAUAAUUUAAUGAAGUAGAUUAUUUUUUUAAUAUUUAUAUUUCUUGAUUAUGUAACAUUUUCUCUAAUAUUUACUCAUUUAUACUAUUUGACAUUUAGACUAUGUUUAGAAAAUUAAACUAAUAAUAGUGUUAUAAAGUUGGCAUCAAAAGAUUAAAGUUUAGAUCUCUUUUUAGUUUUUUUUUAGUGAAUAUUUUAGAUCAAUUUAAUUUAUUCAUUUGUAAAAAGAAAAUUCAAUUUUAACAAUAUAUUAUCAAGAUGAUGAGAGAGAGAGAGAGAGAGAGAGAGAAUAUUUAUUAUAAAGGGAGAGAAUUCUUUAAUAAUUAAAACAAGGGGAUGACCGUGUCUUUACUUUUUGUAAAUUUCGUGGGAGGUUUUUGGUAUUUACUUUAACGAAUAAGUAACAAUAUGUCUGGAAUUCCUAGGAGUGUAUCUCGACUGUGAUGACAACUGUGCCAAAAACAUUGGGUGAUAUAGGAUCUAGAACUGGGAAUAUACAGCUCGUGAGCUCUUAUGACUAUCACAAAUAGUGUUUGGUAGUCUCUGUUAUAUUCCUCUUUGUCCUUUAUACACGGUUUGUGGUGAUUUGAUUAACGCAAAUUUUCAUUUGCUUUCCUUCAAAAACAAAAAAAAUAAAAAAAAAUAAAAAAUGAGAUUAUCGUAAUGGUUAUGAGCAAGCUUCUUAAAGACAUAAGGUGUGCAAGGAGUCAAUAUCAACCCUCAAGCCUUACGAGUCUAGACGUAAUAAGUUGUUUUCUUGUUUUUAAUGUUAUUUUAAUUUUUCUAAGAUUAUUGAUAAUAUUUCUUUUUAUUCAAUUAGUUUAUGUAACUUAAACUAUUAAAAAAAUUAAAUAUAAAAUGUGCGUGGCUUGGCCUGAAUGAGUCGUGCCUUCUUCACUAAGCUCAACUAGACAUCACCAGCUUUUUCGACCUUUCAGAAUACUAAUUGUGAGGUAAAAUCACACAGAUUUCUACUAUGGGUACUCAAUCUAUUCUUCCACCUGCAAGUUGGUCUCAAAUUUUAACAAAUAACUUCUCAAUCUUUCAUUAGCAUUGCACACUAACUCUUAGUUCGAGAUGUCAAUAGGUGCAAGUUGUCAUCAAAUUGUUAGUUUGGUGCAUGCCUAUAAAUGGCAUUGCUCGCCUUUGAGGCAAGUCUUAGGGUGAGCCAAGUAGGGCUGCACAAAAAAAAUCGCAAAAUCGCAAAUCGAAUCGAAAUCGUUGAGUUGAAAUCGUUGGUUUGGGUCCACAUGGACCCGUGGUUUCUUUUCCCUCAAACCAAACCAAACCGUUUCAAAAUGAUUUGGUUUAGGUUUUGAUUUUCAAAAAUCGCACAAAACCGAACCGAACCAUUUUUAAAUUUUUUAAUUAAAAAUAAAUUUUAUUAACUUAAAAAUUUUAAUUUUUUUCAUUUUUUAAAACAAAAAAAUCAAUUUAGUAAUACGAAUUAUAACUAACCUAUUGAAAUAAUCAUAGAAAGUAAAUUAGGUUCAUCAUUAUUGGCCUAUGAUUUAAUAGGCUCACAACACAUAUCUUCACCCGAUAUCUAAGCUAAACUAAAAUUAUUCCAAAAUCAUAUGAAAUGAAAAAAAAAACAUAUAUUUUUAACAAUCCAAAUUAUAAUUCAACAAAACUAUGUCAACAAAUCACGUCCAAAGUUUCAGAAACCCUAAUAUAAACUCUCAUUUCCUAACAUUUGACAAUUGUUUGCCAGUGCUAAACGAAUCGCUAGUCGCCUUUGCCUGUUAGUUUACUCAUCUCUACCUGAAUCGUCUCUUUCUCUAUUCUCUUUUGGUAAGUCCUAGAUUUUUAUUUAAGUCAUUUGUCCAUUGUGCUUUCUUUUAUUUGUUUUAUUUGAAUUUAUUAUACACUUAUGAUUGCUGGUUUGGAUAGAAAAAUGAUUGUUUGUGUGCUUAGAUAAUUAAUGAACUUAUUUGUUAUUUAGAAAGAAUGAAGGACGAAGCGUAUUAAUUGUGAGAAAUUGUUAAAGUACCCUAAUUAGUACUACUGUCUUCUACUUUUAUAAAGUAGUUAGAUGAUGAAAUUUGUCAAUUCUCAAUAAGCCGAAACUCUAUCAAUCUUUGUACAUUUAAACAUAUCAUGUUCAAUCCUUAUUUAAUAUCUCACUAGCAAAAUGAAAAGAGUUUUAACCAAACUAUAAUAGCAGAAUGUAACUCUACUUUUACCAACCGUUAUAUGACAAUAUGAAUAUCAAGCAAGAAAAAGUAAAUAAAAAUGAAGAAAUAUGUAUUUGUUCUAUUAACAUCUUUUAGCAACCAAUUUUGAAAAUAAUUUAUUCACGAGUUUCAUGGUAAAUAUGAAUGUAAUUUAACAUUUAACGUUAUUAGUUCUCGUUUAAACUUAUAUUUAACUUAUGUUGAAUACAUUACUAUAAUGCCGAAAGGUAAAUCGCGAAUUAAAAUCGAAUCAAACCGCAAAUUAUGGUUUGGUUUGAAAAAUAAAAUGGUUUGAUUUGGUUUGGUUUGAAAAAAUUUCAAACCAUAUAAAAUGGUUUGAGUUGAAAAUAUAGCACAAAUCGUCCAAACCGAAAUGCGUUCACCCCUAGAGCCAAGUCAAGAACUUCCCAUGCAAGGGCUGCCUCAUUUUUGCAUUUCAUUAUUAUUAUUUAUUUAUUUUAUUUGUCUACAAAUGCUGCAAUUUCUCAAACAGUUUCUUCACACCCUUAUCCAUUGUUCAAAAUUUCAUAUACCACUCAAUAGUAUUAUAAAUUUGCAAUUAUUCUUACUGUUGUCAUUUGUUUGCAAUUAUUGCUUCUACUUCUCACUACUCCCCAGUCUCCUACCCUUUAUUGCCUUUUUUCUUCUAUUUUCUACAAAAUUUCUAAUGGAUUUUAGAGGAUGAACCCCAGUUAGGAUCUCCAAAUAAGUAUUUCUAAAUUUAAAACAAAAAAAAAAAACAAAAAAUAGGGGCAAAUAGUUUUGUUUGGUUUCAAACGUGUUUUAACUAUCAAAACCUAAACCUAAUAAUUAUUAUGUGGCACCUCAAUUUGAAGUCGAAGAAGUCGAAAUAUUAAUGGAUACACGUGGAACAAACCAACAGUUUCGUUGUGAUUUCUGUUUACGUAAAGGAUAAACCAUAAAGAUAUAUUUGAGCGACCACCAUUACAAUUAGUAUGUUGGGGAUUAUACGUAAAAUGAUCUUUGCAUUUAAGGUCAUUGAGUGUCUAUACACUAUAUUAAAUGUUAACAAUGGGUAAUUUUCCUAACAUUUUAAUUAAAUGUAGGUGAUUUUUAUUAUUUUUUUGUUUUUUUUUUUUUAAAGAGAGGUAUUUUUCAGUUUUUAAAGAAAAUAAGGCUUAUAGCAUUAUUAUCACUUAAGAAAAUACUCAAUUUGGACUCUUAAAAACUUCUUUCAAGUGACAGACUAGUGUGAAAUUCGUAAACGUGUACUAUCUUUUAUAAAUUUCAUGAAAAUUUUUCAUAUCUUCUAUAAAUUUUCUUUUAAGGGCUUCUAUAAACUUCAUUAGACUUUGAAAGACUACUACUUUAAGGGGGAGGGGGGACUUAUUGCAUAUUCAGCAAUAGUAAUAUAUUAUUCAUCCGUAUCAACUGAAAGAACAUUUACAAUGCUCGUUAGGGAGCUAUCAAGUCACACAUCACCCAGAAAUCGGGAGAGAGCAGCAGCAUUAACUUCCCUUCCCUUUGAAUUGAACAUUGGAGGUCAGCAAAUAAGGCUAUCAUUCCAAAUACAAUCAUCAUGAUCCUUAACAUAAUGACACAUUUAUUAUUGGACUGUUUUAAAUACAGCCAAUUUUUUCAUUCAAUCACAUCUUGCCAAUAUCGAUUAUGACAUUCUAUCUAUCAACCAUUUUCUGGUAAAGUGGUAUAACUUUGUUUCGAUCGUACAAUCAAUGGUGAAUCUAGGACGAAAGGUUAGCUAGGGCAGACAGUGAAUGUUGACUGUUGACAAUCAUCGACGGUAAUAGCGAUAUUGUUUAUUAAUUUUUAAUUAAAUAAUUUUAAAAAUUCUUCAAUAUAUAUGAAAAUGCACUAAAACGUAAAAAUUCUACACAUGGAAUAUAAUUCAAUACAACAUUUUUUAUUUACUUAUGAAAAUAUAAUUCUACACAUGGGUGAAUUGAGCUCAACAUCUUUUUAUUUACUUAUCUUACAUUUCCUAAACAUAAAUAUCCAAAUCACAAAUCAAAAUUCAUAAAUGAUAAAUUGUAACUCGUAAUUCAUACAACAUAAAUUAUUUAUCAUAGAUCACAGCUUGACAAUUACAAUUAUUUCUCUGUCAUUUUGUCAAUUAACUUAUAAAACAUAAAUCAUAGAUUCAUAAGAAAUUAAGAAUCAUGACACAUUUAUAAUAAAUCAGAUAAUGAAUUAUAUGAUUACUAAUUAUGCGAACUUGUGACGUGUCAACACAGAAAAAACCCAAAAAAAAAGGAGAGAAGCAGCUCACUGACUUGAACAAGAAAGAUGUGUACUGGCUGCUCAAAAACUCCGCGUCCGAGAGUUUACCGAUAGCGACUUCUUGUUGUCGCCACUCGUUCGUCGACAGCAAGUCUGCAACUACUUCCUUCAGCCCUCGCAGAUCGCAUAGAAGUGGCCAGGAGAAGGUGGAAAAGGGUUUGUGUUGGUAAUUGCCUUCAUUUGGUCUUGGACUUCUGUUAUAUAUAUGAUGCAUGGAUUCAUUGGAUUAGGGCUAGUUUAAAAAAAAAAAAAACAAAACAAAAGGCCCACAACUACAACCAUGAGGCAUUAACCCCAAAAAAAAGGAAAAAAUUCAUAAUCCAAGUAUACCAUUUACACCAAUUUAAAAAUCAGGUAGAUAAUUUGAAAAUUCAAAUUCAGGUACAUAUUUAAUUAACUAAAAAUACUUAUUAAAUAAAUAUAAUAAAAUCACAGUUAUUCAAUUAAUGGUCACAUAUCUGAUUAAUGGUCACAUAUCAUCAAAUUAAUUAGUUACAGAUUAUUUCGUGGUCACAAAUCAAAAAUUUUGAAGGUCACGGAUUAUUUUUGAGGUCACAAAUCAUUCAAAUUGCAGGUCACAGUUCAUCUGUAAGUCACAUAUUUUCAAUUUAUUGGUCACAAAUUAUUUUUUUAGUUACAGAUUGUCAAAAUUUAAAUAUCACAGACCAAAUCAUUGGUCACAUGCAUAAAUAACUCCACCCCCAUUUCAAUUCACCACCAAUACUUGGUCACAAAGCAACCAAAUAAUUGGUCACAAUCACCAUUACACCCCACCACAACACCUCUACAACGAGCCAACAAUAACAAAAAUGAUAACCAAAACACAACGAACGACUGCACCACACCAUCACACAAUCAUUGACCACCAUCUCGUCGCCAGCACCACCACCCACCACUAGCAUCACCACCAUUACCCCGAAGUCCCCAACAAUGCACCACCACCACAAUCUCCAUCGAACACCGACCGCAUUAACGGAACGUACUGCUCUUCAUAAAUCAGUAAGAACUUCCUGAUCAGAAGGAAGACCUACAACACCCUACUCAUGUGUGCCGUCUUCACAAAUCCAUCUAUGGCCUUAAACAGGUCCCCAAGCAAGCCACCCAUAAAUGCAAUUUUCUAAGACUUCUUAGAGGGAAGGGUUUCCGAAACCAUAGUUCUUCACCUUCUCUCUCCCAUACAAAACAAUGAGGGUUUCCUAAUAAUUAUUGCAAAGACAAUUUAUCCCUUUAGUUCUUCACCUUCUCUCUCACACACAAAACACACACUAGGUGAGUGGGGUUUAUAGAAGAAGACGCCGCAAAUAGGAAAUAUAUAAAAAGAACUACGAUUUCGGAACACCGAUCGCACUGCCGCUAACCAGUGUCACCGCACCCACAGCCACAGCAACGUCGAACUAGCACUUGUCAGAGCAUCGAUGCUCAUCCUGCACCUAAUGCUAGUCACGACACCAGCAAAGAGAGAAUGUUGGUAGAGAGAAGAUCGAGAGAAUGGAGAUAGAGUAGAGAGAGAAUGGAGUGAGUUAGGGUUUGGAAUUGAAUUAAUUAAUUAAUAAAAUAUCCAAUUAAUACCUGAUUUUUUAUUAAAUAAACUUUAUACCUGUAUUUUAAAUUUGAAAGUUUAACUACCUGGUUUUAUGUAAUUUCCUCAAUAAAUAAAUAAAAUAAAAAAUUACAAGACCCAACUCCGAGACCUUGCCUUCUUCAUCAUUCGUCUACGGUCUCCCCUGCAACUGAUCUGGUGCCCGACGGUCAGUGGAAACUCAAAGUUUCGAUAGAGUCCAACACGUGCGAUCACGCCCCCUCGUCGAGUGCUGGCUCCGCCAUAUAAUGACAACCAGUCUGCUCUAGCACGUUGUGCCCCAAAAAAUAAAAAUAAAAAAUUCUUCUCUCUCACUCAAAAUAAAAAUAAAAAAAAAUAAUAAUAAGACGACGACAAAGAAAAAUUUAAAUUAUCCCAGUAUUAUUCCUACCAGUGGGCAAAGUAGGUAAUUGUCAGGUGUGGCCAAGGGCGACAUCACAUGUACAGCGAGAUUACAUCCCCCAUCAGAAUAUGUACUAUUUUGGUUAUAAAGAGGUCGACUAGACUUUAGAAACCGACGGUGGUUCAAGCAAAGCUUUCAGUUUUCAGUAUUUAGAUUGAUUUCCUAAUGGAGCUUUUAGCCAUUCGCCAAACCCGUGUUCUGGAUUUCGGAGGAUGGGCAAGCCCCCCCCAUACAUUCGGGAAAAGUGUGGACAUAUUUCCAGCAUAGGGUGCAGUAGGAAGUUUUUCAUAUUUGUAGUUCAGUUUAACCAGGGGCGAAGCCAAGAUUUUAGUUUAGUGCGGGCAAAAUUUUUUCGAUGUGGGACGUCGAGAUUUUGGUCAUUGAUUUAAUAAUGAUAAAGAAAUAAAACAAUAUUACAACAAUACUAAAAAACAAAGUGCUAAUUUCAUAUAUUAAAAAAAUAAAUAUUAUUACAAUUUACACAAAUCAAACUAACAAAAAAUAAGGGAAAAAAUUCAAUUGAAUGAAUGGAAGUGGCGAAGUGUGAAGGGACGAAGUCAUAGACUCACAAUUCACAAAGAGUUGAAAUGAAUGAAUGGGCAUGGGUAAAUUGAUUCAAUUGAAUUUUGAGGGGAAUGGGUCUAAAAUGGGCCAUGGGCUUCUCUCUCUUGGCUGGACAAUGUACACAGAAGUAAGAAAAAAAAAUUUACUUGGCCAUGUGGAGCUGGGCCCAAAAGUCCAAUAUAGGCAUCUAGGGAAGUGAGUUAAACAAACAAACAAAAAAUUUACUUGGGCCUGUGGAGUUGGGCCAAAAGUUUAGUACAGGUCCGCACUGGACAUAAUUAGGCUCCGCCCUUUAGUUUAAUAGUGACUCUAUUCUCGCUCAAUUGCAUGAAAGAGUUCAUCGGAGAGGUUGCAAUAUAUAAUCUUCACACGAAUCCGUUAAAAUGACAAUCAUUAUUUAAAAACUCUUUUCAAAAUACUCAUUUUCAACUACACAUUCAUACAAUAAAAUAUUCUACAUGUAAACCUAAAUUUUUUUACUACUUUUUAACCAUACAAUCUCCUAAAAAUAUUAUUCAAAACAUUACUUUUUCCAAAUAAUGACCAUCAAAUAUAUGCUAAUUUAUGUUAUAUUUAUGUCACUAGUAUCAUUGUUUGAAACCAAAUCAAGCCGCAAAUAACGGUUUGAUUUGCAAAAUUAAACGAUUUUGUUUGACUUUAGAUUUUUUCAAACCUUUGAAAAUGGUUUAAUUUUAGGCCCUGUUUGAUAAUCUCCUUUUUUCCAUGGAAAAUGGAAAACAUUUUUCAUUUCCAUCCAAAAUUGUGUGUUUGAUGGCACCCAAAUUCCAUGUAAUUGGUUUUCCAUUUUCCCACCCAUGUGACCCCCUUUCUAGCUUUUCAAGGAAAACCAUUGGUUUUCACGAGAAAAUGAUUUCCAGAUUUUUUUGGUUUAACAUUUUAUUAUUUAGUUGCAAUGGGAACAAAUUCUAUGCACAAUUGUAAAAAAAAUUAUUCUUUUAAUUGACAAUUUUCAUGGAAAACGAACAACAAAAGAUCCAAAUUUCAACAUUUUCCAAGGUGGAAAAUUAUAUCAAUCAAACACAUUUAAUUGACAAUUCCCAAUAAAAUAAGUUCUAGGCAAUUCAAUUUCCUGGAAUUCAUUUUCUUUCCAUCCAAAUUUCAUUCUUGCUAUCAAACAAACCCUUAGUAUAAUUUAAAAUCGUUCAAACAAAACUUUGUUCAACCCUAAGUGAUUAUUGCAUUAUGAUGUAGAUUGUUGUAGAGGUGGUCUUAGUGAUGGUGGGUGAUACAUAUUGUAUUACUGGUAGUGAGUGGAAAGUAUUACGAUGUAACACGAAAUGUUACGAGGUGAUGAAGACUACGACAGUGAAUUUUGCAUAACAUUGUAUUGCAAAGUGUAGUAUAAAAAAAAUUAAGAAUAUAUAUAUAAAGUGACGUGGAGAAUAAUUUUAUUUUUUUAGCUUAUUCGUGUGAAGGUCUUUUCAAAUUGAAUGGUAUAAAAAAUAAUAUUAUUCAACAUCAUUGGUACUUAGCAUUAAUUAGGGAUUCAUUAAGUAACAUUUUAAAUAAAAAUAUAAAUGAGUCAUAUUUAAAGUUAAAAUUACUUAGCACUAAUCUAGGUGUUUCGGGAUUAAAUUGGAAUAAUUGUGUGAACUCUUCCACAUACAACGUCCACACGUACCAGUGAUGUGUAGAAUCAACAUAUGACUCAUCCCCCAAGUUCCCUGCCCGCAAUGUAUUUGGUCAACAUGUUGGUAAUUGUUCUUUAGCCCUGUUGGGGAUAUUAAGCCCCGUUUGGUAAUAAUUUUUUACUUAAAAAAAUCAAAUUUUGACUGUUAUUUCAUUGUUCCAGCCAUCAUUUUUUAUCUUUUCACUCACAAGUAAAAUUCACUUUUCUUUCUAACGAUCAAAAAAUCAAUCCUCAUAAUUACUACCGAUCAGACCCUAAAAUUAGAUUUUUAAUAGAUUUUGAUAAAAAUUGAUAAAAUGUAUGAUUAAAAAGUUGUGAGUUUAAUAAAUUAUGUGAUUAAAACUAAUUAUUGAUUUUGACUCUAAUUUUAAUCCGGAUCAAAUUGGGGUUACUAUUUAUUAUUUAAGCACUCAAAAUAGUGCUUCUCCUGUACUCAUUUAAUUGCUGUUGGCUUUUUGAUACCCAGUAAAUUCCGGGCUAUGAUGUUAACGUGGGUUAAUAUUAUUUCAUAGGCAUAGGCCGAUGAAUGAAAUAAGUCCAACAACCAAAUCCAUGAGCUACACUCGACCCAAUUGUAUUCCUUAUGGAUAGCUUGAAUCUUGGCCCGUUUACCACUUUAUUGGCCCAACUUAAAGCCUAACCCUAGAGUAUAUAUAUGAAUAUAACCCUAGCCACUUUGAUAUGAUGAUUGUGUGAUUUUGAGAGAAGAAAUAGUGAAUCCCGGCUGCCCCCCUUUUGUGUGAGAAAAAGGUGCCCAGAAGUGUCCAGAACGCUUGUAUAACGUGUGCAAUUGGUGGUUCUUUCAUAGUAUACAUUUGUGGUGUCUUCUCUUAGCCUUUGUGGCCAUAAAUCAUCAUCCUUUCUUGUCCUACGUGGGUAAGAUUGCAUAGCAACCAAGGUGAAUCAAUUGGCUGUAGUUUGGAGCCGAUUGGACUGGUUGUUGGUUGAGAAAGGUACGUUGGACUGAGCCUGAAAAACCACCGUUUGAAGAUCCUUUUGAGAGAGCUUCCGCAACAAUUGGUAUCAGAGCUUCAAGGUGAAGGUUUUGGCUCGUGAAAUCUACCAGAAAUCGUCCAGAAAAUCGGCAGAAACGCAGCAGAAAUCAGAUCGAAGAAGCUGUCCAAAACUGUUAAAAUCAGUCUUCGUUUUUCGUGUUUUUUGAUCAAUCCAGAAGGGGUUUGGGAAAAUGGAGACCACUGGCGUGACGUGCAGGAGGAGGCGAACCCUUCAAGCCGACGCGUGUCAGUCUAAGGCUGCGCAUGAGGCCCACGCGCAGAGGGAAGGAGACGGAUGUGAGGGCGCGUGGAGCGUUUUUUGUGACGGUCUCUUCAGGCAGUUUGUUCCUCAUAUUAUUUCUGACAUUUUUCAUGUUUAAAGUUUUCUGUUUCAGGGUACGCAGAAGAAUCUGGACAGCGUUGUUCUUCGGGCGUUCGGGACUCGAUCGUGAUUUUUUGGUUGCUGCAGUUUCCAGAGACUUUAGGACGAAUAGUGGUGGUCCUAAAGUGUUAAAUUCGUGUGUCUCAUAAUUUACGGACUCAGAUAGGUCCGCUCUGGUAUAUUGGCUUAACUUAGUUUAAAUUUCAACAUUAGCAGAUCAUCGUGUGGGGUGAUCGUCAGGAUUGGGGGUUGUCAUUGUUUGGCAACCAUUGCUUGUGCUAGAAAAUUUAGGAAUUAUUUGCUCUGUUUUUGAAGUGUUGAGUUUUGAUUGCAAGUUGGUAGUUGAUUUUGUGCUUUACCUGUCAUAUAGUCACUGUGUGAGACUUGUUGCGUGGAAAUUCGAACUUUUGUUUACAUACCUUCGUUUUGCAUUGAUUUUCCUGUUAGAACACCUGGACUUGACCCGUUCGAACAUUCCCUUGAUCUAAAAUCGGGAAUCUUACAAAACCCUGAGAAUCUAGAACGGUGUAUAUUGAGGCCGUAGGAUAACUUCGUGUGACCUAUCUGUGCUUUUUGGUUGUUCUAGUUUUUUAAAAUAGUCUUCACGCUUUGAAGUUGGAAUUUUUAAUGCGAAGGGGGAUUUUUCAAUUUGGCAACAAAAGAUGAAGGGUAUUUUGGUCCAACAAAAAGUUUCAAAAGCCAUAGAUGGCAAAUUUUCUGCAAAUUUAACAGAAGUACAAAAAGAAGAGUAUGAUGAACUUGCAUACACGUCAAUUAUUUUACACCUGUCUGAUACUGUUUUGAGAAAAGUAGGAAAAUUGGAUUCUACAAAACAACUUUGGGAAAAGUUGGAGGACUUAUAUUUGCUUAAGUCAACUCCUAGUAAAUUGUACUUGCUUGAACGAUUUUUCAGCUUUAAAAUGAAUCCUUCAAAGGAUCUUGAUAAUAAUCUGGAUGUCUUUAACAAAUUAGUUCAAGACAUCAUUAACUGUGAUGAAGAGGUAUCCGAAACGUAUAAGGCUAUUAUCCUGCUUAAUUCCAUGCUUGAUUCAUAUAGGGAAGUUAAGAAUGUAAUUAAGUAUGGUAGGGACACAUUAACACCCGAGAUUGUCAUAGACUCACUUAGGAGUAAGGAGAUGGAGAUUAAGGUUGAAAAAUAGGAUAACAUGAGUGGCGAGUUACAUAUGAUGAAGAGUAGAAUGAAGUUUAAGCAGAUGAAUUUGGGUAGAACUCAAGACGGUAGUGAUUCGAGUAGUGACUCGAGUGUUGAGGGUAGUAAGAAGAAGGGCAAGGGACGAGACAAGUCUAGUGAUAAAAGGUGUUACAGUUGUGGUAAGUGUGGACACUUUAUUAGGGACUGUCCCAAGAAGAAAGAUAAGCUGAAAGGAAAGAUGAGAGGUGAGACGAAUUUGGUUGAGGGGUCGAGUUAUGACCCCAGUGAGGUUUAUUAAGUGUAAACCUAGUCACUGCAUAUGCAUCUGUGUGUGAUCCUUUCUGCAUGUGUGUGAUUGUCUAAAUUUUGUUGCAUGAUUAUCUGCUACAUUUCAAUGUGUUUGAUAUGUGCAUUUGCAUGAAUUUGAGACAUUAGGAUUAUUUGGUGUAAUUGCUUGCAUGCAUAGUGGAUUAGGAUGCAUUAGCAGUGCAUUGUGUGUCUUUUGGUGAGGUGGAGUAUAGAUGCCUAGAGGUACAUGGUGGUUUGUACCGGGGAUGUGGAGAGUGACAUUUGGAUCACGAGUGGAGAUGUGAUCAAAUGUCUAGAAUCCUUUAUCUGGAAAGAGACCUUGAUCAGGUGGAGUGUGAGAAAGACACUUCUAUCACUUCUGUUAGGUGGAGACCCAUUAUCCACGUAGGUUGGGAGAAGUGAUGUGGAGAUAGAGGAUUAUCCCGUGGACUUAGGAUCUAUUGUGACUUACCAGUUAGACAUCAGUUGAGUGAUCUGUCUAGUGAGCCGUGGUGGGCGAUGAGAGGAGAUAUGUGAUCUCGAGGUGUGAGCAACACGGAAUGGGAUAGGAUAAGUGUGGUGAGAUCUUUUCUUAGGGUCAUUUAUGCAUGUGUUGCAUAUGUGGUUGACCGUGGUUUGAUUGACUUGGUGUUAAUCUAUGGUUCUAUGUGAAUGUGUUUCUGAAAUGAUCUGUGUGUGUUAUCCUAUAGUAUAUCGUCAACGCAUGUGUAUUUACUCUUGAUUGUUUACUGUUAAAUAUUUGCUUCUACUUGGGUGUUUUUGACCUUAGCCCCAGUGAGUACAUGGAGCAGGUAUGGUAUGUGUUUCAAGUUGGAAACACGAGGUAAGAUCUGUGAUCCAAUUCUAUUGGCGACCUUGAUUAUGCAAGUGUUAACUGUAUGUUUUGAUUGCUUGCAGAUUUAUUGGGUAUCAAGGUGGAGAUUUGUUGGGUUUUUGAUACCCAGUAAAUCCCGGGCUAUGAUGUUAAUGUGGGUUAAUAUUAUUUCAUAGGCAUAGGCUGAUGAAUGAAAUAAGUCCAACAACCAAGUCCAUGAGCUACACCCGGCCCAAUUGUAUCCCUUAUGGAUGGCUUGAAUCUUGGCCCGUUUAUCCCUUUAUUGGCCUAACUUAAAGCCUAACCCUAGAGUAUAUAUAUAUGAAUAUAACCCUAGCCACUUUGAUAUGAUGAUUGUGUGAUUUUGAGAGAAGAAAUAGUGAAUCUCGGCUGCCCCCCUUUUGUGUGAGAAAAAGCUGUCCAGAAGUGUCCAGAACGCUUGUAUAACGUGUGCAAUUGGUGGUUCUUUCAUAGUAUACCUUUGUGGCCAUAAAUCAUCAUCCUUUCUUGUCCUACGUGGGUAAGAUUGCAUAGCAACCAAGAUGAAUAAAUUGGUUGUGGUUUGGAGCUGAUUGGACUGGUUGUUGGUUGAGAAAGGUGCGUUGGACUGAGCCUGGAAAACCACCGUUUGAAGAUCCUUUUGAGAGAGCUUCCGCAACAAUUGCCUUUAGGCCCCGGUGAAGUACAAAGAAGAAACCUGCAGGUGACUAACAUCUAUGUCGACAACGGCGGACUGUGGAUCUUUGGGCCUCACUCAGUCUGACCUUUGGUCACCGCUUCUCAUUAAAGGUGUGUUUGAUUGCAAGCAUGAAAAGAAAAAAAAAUCUAAGCAAUUCAAUUAUUUUGACCUUAUUUAUAUUAAAAUUGUUAAUUAAAUGUGUUUGGUUGAUUUAGUUUUCAAUUUUAAAAAUAUCACACUUAUCUAUUUUUUAUUGGUGGAUAGAUGAGAGAGAAUGAAUAGAUGAUAAAGAGAAAGAGAGUGUAAAUUACCUGAAAAAUAAAAACUACAUCUCUCUAAAGAAAAUAUUUUCCUUGUUUUCAAGGGAAAUAAGAUCGCGUCACUAGAAGUUGUAAAAUAUUUCUCAUGAAAAAAAUUGUCAAUCAAAUAACACAAAAAUAAGAAAUUAUAUAGAAAAACACAUUUUCCAUGAAAAAUAUUGAUAAUCAAAUGCACUCUAUGUAAUAAAAGCAUGUAAAAAUUGAUAUAAUAGAAAUUAAUACAUAGUAGCAUAAAAUGAAGGGCAAAAUGGAAAAUAAUUAAAACUAUAUAUGUUACAAAAAUGAAAAGUGACACUGUUCGUUACUUUAAUUUGGUGUGAAGAUUUGAAGUCCGAUUGGAGCAUCAUUUUCACACCAAAUUGACAUUUUACUCCAUUUUGAACUUGAGUCUGAGAUGCCCUAAUGGAAUGUUGUUUUAUUAAAGAUAUGCACCCACCACUUAAUUAUAUUAUUUCUAAAUAAAGAAGAGUAUAAGGAUGUACUUAAACUCGAGUGAUAAACAUAAAUUCUCUCGACUAAAAUCUGCUGUCACAUUUGAAGCCUAAUUUUUUUUUUUUUUUUUUUAAACAGACUUCUUAAUGUGCUUUAGGAACUUAAGUUUAGUAUAAUCUGCUGUAGGUUUUAUGCCUUCUUAUUCCUUUCCUUCAUAUGUUGCAUUUCUUCGCUUUCGGGAGGUCAAGAUUAUGCCCACUUCAUCUUGCUUUUGAAAGUUUGAUUUUAUAUAUAUGGUUGGGGAAUCCAAACCCCCAUCAGCCUUCCCUGGUGGAGCCUGAAAAUCCAUUGAAUUUGUGUUGUGUUUUCCUUAAAGGAAAAAGUCCAUAAGUUUUGCAUGUCCGAUAGCAAGACUCCUGAAGGAUAGAAGUUCAUAACUAGAGAUUAAUGAAUAGAAGAAUUAAUCAAGUAUACACUAAGUGUUGAAUUUGGAUCGUGAAUGUAAUUUUUUUUUCUUUUUUGGGUAUCGUGAAUGUAAUACUUGUGCCUUUUACAGGUGCAGGAGUAUCUGGUCAUCUCUCAGACUCUAAGUUGGGAAGGAAAGGCUCGCUAUUAGUUGUUUGUAUCAUGAAUGCAAUUUUCGGUUGUCUAAGAGCACUUUCUCCAGCUUACUGGACUUAUGCCCCAUUACGCCUUCUGACCGGCUACAGCACCGAAGGAGUGGGCCUCUGUGCUUUUGUCCUAGCGACAGAGCCUGUCGGCCCUACAUUUCGUGGCAUUGCCGAAAUGUCCACGUUCUAUUUUUACUCAGGGGGAAUAGCUACUCUUUCUGGUAUAGCUUAUAUUUUUCAAUCAUGGAGAUCCCUCUAUAUUGCAUCUUCUAUUCCCUCCGUUCUAUUUGCUGCUAUUAUACUUCCUUUCUUGUCUGAGUCCCCUUGAUGGUGUCUUAUUGGAGGAAAGAUGAACCAGGCUAUGAAAACUAUGCACAGAAUCGCUAAAACGAAUGGAAACCAUCUCCCUGAUAGCACCCUUCUUGCCCUUGAUGAAGAAGCAAACAGUGUUCCAGAUAAUGUUCACAGUGAAAGUAAAGUAGAAUCGGAAUCACAAUGACACAAUCAGCCAUAACCGGAUCCCUCAUAGACGUGCUUCACUUACCACUAACACGAAUUCGUUUACUUCUAAUAGUGGCCAUCAACUACUUGUGUUCUGUUGUCUACUACGGCCUAAGUUUGAAUGUGGUCAACCUUGGAACCAGCAUUAAGGUGAUCCACUAAGUUUAAUUUUGGAUUAAUGGGUAUUAAUUCUCAUGGGAUUAAUAUGUAGAGAUCGGAAUAAUUAUUUUUUGAUGAGGGGCCAAUUUAAAAUAAGUGAAACAGAAUAAUCAAUUAUUUAAUAUCGGGUCAUAGUCCCCAAUUGCAAGUGACUUUUCACAAUUCUUUGUAUCCCCAUCAACAAAGAAGAGAUUUCAAAAAAUCACAUAGCAGUUGGAAGAUCAUAAUCCAUUUAGAAAAAUUCAGAUAUAUGGAUUAAGGUAUGCUUCCGCAAUUUUGUUCUCAUUGAUUUCAACAUGGAGAUUUAUAAAUAUAUGUGAAAGGAUUGAUAUAUCUGGUUCCUAUCAAUUUGCUACAAGUGGUAUCAGAGCCACUCCAUUGUUGAAUUCUUUAAGAAAUUGCAACAUAUAAUGUUAUUAUAGUUUUUUUCUUUUUUCUUUUUAUUGUGGAUUAUUAUUUGGAUCUUCAUCAUGCUAUUAUGUGAAAAAUAGAUAUUUCAAUAUUUUUAAAGGAUUUUCAGAUUUGACCAUUUGUAAUUGUGUUUGUUGAAUUUGAAAAUCAUUUGGGAUAUUAUUCAUGGUUAUUUUUCAAGAUCUAAAUAAAUUUUUUGGAAAAUUCGUGGUUGUUUUACAAGAUUUUGAUUAAAAAUUUUGACAAUCAAGUUUUUGUGGAUUUUUGAGUCUCAAAAGAAAAAAAUUUAGAUCCCGCCGUCGGUGUUGCUGUCGGUUGGCGCCGGCUGUCGGCACCGUAAAAAGGGAGAGAGAGAAAGACAGUUAUAGAUUUGAAUGGAUUUUGGGGACGGGGGCCUGAGGUACAAUUUUGGUAUUCUCAGGCCUUUGCUUGCAAUUUAAAAUUAGGGUUAAUUAUUUUUUCAAAAUAAAAUUUUAAAUUUCAAUCCCUAAAGUUUAAAAUCAAUCCAAAUUGGACCUUUAAGGUUAUGGGUUUAAUAAUUCAUCCCCCUAAAUUUUGAAAAUUAUUUAAUUUGGACCAUUAAACUUCUAAAAUUUGCAAUUAAAGCCCUCAAUGUUUAUAAUUAAUUAAAAUUGGCCCCCAAAGUUUUAAAAAUUUUCAAAUUUUGAUCCUAAGGUUUUGAAUUAUUAACCCUUAGGUCCCUGAAGUCUAUAAAGGCAUCUAAUAAUGCAAAAUCAAUGAUUCUCUUUCUCAAAUUAUGGUACUAAUGAUUCUUUUAAGAGAAAUAAUUAAGGUUUAAUUAUGUGAGACAAUCAAAUUCGAAUAAUUUGGUAAAUCAUUUAUAAUGAAUUAAGGUUAUCUAACAUUUUUAAUAAACUAAUUGAAACAAUAUGUCACCAAAGUGACCUCUUUUGUGUAGAUUGGUUUGUUUGCGAUGUUUAGAUGUUGUGUGCGUGUUUCUUCAUGCGGGUAUUAGCCGACCCAAAGGAAGUUUAAUACUUGGUUGAAUUACAUACACACCUACGGUGGUAAUUAUGUGAUAAUUAUAAGAUUUCCAUGUGAAUAAUAAAUCAAUUCAAAGAUGAUUUUAUUAUUUAACGAGAGUUAUUGUCAAUGUUUGAUCACUGUACUAAAAGCACCAUUAGCAAUUAAUAUUACUAUCCAAAGACUUGAUAUUAAUGUUGCACUAGGAAUCUUGAGAUAGGAUUUACCAUUAUUUGAAUUUAUUGUACAUUAAAUAUGGAUAUGAGCAUGAUUAUUUUUUUAUUUUUGUUCUCUGUACAGCUAAUUCAUCUGCUACCACAAUAACUGCUAAUAUCAUUUCCAUUUUCAUGCUUAAUGGGAAAAACUUCAAGGAUUGGAAGGAGAACGUAUUGAUCGUUCUUGACUGCAUGGAUCUUGACCUAGCACUUCAGAUUGAGGAACCCACUAUUCUUACAGAAGAAAUUCUCCUGAUGAAAAGAGGAACUUUGAAAAGUGGGAUCGCUUAAAUCGCAUGAGUCUAAUGAUCAUUAAGUGCGGCAUUCUGAAAGCCUUUAGAGGUGCAGUAUUCGAAGGGAUAACUAAUGCUAAGGAGUUACUUGACAAAAUUGAGAAAAGUUUUGCAAAAAAUGAUAAAGUUGAAACAAGCAUGCUUUUGUAAAGCUUAAUUUCAAUGAAGUAUAAAGGUAAGGGGAACAUGACGGAGUACAUCAUGGUGAUGUCUCAAAUUGCUUCAAAACUUAAAAGGCUAAAGCUUGAGCUAUCUGAUCACUUGCGUAUACAUUUGGUAUUGAUCUCACUUCUUGCACAGUUCAAUCAAUUUAAAGUUAUUUAUAACUGCCAGAAGGAGAAAUGGUCUCUAAAUGAGCUCAUUUCAUAUUGUGUGCAAGAGGAAGAAAGGACGAAACAAGAUAGAACUAAAGUUGCUCACUUGGCAAGCACUUCUAAGGAUAAAGGCAAGAAAAAGAUAAAAGAAUAUGAAACUGCUCCUAAGGGUUCCAGUACAAAAGAAACAGAAGGAUGAUAAAUGAACUUGUUUCUUUUGCAAUAAGAUUGGACAUUUAAAGAAGGACUGUGCCAAAUAUCAUGCAUGGCAUGUAAAGAAGGCUAUAAUUCUUACUUUGCUCUGUUCUGAGAAUAAUUUAGCUUCAGUACCUAGAAACACUUGGUGGAUAGAUUCUGAUGCUACUACUCACAUAAAUGUCUCUAUGCAGGGCUGUUUAAGCUAUCGAAAGCCAAAUGAUAGUGAAAGAUACAUUUAUGUGGGUGAUAGCAAAUAGGUGGAAGUUGAUGCAAUAGGCACUUUUAGGUUGUUAUUGGGAGCUGGUUAUUAUUUGGACUUGAAGGACACUUUUGUAGUACCGUCUUUUAGAGGGAAUUUAAUUUCUGUUUCUUCAUUGAACAAAUCUGAAAUUUGUUGUUCAUUUGAAAACAAUCAGUUUAGUCUUUCAUUAAAUUACAAUAUUAUUGGUACUGGUUCAUUAUCUGCAUAUGAUAACCUAUAUUUGCUUAAUAUUAUUGCAUCAUCUAAUGAAACCUUGCAUGUGGAAUCACAUGGUACUAAACGCAAAUUAAAUAAAGGAAAUUCAGCAAAAUUAUGGCACAAGCGCUUAGGUCACAUCUCAAAAGCUAGAGUUGAACGACUUGUAUCAAAUGGUAUUUUGGAUUCCCUUGACUUCACGGAUUUUGAUGUAUGUGUUGAUUGUAUCAAGGGAAAACAGACCAAAAUAAAGAGAUUAGGUGCUAACAGAACUUUGAACGUCUUAGAAUUGAUACACACAAAUAUUUGUGGGCCAUUCCCUACGGCUUUUUGGAAUGGUCAACAAUAUUUUAUAUAUUUCAUAGAUGAUUACUCACAUUAUGUACCUAUAUCUCAUCCGUGAAAAAUCUAAAUCAUUGGAUGUAUCCAAAGCCUUUAAAGCUGAGGUUGAGAAUCAACUCAACAAAAGGAUAAAGACCGCUAGGUCUGGCCAUGGUGGUGAGUACUACGACAGAUAUGACAGAUCAGGUGAACAAUGUCCAGGACCAUUUGCUAAAUACCUAGAGCAGUGUGGAAUUGUCCCAUAGUACACCAUGCCAGGAUUGUCUAGUAUGAAUGGUGUAGCUGAAAGACAAAACAAGACUCUUAAGGACAUGUGAAGGAGUAUGAUAAGUCAUUCCACCUUACCAAAAUCACUCUGGGGAGAGGCAUUAAAGACUACAGCUUAUAUUCUGAACAAAGUACCAACUAAGGCUACUGCUAUAACGCCUUUUGAGCUUCGGAUAGGUAGAAAGCCUAGUCUAAAGCAUUUUCACAUUCGGGGAUAACCAACUAAGGCAAGACCUUAUAAGCUACAUGAAAAGAAAUUGGACUCCAAAAUAGUUAGUAGCUAUUUUAUUGGUUAUUCUGAGCGAUCUAGGGGCUAUAAAUUUUAUGAUCCCACACUUAAGUCAAUUUUUUAAACAGGAACCGAAUCAUUUUUUGAGGAUGUUGAGUUUGGGGGAGAAAUAAGGUUAGGGACAUUGUCUUUGAGGAAGAAGUUGAGGAAGGAUUGGUUCUAAUUCCUACUAUUGCUUUUAACAAUGUACAGGUUUCUGUACCUGUCAUUGAUCAAGAAGCAUAUCCAAAACCUCAACAUGAUAAUGUUGAAGAAGAUCCCAUCCAAAAUGAGGUAAUUAUUCCAGAAGUACAAACUCAACAACCAAUGCAAUUGAGCAGAUCCAUGAAAGAGGUGAAAAAUGCUAUUCCGGAUGAUUUUAUAGUGUUUCUCCAAGAACACGAGGAAAAUAAUGGAAUAGCGAAAGAUGAUCCAACUAAUUUACAUCGGGCCAUGUAGGGUUCUGACUCUCAAAAGUGGAUUGAUGCCAUGAAUGAGGAGUAUAAGUCUAUGCAAGAUAAUAAGGUUUGGGAUUUUGUCCCAUUACCCGAAGGUGUGAAGCCGAUUGGUUGUAAAUGGAUUUUUAAAACCAAAAGGGAUUAAAAUGGUAAUGUGAAAAGAUAAAAGGCUCGUCUUGUGGCUAAAGUCUUUACCCAAAAGGAAGGCAUCAAUUUCAAAAAGACUUUCGCUCCGAUUUCAAUGAAAGACUCUUUUAGGACAAUUAUGGCACUUAUUGCGCACUUUGAUCUUGAGUUACAUCAGAUGGAUGUUAAGUCGGUAUUUCUCAACGACAACAUUGAUGAGAUGAUCUAUAUGGCGCAACCAGAAAACUUCGUGUCAGGAAACCCAAAGAAUAUGGUUUGUAAAUUAAAGAAAUCGAUCUAUGGGCUCGAGCAAGCUUCCCGUCAAUGAUACCACAAAUUUCAUCAAGUCAUUAUCUCAUUUGGUUUUGAAAUGAAUGUCGUUGAUGAUAGUGUGUAUCACAAGUUCACUAGGAGUAAGCAUAUUUUCCUAGUUUUGUAUGUUGAUGACAUACUGCUUGCCACUAAUUAUCAAUGUUCUAAAAAGCAUAAUGCGUGGCUAGGCGUAUAGGCCAAGCUUCACGCAUUACGAGCCUAGGCUAGCCUAGGCGUUAAAAAGCGUGUUUUAAUUUUAAAUUUUUAAUCAUUGUAAAAGACAUUUAAUAAUUCAAAUAAUACAUACCAAACAUCUAAAAUUAUAAAAUAUUGUAUUUACUUAAUAAUUUCUACAAAAAGAUAAGAUUCUAAAUUAUAAUUACAUAACGGAUAGCUUGUAGUUUAAAUCUUAUCUAGCUCUUUAUCGGAUUCCAAUUCAAAAUCUUCUUCUUCAUCCAAUUCGUCCUCUGUGUCGUCCGAUACAAAAUCAUCUUCAUCGGGCUCCCUUAUUUCAUUUUGAUCAUUUCUUGUACCUCUUGUAGGUUGUGAGAUAUCAUUCCCCAACCUAUCAUUUUCCUCCUCACCCUCAUCAUCACAACCCUCUACAAUCCAAGAUUGUGCAUUAGUAGCAUCACUUGCUAGUAAAGUCUCUAUUUUGGCCUUCUUCUUCUUUUUGUUCAUCAACCUUGCAUUAAAUUGGACAUAAACAAGAUUGUUCAUCCUCGUAGUAUCAAGUCUAUUCCUUUUCUUGGUGUGUAUCUACAAACAAAAGAAGAAAAGAAACAAAAAGAAAGGUACAUUUAAUGGAGCAUAGCAUAUUCAGGUAAUUAUUCAUUGGCCAAAAGAAAUGAGUUGUGUACAACCUAAUGAGUACUUACCCCUUCAAAAGCACUCCAAUUUCUCUCACAACCCGAUGAACUAGUAGUCAAACCAACUAUGUCUUUAAAUUUGGUGCUUCAUUGCCAUAGAAAUCCCACCAACUCACUAAUACAUAUAAAUGAAAGAGAAAUAUGUUACAGGGUAAAUUCAAAUUCAAUGAAGAUAUAAAGUUAGGUAUAGAUCUUACUCGGAUUGUAGUUUGCAUCAUUGUUCUCACAUCCACUUAUUGCCUGCUUUUUUCCAAAUGAACUUUCUUUUUGAACAUAUUUUUGCAACUCAAUGUUUACCACAUGAUGUUGCAUUUGAUCAUCAGGAAAGAAUUUCUAAACACAAGCAAUCAAAUUAUUUAUAAUCAAUUGGUCAUCUUUGAUACCUGGAUUCUUGAAAAAAUAGAACGGAUUCAACAUAUAAACUGUUGUAUGAAGUGGACUAUCAAGGCGACCCUUGCUUUUAGCAUCAAUAAUGUCUAAAAUAGGCCUAUAAUCACACUCCCUCUUCAAUGUCCUUUUAAUGUCAUCAUUUGCCUUUAGUAGCUCUCCAUAAACAAAGCCCAUUGAAGACUUUGCUUCUCCAUCAACAAGUCUAAGCACUCUCACUGGUGGAGUAAACACUCUCAAACACAACUCUAUCAUGUUCCAAAAAUCAUUCAGAACAACAAUAUCAAAUGCCUCUUUUCCUUUUUUACUCUUAGACCAUUUCAUGGUAUCCCAUUCAUUGCUAGUCAUCAUACUUCUCAACUCUUAUUUUUUAUCAAGCAAACUUUGCAAUGUUAAGAAAGAAGUUGCAAAUCUAGUAACUCCCGGCCUAACUAUCUCUUUUUUUGUGAACUUUCUCAUCAAAACUAAAAUCUUGUGAUGUGCAUAAAUGAAAAUAUUGAAGGAUUUUGCUUUGUUAAUCACUCCCUUGAAGCUAGGAAGUUUUGAGAUUCCUUCAAGCAUAAGGUUUAAAGUGUGAGUGGCACAUGAUGUCCAAAACAUGUUAGGCCUUUCUAAUUCCAUCAAUUUUGGGGAAGCCAUAUUAUUGGAAGCAUUGUCGGUUACAAUCUGAACCACAUUUUCAACCCCAACAUUUUUAAUAUAUUCAUUGACAUAGUCAAAUAUGUAUUGACUGGUAAGAGCAUCAUUUGAAGCUUCCUUUGAUGAAAUAAAUGUGGUCUCCAAUUUACAAUUCACACACAAAUUCAUGAUGCUUCUUCUUUUUCUAUCAAUCCAAGCAUCAGUCAUGAUUGAACACCCAUUAUUUUUCCACUCUUCUUCUUGCUUCUUUAAAGUUUCUUUUGAUCUCUCCACCUCUCCCUUCAAAAGUGGCUCCCUUAGUUGGUAUUGGGAAGGAGGAUUGUAACCCGGGCCAUAUUGACCAAGAGCUUCCACAAAUAGUUUAAAACUAUCAUUGUUAAUGGCAUUGAAAGGAAUUCCGGCUUCAUAAACCCAUCUUGCCAAAUAUUGAUGAACCUCUAAUAACCUUUUCUUAGAAAUUGCAUCACUCAUAUUUUGUUGUCUCAAUUUUUUACUUGCAUUCAUAGAAGCAUCAUUAACAUUGGUAGACCUUGCAAACUGAUCUAUGGGUCCCACAUUAACAGGCCUUUUCCUAGUUCAUCUUUCAAUAAUCGAAAUUUCAUUAUCUUCUUCCUCCUCUAGCUCCUCAUCUAUUGUAGGCAAAGAUACACCCACAUCUUUUGUCAACCAAGCAUCAUUCACUAGCUUCUCUAAUUUUUUAGACUUAUUCCCUUGAAUCGCCUCUACACACUUGGCUUUUUGUUCUUCAUUUGCCUUAGGACAUGAUGCCCCACACCUUUUCCCUUGAUUCUCGCUACGUGAAUUUUAUGCCUAUAAAUUCUUCCCUUAGUAACCUUAUCACAUAACGUGCAUUUCACAUUAUUAAGAUUUUUUGGAUCUACCAAAACCGCAGUUUCCCAACCAACAUCUCCGGAAUCUCUUUUUAGUUGACUCGCAUGGAAUUUAGAUGCCGUUGAGGAAUCAUCUUCCUCCAUUGGUUCCUAAAAAAAUAUGAACAAUACAAAUUUUUAUUAUUCAUAACAAACUAAUAAUAACUGAAAUUAGACACAGAAGCUGAAGGCCUAAAAGCAUAGGAAAGUGGAAACAUAGGAAAAUUUAGUUACAUAAACACUGGAAAAUUUAGUUUACUCUUCCAUGUUAUUAAUGUAACUGAUUGAAAGACAAAAAAAAUUUCAACAAUGGUAGCAAAUGGAGUUUAUCAAGUGCCCACAUAAAUGAAAUUUCAGCAACAAUUCCAAUUUCAAUACACACAUAAAUGAAAUUUAUCAAGCACCCACAUAAAUUUCAGCAACAAUUCCAAUAGUUCAUGGUAAGAACUUGUAAUUUCAGUCAUGUAUUUGCAGCCGAACUCAUGAAAAAUAGUAAAAUACACAAUCAAGUUAAUUAUAAACCCCCACUAAAAAAUGGGCAAAGCUACAAAAAGCUGAAACUGUAAUUUUUCAUGGCAAGAACCUAUAAUUUUAGUCAUGUAGUUGCAGCCAAACUCAUGAAAAAUAGUAAAAUACACAACCAAGUUAAUUAUAAACCCCCCACUAAAAAACGGGCAAAGCUACAAAAAGCUGAAACUGUAAUUUUUCAUGGCAAGAACUUGUAAUUUUAGUCAUGUAGUUGCAGCCAAACUCAUGAAAAAUAGUAAAAUACACAACCAACUUAAUUAUAAAUCCCCCACUAAAAAACAGGCAAAGCUGCGAAAGGCCGAAACUGUAAUUUUUCAUGGCAAGAACUGUAAUUUCAGUCAUGUAAUUGCUUGUAGCCAAACUCAUGAAAAAAUAGUAAAACACACAACAAAGUUAAUUAUAAACCCCACCACCACAAAAGGAGCAAAGCAGGAAAAAGCUAAAAUAAAAAAUACAAAAACCCACUAAUAUAAUUAAUAAUAUUACCAGGAAAAUGUGGGCCAAAGAAAUGGUCUUACUGGAGGAAUUGCGGAAAUGAUAAUUUGGAUUUGGAAGAGAAAUGAAAUUUUUUGAAUUUUUGUGUUGAAACUCUUGAUUUUUGAAACCGUGGUUUGUAAUUGUUGUAGACUUAUAGUAUGUUUGGUUGUCUAUAAACAAAAUAAACAAAUAACAAAGCCCACCUAGGUGUGUUUAAUAACUAAGCGCACCUAGGCACGCAUUAAGCAGUCAACAUUGUCGUUGAUCGCUUAAUUCUCGCUCAGCCCGUAGGCGAGGCUUUUUUACCACGCUUCGUGGCUAGGCGUGCUUUUUAGAACACUGCUAAUGAUAUAGGCAUGUUACAUGAAACCAAGAGAUUUUUAUCAAGAAAUUUUGAGAUGAAAGAUCUUGGUGACGCAUCUUUUGUAUUAGGGAUUCAGAUACAUCGGGAUUGCUCUCGAGAUAUUCUUGAGUUGUCACAAAGGAGCUAUAUUGAUAGAGUACUUAAGAGGUUUCGUAUGCAAGACUGUAAACCAGAUGACACCCUUGUCGUUAAAGGAGACAAAUUUAGUCUCAAACAAUGCUCGCAAAAUGACCUUGAAGCUAAGGAAAUGCAAAAGAUUCCUCAUGCAUCAGCUAUUGGAAGUCUGAUAUAUGCUCAAAUUUGUACACGUUCAGAUAUAGUAUUCAUUUUUGGAGUGCUAGGCACAUAUUUAAACAACCUUGGGAUGAUCAUUGGAAAGUAACCAAAAGAGUUAUGAGGUAUUUAAAAAGAACAAAGGAUUAUAUGCUCACAUAUAGCAGAUCGGACUAGUUAGAGAUCAUAGGAUACUUCGUUUCUAAUUUUGCUGGGUGUCAAGACAGUAGAAGAUCCACAUCAGGCUAUAUCUAUCUUCUAGCUAGAGGAGCUAUUUCUUGGAAGAGAGCCAAGCAAAGAUUCAUAGCUUCUUCUACCAUGGAAGUAGAGUUUGUACCAUACUAUGAGGCAUCUAACCAUGGAAUAUGGAUGUGAAAUACUGUCAUUGAGCUGCGCAUUCUAAAUGGAAUAGAAAGACCACUAAAGUUAUAUUGUGACAAUAACUCGAUAGCUCUAUAUUUUAACAACAACAGAAGCUCAUCUAAGUCAAAAUAUAUUGACAUUAAGUUCCUGGUUAUGAAGGAAAGAGUACAAAGUAGACAAACUUCUAUAGAGUACAUUGGAACAAACUCCAUGAUUGCGGAUCUGCUUGCUAAGGGAUUACCACCCAAAGUCUUUCAUGAGCACACUGCUAACAUGAGUGUUGUAUUUCUUGAGGAUAUCAUGUUUUAGUGGGAGUUUGUAUUCUCAUUGAUUUAUGCUUACUUUGGACACAUUUGUGUAUUUGGAUAUUUUUUUUUGUACAUAAAUGAAAUAUUCAGUUCAUUCCACUCUAUUAUUAUGUUCAGUAUUGAUCUCACUUAAGAAAUAAGGUUGGACCAGUUGGAAAUAGACUUGUUCGGAUCACAUAACAUGUAAUUUCCAUGCUACACUCCCAUGAUUGAUCUAUGUCAUUUGGUUGUAUAGCUGUAGGUGACCAUUGAUGGAUUUAGUCACGCUAAAUAUGACGAAAAUCGCCUUGAUCCUACAUUAAUAUGACUGAUGGAUGAGAUUGUUUGGAAAUACUCUUAAAAAUGAUGGCAAAAGUUUGAGCUCAUAAAGUUGUACACAUUUGUAAUAUUUCAUGUAUGCCUCAGUGGGAGAUUGUUGGAAAAAUUUCUAUCGUAUGAGGGCCAUACAUGUAUAUAUAUAUAUAUUAAAAUAUGUGGUGCUAUCUUUAAGAUUUAGUCGAUAAGGUGAUCCACUAAGUUUAAUUUUGGACUGAUGGGUAUUAAUUCUCAUGGGAUUAAAGUGUAGAGACCGGAAUAAUUAUUUUAAAUUGAUGAGGGUCCAAUUUAAAAUAAAUGAAAGAUAAUAAUCAAUUAUUUAAUAUGGGGUCAUGGUCCCUAAUUACACGUAACUUUCACAAUUCUCUGCAUCCCCAUCAGCAGAGAAGAGAUUUCAAGAAAUCACAUAGCAAUUUGAAGAUCGUAAUCUGUUCAGAAAAACUCAGAUCUAUGGAUUAAGGUACGCUUCCACAAUUUAGUUUUCUCAUUGAUUUCAACAUGGAGAUUUAUAAAAUAUAUGUGAAAGAAUUGAUGAAUCUGGUUCCUUUCAAUUUGCUACAAGAUCCUUCGAAUGGUCUAUGGUGUUCUGGGAAUUUUUGGCAUGGCCGGAACUUAUAAUCUGUUGUUCAUUUAUAUGAUGGAACUUUUACUUACAGUUAUAAGGAAUGCAGCUACUCAAACUACCCAAAUGGGAGCCAUAUUAUCACCGUUCGUGGUGGUAAUGGGCGACAAAAUACCCUUUGUGUUGUUUGGGAUUUGUGGGAUUGCAGGAGGAAUUCUAUAUUUUACUUGUCGAAAACUUUAAACAAGCCUUUGUAUAACACAAUGACAGGAAUACAAGGUGGAGAAAGCUCGAGCAUGGUUGUUUAAGGUCAUUGGAUGUGACAUACCUAGACCUACUCAUAAAAUUUUAUAUUGUACUCUAUACAAUCCUACUUAGUGUUUUGUAUCAAACAUGCUCGUAAUUCAAAGUCAUCUUUACUUCUUUGUUUACAAAUUUCGAGGUAAGCAGAUCGAUAAUACAAAACUCAAAUAAUGUAAAAGAAACCAGAACAAGUCCAAUGUUGAUAAUUGCAUUAUAUGUAUUGAUUCCAUAUAAUAGGGGAAAAUGUAGGCAAUACUACUGGAACUAUAGCUCGUGUGUCAGUAAAAAUGUAAAAUAAUUCACAGUAAAAUUACCAAAUUAAUUUAAACAAAUGAUAGAUCAAAAAACAAUAUUAAUAAAUAUAUAAAUUCUGCAUCUAUGAGACAAUCAUCAACAACAAACUAGGCAUUAUUCUCAAUUUUAUUGAUGUAGGAGUUAGGGGAAAAUGUUAUCGGCAUUAUUUUGUUGAGACGAAUGGGCACGAUCUCUAUGUGAAAUGGGUGCUCCAGCACCCUUCCUAUUAAGGCUAUGCUACGGUGGCUAUUGAGUAUGUUGGAAAAUAUGGAGGAGAAAUGGAGUAGAGACAAGAAUAAUAUCACAAUAACGCAACAACAAAAUAAUUAACACCAGAAACUUGAUAAGAACAAGAUCAAAGGCUAGAACGCGUAAUCGCUAUCCUCAAACUACAUUUGCCUCCUCUCGGGAUUGAUUAAGAUGCUUAAGGAUUUUAGCAAGCGGUUUGUAGGAUUAUAUCAAGCCUUGUAAAUGAUCUAGCACUAAAUCACAAGUGCGACCCUCCAAAAUUUUAAAAACACAAUGAAGAAAAGAGUAUGAAUGUAAAUCAAGAAUUUGAUCUUUGAUAUUGGAAUGAUAUGGAUCACAAAUGUUUGUCACUUGUUUUUGGCUUGAAAUGCAUCGCCUAUAUAUAGGUCACCACCAAUGUGGACGAAUUAGUGCUAAACGAAUUAGUGCUAAAACAAGUCGAAAAGCCACCACAAUUUGGAGUUGCAACGGUAGGAAACCGACCUCCAAUGGUCAAUUUUGUAUAACUAUACGACUACAUAGUAUAAAUCUUUGCGAUAGCAUAGAACAACUUAAAGAGGUCCCAGAAUUCCCGGCAAUUGGCCAUGCGACUGCAUAGUACAAAUUUAUGCAACAGCAUAGAACAAGGUUUUACUUCUAAUACCCUUUUUUUAUUUUUCUUCACAUUUAUUCAUCCCAUUUCAUUUUUCUUGAAUAUGGAACAACAUUUCAACAAUCCCCCACUUAUUUAAAAUUCGAGAAAAAUCUUCGUGCUCAAAUCAUAUGAUACUCAUGCAUAAGGACUAGAUAUCUUUCGAUUUGAAUCUAGCCACAGUGUAAUCCAAACAUAGUAAAAUCGGAAUCAAAGAUAGUUGUAGCUUCGAACCAAUUAUUCUAUGUGAUAAUACUGGUUCGAACACAAACACAAGUACCAAGUGUUCUCAAGUUCCUUAUAACUCACUUAGCGCUGUUAUGGCCUUGCGCUCAUCCUUUUCGACAAACUUUUGAGAGAGAAACUUCAACUCUCAAUUGAGGCAACACCACCUCGAAGUUUGUUUAGGUAAAGUUCUUUCAGUACCUUUGUUAUUUUUAGAAGUACUUGUGUUUUAGCACUGAACUUCAUUAAGAACUUUAGUGCUAAAUCCUCAUUUCAAUAACAACUAGUAUUAUUUUACUUAGGAUAGGAUUAUUGUAGAUUUGAAUAAUGCUGAAACCAUCCCACAUGUCAAAUGACUUGUUUUUACCCUUUGAACCCAUGGAUUACCUUUUGAGUAAUGACCGGUAGGGUAGCCGCCAUUGAUGGACCUUUAUUGCAAAAUGAGUUUCAACCCCAUCCUACUCGAAGUAGAUGUCACUAAAUCUCUAUUUAGUGGUUUAGUAAAAAGAUCUACUAAGUUCUUUGUUGACUUCACAUAAUUUAGGAAAAUUAUUCCAUCUUUGAUUAAUUUCCUUAUGUAGUCCUAUCUUAGACUCAUAUAUCUAGGCUUUCCAUUGUAUAUCUCAUUGUAUGCUUUCGCUAACGUAGUUUAACUAUCACACCUGAUAGGUAUUGAAGACAUAUCCUUUGAUCCCAAAGGUAUCUCAUAGAAGAGAUCCUUAAGCCACUCAAGCUCUUCCCCGGUAUCCGAUAGUGCCACAAAUUCAGAUUCCAUGGUUGAGUGUGUUAUACAUGUUUGUUUCUUUGUUUUUCAAGAAACAGCACCUCCUCCGAGAGUAAAAACCCAACCCAAAGUGGAUUUACUUUCACCCAUGCUAGAUAUCUAACUAGUAUCAGUAAAUCCCUCCAAUACCGCUAGGAAAUUAUUAUAUUGUAGGCCUAAGUUCUUGGUUUUCUUUAAGUAUCCAAGAAUUCCUCGAAUAGCCUUCCAAUGAUCGUUGCUCAUGUUGCUAAUAAACUUGCUAAGUUUACUUAUUGCAUAGGCUAUGUCCGAUCUUGUGCAUUGAAUUUGCAUACAUAAGACUCCCUAUAGCACUUGCGUAUUCCAAUUGAACAAUCACUCUUCCACUAUUCUUUACAAGUGUCAGAUUUGGAUCAAUUGGGUUACUAUACUCCUUUAAAUGUUUGAACUUAUUCAUCACAUUCUCGAUAUAAUGUAAUUGACUCAAAUGGUAACCCCCACAAGUCUUUGUGACUUUGAUAGCCAAAAUGGUAACCACAUGUCCAAGAUCCUUCAUUUUGAAUCUGAAAGAUAGAAACCUCUUCAUUUAUUCUAUACCGUCCAUGUAAUUACUCAUAAUUAAUAUGUUGUCAACAUAUAAGCAUGUAAAUGUCACAUAAUUUUCACAUAUUUUGAAAUAUAAACAUUUAUCUAGACUAUUAUGUUUAAACCAGAAAGAUAUAAUUUCUAAGUCAAACUUUUCAUGCCAUUUUUUAGGUACUUGCUUCAAACUGUAUAAAGAUUUCACCAAAUUACACACCUUAUGUUCAGUCCCAGGUAGGGCGAACCCUUUAGGUUGUUCCAUAUAGACCUCUUCAUCGAGAUCUUUGUUUAGGAAUGCCAUCUUGACAUCCAUUUGAUGAACAUGCAAGUCAUACAUUGAAGCUAAAGCGAAUAAUAUCCUAAUCGAUAUUAUUCUAGCAACUGGUGCAUAAGUAUCAAAAUAGUUGAUUCCUUCCUUUUGUUGAUAUCUUUUGGCUACCAUUCUAGCCUUGAAAGUAUUUAGGGAUCCAUCAACAUUAUAUUUUCUCCUAAAUACCCAUUUGCAUUCAAUAGGCUUGGAUCCUGAAGGUAAAUCAACAAGUUUCCAAGUAUUAUUGGACAUUUCAUCAUGUGUUCCACUUGAGCUAGGGACAUAUUCAAGAUUAAUCCUCAAAGAACUCCACAUCAUUGGAUUUUAUAAUCACAUUGGAUUCCAAAUUUAGCAAUCUAUAAGAUUUGUUAUUAUUCACAAAUCCCACAAAGACACAUUUAAUGCCUCUUGGACCCAAUUAGGUCCUAUUUGGAUUCCUGUUCUUCCAAUAAGCAAGACACCCCCACACCUUGAAAUAUCCAAUGUUUGGUUUUCUUCCUUUCCACAAUCCAUAAGGAGAAACCUUAGUAUAUUUUGAAGGAAACCUAUUAUGUAUCCUACUUGCACUUAAUAAAGUUUCACCCCCACAAGUUAAAUAGAAACUUAGCAUGAAUAAGCUUGGCGUUAACCAUUUCAACUGAGGUUCUAUUUUUUCUUUCAGGUAAACCAUUUUGUUCGGGUGUCCUAGGUGUAGAACAUUGAUGAAUAAUUCCAUGUUGUUCACAAAACAAGUUAAAAUUGCUGAAAAAAUAUUCAGUACCUCUACCACUUCUUAAAGUUUUAUUUUUCUUUCCUAGAUAAUUUUCAACCUCAUUUUUGUAUACUUCAAACAUAUCAAAAGCUUCACUUUUAUGCUUUAUCAAGUAAACAUUUGUAGAUCUAGAAAAGUCAUCAAUAAAGGUAAUAAAAUACCUAUUUCCACCCCUAGUUAACAUGCCAUUCAUUUCACAUUUAUCGGUAUGAAUAAGUUCUAAAAUGUUAGAAGUCCUUUUUACACUAUUAGAAGACUUUUCGAUCAUUUUAGAUUUUACACAUAUCUUGCAUUUAAUUUCAUUAUUUCCAUCAUUGAGAUUAGUUCACAAUUUUUCAUGCGUUUCACGGUACUUAUUCCAACAUAACCUAAUCUAGCAUACCAUAAUGAAAAUAAAUCCACAACAUAAACAAAAUCAGUUUUAUUCAAUUCAUUGUCAACGAUAUAUAAUUUGACCAUUCCUUCACAAUAAUAACAUUUUCCAACAAAUUUCUCGUUAAGGGAUAAUACAAGUUUUACAGAAUUGAAUACACUUUUAAUGCUUGGUUUGCCUAAGAGAUUUCUACUAACCAAGUUCUGGUUCAUAUUCGGAAUGUGUAAUAUAUUUGUUAGAGUAACGGUUUUCCCGGACGUAAAGAUAAUAUCAACAUUUUCCUUGCCAAUUACUUUGGACUGCACUUCGUUACCUAUUUGAAUCUCUUGGCUUCCAUCCAUCUCAUGAUAUGUUUUGAAUAAAGAUUUAUCAUAUGAUAUAUGUAUGGUUGCACAAGUAUCAUACCACCACCUAGAUACUUUUCCUUUGAUAGCAUUUAUUUCAGUUAUGGUGGCCACAAUUUUGUCCUCUUGGAUAGAAUUCAUUUUACCCUUCGAGUUGUUUUGUUUUCGAAGUCUACACUCCUUAGCAUAGUGACCAGAUUUUCCACAAACAAAAUAUCCUCCUUUGGUGUUCUUUUUGGAUUUGUUAAAGUUCCUUGAAAGCUUCUUCUUGUUGGAUUUUGUAGGCCGAUCGGAUUUCUAUACAGCAUUUGCCUUGGAAGUUCUUUCCAAAGGAUUUUCACUCCUAUCACACAUUUUGGAUUUCUCCUCAAUUCGAAGAUUUUUUGCAAUUGUUUCAAGGAAUAAUCUUGGGAACUAUGCAUUAUUUUCUUCCGGUAUCCUUUUCAAGUCCCUGGGAGUUUAGUAAUUAUAGCCCUCACUUGAAAAGUCUACGGGAUUUCAAUCUUCACCGCCUUUAAUUUGUUGACAAUCACUUACAACUCAUGCACUUGGGGUAGAAGGGGAAUAUUUUCUAAAAAUUUAAAAUCAAAGUAUUUAGAAAUCAAAAACUUCUUUGUACCUUCCUCUUCCACUUUGUAUUUACUUUCCAACACGUUCCAGAUUUUUUUUGCCAAAGAAGUGUUGGUAUAUAGAUCAUACAAGCGAUUUGACAAAGCAUUCAAAAUAAAACCACGACAAAUCAACUCAUCUUCUUGGCAUUUUUGCCUCUCGACCUUGAUUGCUUCGGUUUCUCCAUUUGCUGAUUCCGACAAAGGCACCAAAUCUGGAUCAAGAAUUUAGAUGAUCUUCAAUACUGUUAAUAGAAAUUUUAACUUGUCUUGCCACCGAGAGAAGUUUGUCCCAUCAAACCGAUCCAAUUAAAUCAGAUCUUGAUUAAUAAAUUUGAUGGUCGCCAUGGUCAUCUCAUUCUCUAUCGUAGGAUAAGUAUAGUUUGAGAUUAUUGGAAAAUAUGGAGGAGAAAUGGAAUAGAGACAAUAAUAGUAUCACAAUAAUGUAACAACAAAAAUAAUUAAUACUAGAAACUUGAUAAGAACAAGUCGAAGGCUCGAACGCGUAAUCGCUGCACCCAAACUAUAUUUGCCUCCUCUCGGGAUUGAUUGAUAUGCUUAAGGAUUUUGGCAAACGGUUCGUAAAAUUAUAUCAAGCCUUGUAAAUGAUCUAGCACUAAAGCACAAGUACGACCCUCCAAAACUUUAAGAACACAAUAAAAAAAAGAGUAUGAAUGUGAAUCAAGAAUUUGAUCUUUGAUAUUGUAAUGAAUAUGGAUCACAAUGUUUCUCAGUUAUUUUUGGCUUGAAAUGCAUCACCUAUAUAUAGGCCACCGCCAGUGUGCAUGAAUUGGUACCAAAAUAGGUCGAAAAGCCACCACAAUUUGGAGUUGCAACAGUAGGAAACUGAUCUCCAACGGUCAAUUUUGUAUAACUAUGCGACUGCAUAGUAUAAAUCUAUACUAUCGCAUAGAACAACCCAAAGAGAUCCUAGAAUUCCUUGAAUAGGCCAUGCGAUUGCACAGUAUAAAUCUAUGCGACAACAUAGAACAAUGUUUUACCUCUAAUACCCUUUUUUUUAUUUUUCUUCCAAUUUAUUCAUCCCAUUUAAUUUUUUCUUGAAUGUUGAACAACAUUUCAACAGAAUAACCCUCUCCGACAAGACGUUGUCCUCCGAUAUUGAUGAAAGAGAUGGCUGCCAAUCAAUAACCCCACAACGCCUCUCCGUGGCGGCCCUUUCCUGCUUCCGUCCUACGCGGGGCAAGCUUCUGGCAGCACCUGCAAUCUCUACUUCUCCGGUGGCUGCUGUUGAGCCCCUGCACUACUAUAGCCAGAACCAUAACAGAAGAAAAACUUCAUAAUUACACACAAAACACCCAAUUGCAACAAAGAAUGGGAACAACCUAUGAGUAAUUAUAAUCUCUACAAAAUAGUGAUAAGUGUUAAUUUGAUUUAUCUUUUCUGCUUUUGUGUGUGUUUCAUAUGCGUGUUUCUUUUUUCGAAAAUCAAUUGUGCAAUUUGUAAUUUAGUGUUAUUAUAGAUUGGUGGCUUGGCUUUUCAACAAAAGUUUUGUUUGUCAUUAUCAUAUAAUCGAAGUUAAUGCUCCCCCAAAUCUCAAUUUUAUUACGUGCAAUUCCUGUUUUUAAAUAGUGGAGUUCCCAUGAAUCGCCGGUGGGAAAGAUCCAGUUUUUUUGGUGAUUGAAGAGUGGCAAUUACAGAUUGAGCCAACUUUAUAAAUGUACUGCUUAAAAUCCCUAUUUAAGUUUUCUUGGCAUAUGCAUCCUGACAUCGAGCCCAUGUUUGAUUUAGCUAAUUAAUAAAAAAAAAAAAGAUUUUUAACAAAAAUUGGUAAAAGUUAUAGAUCCUGUGAAAUGUGUGAUUCAAAAUAAGUUUUGAAAAAAUAAUUUUAGAGAAUGUGGAUCAAACAAGUCUAAAUUUGGCGUACAAAUUCAUUCAUUUUUAUAUUAACGUGACAUUAUUUACACAAUCCUUUUAUUUGAGAGAUUAUUAGAGUAGGGAUGUUAAAUAUGUGAAAGUUUAGCUCAAGAUUGUAGCUCAAUCGAGUCAACUAGACUGAACUUUAUGGCUAAAAAAAUAUGACCUGGCACAGUCACACAGUCUGCUAUAAUAGACAGACCAACCUGUGCAUAGGUCCAAUUUAAGUACCAGUAGCAUAGAUGGCAAACAACAUAUUAUAAAAUAAUAAUAUUUAACAUCAGUCUAGGUGGCCGUAUUUUUUAUGUUUAAUUAAUUGAGUUAUGUGGCUUUGCAAAUAAUUGAAUCUAUUUUUUAAUACCAUGCAAUUAUUAUAUAAACUGGUGUUUAACGCCAAUGCAUAUGAAUAGCAUUACACUACGGUAUAACUUCAUCAUUUCACUCCACACAAAAAAAUAAAAAUAAAAAUAAAAAUAAAAAAAUUAAACGAUUCGCUAUAACUCUACAGCGAGAUGGAUAAAGUUGCACAUCAAGGUAUGAUAACAAUCAUUUUCUAUCAACAAUAUGGACGUACAUUGUACCUAAUAGGUAUAUCUCAAAUUUAGAAAUGGUUUAUCUCAAAUUUCGAAAUGGGUUUAUUAUUAUUAUUAUUAUUAUUAUUAUUAUUAUUAUUAUUAUUAUUAUUAUUAUCAUCAUCAUCAUCAUCAUCAUCAUCAUCAUCAUCAUCAUCAGAAAAAUAGGCUUAUUCUUGUCGAUGAUAUUCUAUAGUUAACAUGAUUUUCUACAAUUCUAUUCCUCUAACUUAGAUUUUAUGUCAUCAUCAGAAAAAUAGGCUUAUUCUUGUCGAUGAUAUUCUAUAGUUAACAUGAUUUUCUACAAUUCUAUUCCUCUAACUUAGAUUUUAUGAAAUUUAUAGGCGAUUUAAUAUAUAUAUAUAUAUAUACUAGUCUUGUGCCAUGCAAUGCAUGGCUUGAAUUUUAUAAAAGGAGAUAUUAGCAUAUUAAAUAAGGAAACAAAGGGAGACUGCAAACAAUAAAAAACUGAUUCGAUUAAUUAAACGAUUUAAUUAUAUCAAUUAGAUAUUCAACAAUAAAAAAAUGAUUCGAUUAAUUAAACGACUUACUUAUAUUGAAUAUAGUAUUAUCAAAUACGUCAUUUAUAAGUAAAAUAAUCACUUAGACUAAAAUAAUAAUGUUUGAAAAAAUACAUUUGAAUUAUAGCAACAAGAAAUUGAGCCAACAAAUUUUUUAUCUUAAUUAUUUUAACAUCUAAAAAAAAUUUAUAUAUAAAAAAAAUUCGGUAAUUUUUAGGAAUUUUUUUUCUUAUUGUUACUUUUUCUUCUUGAUAAAUUAAUUUUUAAAAUAAUCUAAUACAAUUUUUUGCAUAAAAGAAUUAUUAUUAAAAAAAUUUACGUUAAAACCAAAAAAAAAAAAAAAAAUUUGACGUCAAACAAAAAAGAAUUAAAAAGGAAAAAAGAAAUAAUUUUUUUAAAAAAAAAUGCAUUUUUAACACAUACGUUUAAUCUCCGUUUAACUAUUUUCGAUAUUUAUUUAGAUCAUUCGAUAUCUCUACGAUAUAGUUCUCAAAAUGAGUUUCGAGAGAAUGUAAACAUUUACUGAUUCGACUAUCGUACAAUCGUUGACGAAUUUUUAAAGUUAACUUGUUAUCGAAAAUUUUGAAAUAGUAAUAAAAUAAUUGAUUUUUUUAAGAAAAACGAAUUAUGUGUAUUUUUUAACACAUACGUUUAAUGUCCGUUUAACUAUUUUUGAUAUCUAUUUAGAUCAUUCGAUGUCUCUACGAAAUAGUUCUCAAAAUGAAUUUCGAGAAAAUGUAAAAUAUUUAUCGAUUCGACUAUCGCACAGUCGUCGAUGAAUUUUUAAAGUUAACUUGUUAUCGAAAAUUUCGAAAUAUUGUUUGAAAAUGUCUACAUUGACGUCCGAUAACAUUUGCUAUGAUUGACCGUUUCACGCACCGUUAACGACGUGCAAUACUAUAUCGCGAGUAUUUCAAAAUGAUAUUAAAAAUAUAAUAUUUCGACUUCAUUUGAUAUCCCGUAAUGAGCCUGAAAAUAAAAAAAAACAUAAGUAAAAAAAAAAUUCGAGAGAAUGUAAAACAUUUAUCGAUUCAACUACCGUAUAAUCGUCGACGAAUUUUUAAAGUUAACUUGUUAUCGAAAAUUUCGAAAUAAUAAUAAAAUAAUUGAUUUUUUUUAAGAAAAACAAAUUAUUCGUAUUUUUUAACACAUACGUUUAAUAUCCGUUUAACUACUUUUGAUAUCUAUUUAAAUCAUUCGAUGUCUCUACGAUAUAGUUCUCAAAAUGAGUUUCGAGAAAAUGUAAAAUAUUUAUCGAUUCGAUUAUCGCACAGUCGUCGAUAAAUUUUUAAAGUUAGCGCAUUAACGAAAAUUUAGAAAUAUAGUUUGAACAUACCUACUUUGACGUCCGAUAACAUUUGCUAUAAUUGACCGUUUCACGCACCGUGAACCACGUGCAAUACUAUGUCGUGAAUACUUCAAAACGAUAUUAAGAAUAUAAUAUUUCGACUUUAUUUGGUAUUCCGUAAUGAACCUGAAAAUGAACACAAAAACAUAAGUAAAAAAAAAAUUGAAUUAAGGCACUUCGCACUGCGCGGAGUGCUUGCCAGUGAGCACUCCACGCAGCGCGGAGUGCUUCACAGCUUUUUUUUUAUUUUUUAUUUUUUAUUUUUUUUACGGAUUGUUUUGGUAAUUCGAACGUAACUUUGGCUACGGUUGUCAGAAUCGUGCCCAUGACCCCAAUUCGGAAAGCUUUUUUCGAUGCGCACGUCGUGGCCACCUCGCUAAGCUGGGUGGACAUCGUUUUCGAGGUCAAAAUUCGCUAUUUUUCCUUCCUCUUCAUUUACACGUUUGAUGUUUGUUUAACUAUUUUCGAUAUUCAUUUAAAUCAUUUGACAUGUCUAUGACAUAGUGCUCGAAAUGAGUUUCGAUGUAAUAUAGAAAAUAUAUUUUUUUAUACAUUUUACGUAAAGGAAUUAAGAAAAGUAGGGUGAUAAUAAUUUUAUUAGGAAUUUUUAUGCCAAAAACAAAAAAAAAAAUAUUUUACGCAACAUCUAUAAAAAAUAUAUUUUCUAUAUUCUAUCAAACUCAUUUCGAGAAUUAUAUUAUAGACAUAUCGAAUGAUUUAAAUGAAUAUCGAAAAUAGUUAAACAAACAUCAAACGCGUAAAUGAAGAGGAAGGGAAAAUAGCGAAUUUUGACUUCGAAAACGAUGUCCACCCAGCCUAGCGAGGUGGCCACGACGUGCGCGUCGAAAAGAGCUUUCCGAAUUGGGUUCAUGGGCACUAUUCUGACAACCAUAGCCAAAGUUAUGGUCGAAUUACCAAAACAAUCCGUAUACAAAAAAAAAAUAAAAAAUAAAAAAUAAAAAAAAAAUUGUGAAGCACUCUGCGCUGCACGGAGUGCUCACUGGCAAGCACUCCGCGCAGCGCGGAGUGUUUAAUUUUACUCUUCUUCUUCUGUUUGCUUUUUGCUUUUUUUUUUUUGGACUAAUUUUUUUUUCUAAAUUUAUUAUUAUUAUUAUUUUUUAAUUUGGCUAUAAGUUUUGCUACAGUUAUCGGAAUUGAGUCCAGGACCCCAAUUCAAAAAGCUCUUUUCUACACGCACGUCAUGGCCACCUAGCUUCGCUUGGUGGACAUCGUUUUCGAGGUCAAAUUUCGCCGUUUUCCCUUCCAAAUCUCCAAUUAUAGUUUGACGUCAAAUUUAAAAAAUGCGUAUAACUCGUCAUUUUUUUUAAACGCAACAUCUAUAAAAAAUAUAUUGUCUAUAUUUUAUCGAACUUGUUUCGAGAACUAUAUUAUGGACUCAUCGAAUUGAUCUAAAUGAAUAUCGAAAAUAGUUAAAGUUACAUCAAACGCGUUUCUUAAAAAGUUUACAAAAAAAUAUAUUAAUAGUAUAAUUAAAAAAAUUAAAAUUAAAAUUAAGAAAAAAACUUGUCUGUGCAAAGUCAACAACUGUGGGCGCAAGUGACCAUUAAGUCCUCAAUGUGUUAAUUAGUGUAGGGUGAGAUUUUCAAGGGUAAAGUGGGAAAACAAUGUAAAGGAGGAAAAAAAAAGAACAGGACAAACUACUGUAGCAAAACUGGAUAAAUUGGAAUCAAGUGUGAAAACGGCUGUGACAUAAAUGAACAGUACCAAAAGCCUCUCUUUUAAGAGAGUAAAGAUGUGUGUGUGUAAAGCUUAUACAUUUCUUCCUUCGAACUCCAUUUGUGGAAGACAAAGAACCUCCAAUAGUUGUAUUAACUAUUUCUGUAGUUAUUGAUUUCUAUUGUUUCAAACUUUGAAAUUAAGGAAUUGAAUGGACAUGUUUAAGAUUUCAUCGACGUUGUUUGUUAGUUUGUAGAUUAAAAUUUUAACAUCAUCAUUUUUUUAGUUUUUUGAGUUUAAACUUUAAUAUAUUAACUUCCCGAAAAAGAAUAAUCAAAAUACUAAUCAUAAUUUUUUUAGGCAAACGAAAAUAAGGUAAUCCAUUGCUAAUCAUUGACAAACUUUAGCCGUAGGUAAUUUGUGGCGGAAAAUUGUUGCUAAAAUUGUUGUAAUUAGAUGCAAAAAUUGUCAUUGGUAAGUACCAAUGAACUUUUUUUUUAUCGCUAAUUUAUCAAUGGACAAAUUAGCAACGAGGAUUUCAUCAUCCGAUAUCACCCAUUUGCAAAUCAAAGAACCAUUAAAUUCACGAAAAUAUAUAUAAAAAACUUGAAUAGUGAUUGACCAGUGCUACGACCUUAUAGUACAAUGUGUCAACCCACAUAAAUUUAUGGUGAAUAAAUUAUUUAUGACCAAAAUAUAAAUUGUGCCAGAAUGUUAUUCUCAAUUCAAGCACACUGUUGGAAAAUAUUUUAGACCCAAAUACAUGGAAUUAAUCAAUAAUAGGCAACACGUCACUUUAAUUAUUGUUCUUUGAUGUUUCAAGUAAUUAAUUCAAUUAACCCUAAGUUAAACAAUCACAUAAACGUAUAGAUCAAAAUCGGAAUUGGUGGCCAGAAGUUUGGCCUACACAAAUGCCAAUGCGGUCACAUGGUGUCAUGCAGGGACUAAAUGCCCUGCAUGACCUUGUUCAAUGCAACUGCAUAGGUUAGUUCUAUGUAGUCGCAUAGAACAAUUAUGUUAUCGUUGGUGACCGUUUUGGUUUAAACCAUUUUGUGGGGACUGAUCAGGGCAUAAACGAUUGAAAAUACUUAUGAUCUAUACAUCAUUCUACAAACAAAGAUCAAAACUCUAUUCUAUUCCAUAUUCAAUGUUCCUCCCUUGUGUUCUUCAAGUUUUGGGAGAUUUCACUUGUGUUGGUGAUAAUCUUCUUCAAGGCUUAUUAAGAUCUUGCAAACCAUUUGCCAAGAUAUCUUGAAGCAUCUUAUUCAAUUCACGAAGGACCAAAUAUCGUUUGAGGACAAGGAUAUCAUGUUUGGGCCUUUAUCUUGAUAUCUUGAUCCUAGAUUUAUAUUCUUGUUUUGCAAUGUCCUAAAAUUUCAUAGAUUAGAAUUUAAUUUAUAUGUACUAUAUUUUAAUAUUUUGGAAGUUUAGGGACCAAAAUAUAUAUAAAGUAAAUUUCAAUAUUAUCGGAUGUUAAAAUAUAGACGUUGACGAAGCGAUGAUAAGUAUAUGAAUAUUGGGCUUAUUGGAAAGAUCGUAAUUAAUCAUGCAUGUUAGGCUCGAGAAAAAAUUAAUUUGGAUUAGCGGAACCCAAGUUAUCGAGAUUGAAAGAUAUAGCUUUAAACUUAUAUUUUAAUUGAUUAUUUAAUGUAUCUAAAAUUUAAUGCAUCUAAGGAAGGCAAGUGGAAUUUACAAUUGAUUCGGUUCAUGGAGUAGCACCUGUAUCCAAAGCCCCAUACCGAAUGGCAACAAAGGAACUUCAAGAAUUGAAGUUGCAAUUAGAAGAGUUGCUGGAGAAAAGUUUCACUCAACCAAGUGUAUCUCAUUGGGGGGGCUCGUGUACUUUUUAUCAAGAAGAAGGAUGGGAGUAUGAGGAUGUGCAUUGACUACCGAGAAUUGGAUUAUUUGACCAUCAAAAAUAAGUACCCGCUACCAAGAAUAGAAGAUCUGUUUGACCAGUUAAAGGGUGCUGCAGUGUUUUCAACGAUCAAUUUGAGGUCAGGAUAUCACCAGCUGAAAAUCAGGGCAAGCGAUAUAUCGAAAAUUGCUUUUAGGACUCAUUAUGGGUAUUAUGAAUUCACUGUUGUGCCUUUUGGUUUGACCAACGCUCCAGCUGUAUUCGUGGAUCUCAUGAAUAGAGUGUUCCAUCAGUAUUUAGACCAAUUCGUCAUAUUGUUUAUUGACGACAUACUUGUGUACUAAAAGGAUAAGAAGCAGGGUGAGGAACAACUUCGAAUAAUACUCGAAACUUUAAGGAAUGAGGAACUACAUGCCAAAUUCAAGAAAUGUGAAUUUUGGGUUGAUCGCAUAGGUUUUCUUGUUCACGUGGUUACAGCCAAAGGGAUCAAAGUGGACCUUGCUACAGUGGAAGCAGUAACAAAUUGGCCAAGGCCGAGUAGUGUGGGUAAACUUCGCAGUUUCUUGGGAUUGGUGGGUUAUUAUAGAAGAUUUAUUGAAGGCUUCUCAAAAAUAGAAGGGCCAAUGAUUCAGCUAACAAGAAAGGGUAAGAAGUUUCAGUGGACAGAAAAAUGUGAAAAAUGUUUUCAAGAACUUAAGCAGAGACUAGAUUCAACUCCUAUACUGGCGAUACCUGAAGGUUUAGAGGGAUUUGUGAUUUACAGUGAUGCUUCCAAGCAGGGUUUAGGUUGUGCACCGAUGCAGCAUGGAAAAGUGGUUGCUUAUGCUUCCAGACAGUUGAAGCAAUAUGAACAAAACUAUCCAACGCACGACUUGGAACUUGCAGUAGUAGUUCACGCCUAAAAAAUAUGGCGUCAUUAUCUGAAUGGUAGGAAGUGUGAAAUUUAUACACACCACAAGAGUCUUAAAUAUUUCUUCACAUAGAAAGAAUUGAACAUGAGACAGGGAAGAUGGUUGAAAUAAGUGAAAGAUUAUGACAGCAUGAUUCAUUGCCAUCCGGAUAAGGUCAACGUAGUUGCAGAUGUCCUAAGCAAAAAGACGGGAUCACAGUUAGCAAUUCUGCCCAUGGUGCAGGAAUACUUGAUACGGGACUUUGAGAAACUAAGAUUGAAAGUUAUCACACCGCCGACUAAGACUACAGCAAUGAUUAAAGUGUUCAUGAUUCAACCUACACUUCAGGAUCGAAUUAAGGAAGAGCAAGAUAAGGAUCAAUUUCUAUGGAAGAUAGAGACUGAGAUUGGUUCAAACAAACGUAUAAGGUUUGAAGUAUCUGCAGAUAACGUGCUAACUUUCAAAGGAAGGUUAUGUGUACCUAAGGAUAAAAGUAUAAUAAAGAAAAUAUUGGAAGAUGCUCACUUUACCCCCAUAUUCGGCACAUCCAGGUGGUACAAAAAUGUAACGAGAUCUCCGAAAUACAUUUUGGUGUAGAAACAUGAAGAGAGGAAUUGGUCUACUCGUUGAAAAAUGUAUUAUGUGUCAGUAAGUCAAGGCUGAACAUCAAAGGCCAUCAGGACUAUUGAAACCGUUGAAUAUUCUAGAAUGGAAGUGGGAACACAUAAUAACGGACUUUGUGGUAGGUUUCUCAAGGUCAGCAAAAGGAUACAAUUAUAUCUAGGUAGUGGUGGAUCGUUUAACGAAAUCAGCCCAUUUUCUACCAAUCAAAGUAAACUUCAACAUGGAACAACUCACAUAGUUAUACAUCAAAGAGAUAGUCAGAUUACAUGAAGUUCCAGUCACAAUUAUUUCAGAUAGAGACCCAAGGUUCACAUUUAAAUUUUGGAAAAGUUUACAAACAGCCAUGGGGAUGAAACUGAAGUUUAUGACCCUUCGUCAUCCUCAAAUGGAUGGACAAUCAGAAAGAACCAUCCAAACUCUGGAUGAAAUGUUGAGGGCAUGUAUUUUGGAUUUUGGUAGUAGUUGGGAGACACGCCUACCUUUAGUGGAGUUUGCUUGCAACAAUAGUUUUCAGGCCACUAUAGGUAUGGCCCCAUAUGAAGCUCUUUAUGGUUGAAAGUACAGAUCCCCUAUCCAUUAGGAUGAGGUCGAGGAUAACAGAAUUUUGGGUCCUAAAAUCAUUGAACGAACAGUUGAGGCAGUUGAUAAGAUUAGAGCAAGAAUAAAGGCAGCACAAGACCGACAUAAAAGUUAUGUUGACAAUAGAAGAAUGAAUUUGGAAUUUAGUAUGGGAGAUAACGUUUUUCUUAAAAUAACACUCAUGAAGGGUGUAUUGAGAUUUGGUAGGAAGGGACAGUUGAGACCACGAUUUAUUGGACCUUUUGAGAUCCUUGAAGGGAUUGGUGUUGUGGCUUACCGAAUUGCCUUACCACCUGAACUUGCAGCUAUACAUAAUGUGUUCCAUGUUUCGAUACUCAGAAAAUAUGUUGGAGAUGCAAAAAGACUUGUCAAAUGAAGAAAUCCCGAGAAUGAUAGAAAAGUGCAUCAACUUAGAAACAAGGAAAUUUCCCUAGUCAAGGUCCAAUGGAAAAAUCAUGGAUUUGAUGAGUCAAUUUUGGAGAGAGAAGAGAAGCUAAACCAAGUAUAUUCAGAGCUCUUCGAUUAACUAAGGUAAAUUUUCAAAGGCAAAAUUAUUUUAAGGAGGGGAGAUUGUAAUGUCCCAAAAUUUCAUAGAUUAGAAUUUAAUUUAUGUGUACUAUAUUUUAACAUUUUGGAAGUUUAGGGACUAAAACAUAUAUAAAGUAAAUUUCAAUAUUAUCGGACAUUAAAAUGUAGAUGUUGACAAAGGGACGAUAAGUAUAUGAAUAUUGGGCUCGUUGGAAAGAUCGUAAUUAAUCAUGUAUGUUAGGCGCGAGAAAAAGUUAAUUUGAAUUAGCGAAGCCUAAGUUAUCAAGGUUGAAAGAUAUAGCGUUAAACUUAUAUUUUAAUUGAUAUAUAUAUAUAUAUAUAUAUUAUUAGUCACCAACCACCACCAAUAUAAAAGAAAAGGGGAGAGAGAGAGAGAAACUUUAUUAAUUCUAGUUUCAAUUUGUUGGCCAUGUGUAUGAGAUGUAUUGCUUGUUGAGUAGUAUAGUUGGUUGACAAGACUUGGUCAAUUAUUUUAUUUCAAAAGUCCGUUUCCCAAUUUUUAUCCACUCUCCUAUCCUACUUCUACAUGUUUCCCCAACUGCACACCUACCUUACUAGACUAGAUCAUGGGGUGAUAUAGAUGUAUAUCAAAAGGAGACAUAUGCAUAAGUACACAAUUGUGGAGAAAGAAGAAAGUUGAAAUCAGGUAAAUUACAGACUUCAUAUUUUAUGCAGUGUAAAAGGAAUCUUACUUUGUACCUUAAAAUUUAUAGAUACUUAUACCUGUGGUACUGAAAUUUAAAAUAAGAAGUCAAUUUCAAACUAUAUAAAUUCUUGAAGCGGGGAGAAGGAUUUUUGGAGUGUGAUUUCUUUGGUUUUGUCUUCCAAAAUUAAAACGAUCUAAUAAGGUAGGAUAUUAAAGUGCAAUGUUCUCUGUCCCGUUUAAUUAUUAUUUUUACAUGUUAAUGAAUUUUGUACUCAUGAAAGUUAAAGUUAUGAUAUGAAAUGCUAUGAUAUGAAUGAUAUGGCCAUUUCUGGUACAAUGAUAUGAUAUGAGCUUUUACCGGAUCUUAAAGAUAUGAGACGGUAUGAUAUUUUAACACGUCUUUAAAAUUAUUAUUCGGGAUCAGACCAUUAAAAAUUUAGAUCCUAAUGAGUAUUCCCACGUACUCACCAUUUUCUUUACAACUCAUCAUUUAGAUCGGAUCGUGUUGGAGCGUGAUGGUUCGAUGGUACGGUUGUGCCUCAUUUUUCGCUGGAAAAAAUUUAACACUUAAUUUUAUCUCUUUUAUUUUUGUUGUCGUGGACACUUAACUUGAUUGAAUUAUCGUUAAUGUUAUUUGUUGGAAUAUAGCAGUGAUUUUGCAAUUGCUCGUGCUUAUUGUUGGAUUUAAAACGAUGAAUUAUAUCUCUUUUGUCAUUGCCAACUAUUGCUUGAAUUGGAUUUUCACGUGCAAGACAAGGGGAGUUAAAUUACUUAAAUUGACUUAGAUGAUUUGAUAUUUAUUAUAACAUGUUUGGCCAUGCUCAAGCAACGCAUUAUUUCAUUGUUUGUGGAUGAGGAACAUCCUUUGAUGAACUAGUUGGCUUGUGUGUAACUUUAAUACUUCCUGGACAUUUGAUGUAGGUCAUAGGAUAUGAGAGUCAUAUAAAUCACCUGCUUGCUUACCAUCUUUGACUAAUUAAUUGGAUGGGGACAUAGUAUCCAAUAAAAUUUGCCUUUCAGUGGUUGAUGUACCCAAUAAAAUAAUAAAAAUGUGUGCCUUUCCUAAGAAUAAAUGAAUUAAUUUAUUAGUCUGUUAAGUUAACAUACAGAAUUGUAUUUGUAGAGACCUCUGCCUAUUUCCAUUUAUACGGUUCAGAAAUUAGUUCAUUCAUACGUCACCAUUUAGCCUCUUCUUUUCAAAUGAAUGAAUCAUAUGUGGUUUAAAAUAACAUUGACCAUUUUAUAAAUAAAUCUUUUGGUAGCAAUUCAAACCCUUAAUUAUUGGGUCGUUAUACGUUUCUCCAUUUCUCUUUUGUGAAAGAUAUAUUUUCCAAUAAUCCCAAAUGAUAUUUUGCAAUAGAGAACGAAACCACCAUGGUCACAAUUAAAUUGAUAGAUCAAGAUUUCGUCCAAUUGGAUCGCUUCGAUGGAACAAACUUCACGAGAUGGAAAGAUAAAUUGAAGUUUCUACCAACAGCGUUGAAGAUAUUCUAUAUUCUAGAUCAAGAAUUGGAACCACUACCAGAACCAAUGAAUGAAAAAAUCGAAGCCAUAAAAGCAGAAAGAUAAAAGCACCAAGAAGAUGAACUCAUAUGUCGUGGACAUAUUUUCAACACGUUAUCUAUAGAUUAUAUGAGUUCUACAACAAUACCUUUUCCGCAAAGGAGAUUUAGAAUGCAUUCGAAAGUAAGUAAAAGGCUAAAGAUGAAGGUACUAAGAAAUUUUUUAUUUCAAGGUAUUUUGGUUAGAUUUUAUACUGUAAUUCGCAAUUCUAUUAACAAAAAUGAUAUAAUUGAACUUUUGUAAAGUCAAGGACUUGGGUUGCAAUUUUUAUAGAUGAUUUAGGUUUGGGUUUGAGAUUGGAAUAAGGUAGAAGAUUCGCUGGAUUUUUGCUAGCUACUCGCCAAGUUGUUGCUCGAGCGUUAGAAACAGAACCAUCGUCCCUCGCUUGUCGUCCCUACGUCACUCGAGUGAAAAAGCUAUCGCUCGCUUUUCGUUAGAGUGUCACUCGAGGGACAGUAUCAUGUGGCCAAAGCUUAGGUCACGGUUUGAAGAAUGUUAGACGGCCUAUGACGCUUAUUUGCCCCCAACUCUAAAUACUAGAAUCAUGGAUGAAAUUCUAGAGGUUGUUACACUGUGCUUGCACUUCUACACCUAGUUAUAACAUCAAUUAAGAUCCAAGGAGUGCUACAUGUAUUGAUUCAUCGACAUUGUUCUUGUAAUCUGGCAACCAAGUUUUGGAAAACAUCUACAGUUUAAUAAUCCAAAACACCUGGCUUCCUCAAUUCAUUAAGGAAUGGACAUUCUCGUUGGGGAUUGAGAGAAGUGGACUUCAAGCGUAGAGAAAGCACCAAAGUAGGAGAUUCUUGAGAAUUCCACUUGGAAGAAGCAAUUUGUUUAAUGGUUAGUCUUCUCCUAGUACCACGGUUAAUAAUGUUGUCACUCCCAUCCCAUAGAAAACUAGUCUAAGGCUGAACUAGAUAAUUGUAACUAGAAUAGCAAAGCCCUACAUGCCCUUUUUAUGGUCGUGUCACCAGAAGAGUGUAGGAGAGUGUCCAUGUGUGAGGUUGCGAAAAAAGUUUGGGAUAUCUUAGAAACCACACAUGAGGAAACUCAGGUAGUUAAGAAUUCGAAGCUGCAGAUGCUGACCACUAGGUUUGAAGAAAUUAGAAUAAGAGAUGAUUAAACUUUUAAUUUCUUCUUUGCGAGCGUAACUGACAUAGUAUAUUCUAGCUUCAUCUUAGGAGAGAAAAUCCCCGAGCCUAAGAUAGUGAGAAAAAUUCUUAGUUCCUUACCUAAGCGUUUCAGACAUAAAUUCAUGAAAAUUGAGGAAAGUAAGGACAUAGGUACUAUCAAGGUGGAAGAGUUAGUUGGAUCCCUCCAGACCAAUGAGCGGACUUUAGAUAAACCUGUUUAGGAUAAGCCUUUGAGCCUAAAAUCUGUGAAGAACAAUCAGACUAAAUCUUUUGAUUCAGAUUCACCAAAUGAUAAGGAGUCAGCCUACCUAGCAAAGAAAUUUCAAAAGAUGAUUAGGAAUAAAAAGAAAUCUCAGGAGAGACAAAGAGGUGGCCUGAAUGAAUCUAGGAGAAAAUGAAAUUGGUGAGGUGCCAUAACUGUCAAGGCUUCGGUCAUGUAAGGAAUGAGUACCCUAGUACUAGAAGAGUUGAGGAAAAGGCUAUGAAUUCUACCCUCAUUGAUGAUGAAUCUAGUUCGGACAAUUAGAGUGAGAAAUCCACUCGUGAGGAAAGUGGAAGAUAUGUUACCUUUGUUGCUAGGGUUACGAGUGGAUUCGUCCAGGGAGUGGGAGAUAUGAGGACAUGGUUAGUGGUGAGGAAAUUGAAAAUGAGGAAGAUAUCUAAGAGGCAUAUGAGAAAAUGUAUCAGGAGAGUCUUAAAAUUCUUUGUAAGAACAAAGCCUUAAGUACGAUGGUUAAGGAGCUUUAGCUGGAGAAAGAGAAGUUAGUAGCAUGCAAUAAGGAAUCUUUCACAAUCCUGAGUGAACUUAAAAUGAUUAAUGAAUCUUUAUAGUCUCAGGUUAAGAAUCUUACCAGUGAGCUUGAGAGGUCCUCUAUGAAAGUCAAUGAGCUGACCGCCAAGAAUGAGACUUUAGAAAUCAAGGUUAUGAACCUUGUAACCGAUCUAGAACUUGAAUAGAAAUAGGAACAUGAACCUUAAUAGGAAUAAAAAUUAGAUGUAUGUGGGUCAUAUUGGAUUCCUUACUAAUCAAGUGAAUCAUUCGACCAAGCUGGUGACAUAGUUGUCUAGGAACUAUUCUCCCACUAGACAGGUAUGGGUGAAGAAGAGUGAUCAGCAAAACCUUGAGAUAGAUCACGAAGCUCUUAAGGGAAAGAGCACUCUUAUACCUAAAUGAAGAGGUAUUCUUGGUGCAUGCUUGUUUUUAACUAUCAUAUGAUUUAUGCAUGCAUCACUUUUAUUUGUUGUUUAAUUUAUUUAUUUAUUAUUUUUUUUGUAGUGGUUUCAUACAUGUGCAUUUCUAUCGUGUUUGCAUUGGCACAUGCAUAUUUUGUUGUGUUUUUGGGUGCUUAAAUUUUUUUUUCUUUUUUUGUGUGAGAGAUUCAUUUUUGAAAAAGAAAAACACAAAAAAAAAUGAAAAAUGAAAAACAAAAAAAAAAGGUAUGUUGGAAAUGAAAUUUUUACUGCAGCACAAUGUAUAAUAUUCUUAAAUUUGUAUGUUGGGAUCAUGUAUGAGCUUGUGGAGUACUUUGUAUAGGUGUUUUCAUGUAUCAUUUGCACUGCACACACUAUGACACUGUUAGUAAGACUCUAUCGCACCUAUGAGAUUUGGGAUGGUUGUCACAUGUUAGUAGGGUGACUUUGAACAUGAAUUGAUCGAAUUUAUUAGACCUAAACUCAAAAAUAUUCCCCGAUCAUAUAAAAGCUCAGUAGCUUAAUGUUUUUCUUCGGGGCCUACUUUACUCGAGUAAUUGGGCCAAUGGGGUUCUUUAAAACGUGGUGCCUAUGGUCAACUGACUUGAAUUAAUCGGUCUAAAGUUCGUUACAGAGGUCAUCAUAAUCACCUAAUGGAAAAGAACUUGUACUUAAGAUGAAACAUGAAUGAGCUUGGAAAAUGUGAAAGAUAUAACGAGCUAGAAAAUGUGAAAAUUUUAAAAAUAUAAAUGCUCGAAGUUAAGGGGAGAAAAAUGAAUAAUAAGUAUAUAUCAUAAUGCACUCACAUGGUUUGACAUUCAUAAAUCGGAGAAUAUACAUAUUGAUAGUGAUUAGCAUGUACCUUCUCACAAAAUUAAGGUUUGGAGUUCUGCUUGUAUUGGAUUAGUGACACUUAACACACACAUGAGUCACUUAUAUAAUUUACUCCACUCUAACUUAAAAUGAGUACGUGGGGAGGUUUACUGCUUGUCAAUUAUACUUUUGCAUGCUACCAACUUCAUUUCUAAAUGGUUAUUUGUUAUUGCUUUAAUUGAUUUGAUAUCAUUCCCUUCAGUAUCUGUGACAAAAGGAGGAGAAAAUAUGGAACUGAGGGGGAGAGAAUAAAAGGCAUAUACAUAGGGAGAGCGAUUACAUUGCAUUUGUUAAUAUUUUUGCAUUUUAUGUCUAGGGGUCGUUGGGAAAAGACAUAGAUACAUUGUGUUACUGAACAAAAUUCAUGAGAGAUUGUAGGAAGGGAGAGCAUUGCAUUACAUUCCUGUUUAAGUUUUAAUGCAAUCAUAUCCAUUACUAUUUGAGUUUUGAUGUUUAUUGAUGUUGGUGUUUUAGUUGACAUCAAUUUGAUGUCUCAAACUAGCAUGUUGAUUUGUGAUUAAGUGCUUUAUUUGUUAUAUGUCAUGUAUUACGUGUUUUAUACUGGGUAUGUGAGCGUUGGAUUUCAAGAAACAUGUUUAACAAGGAAUGAAGACUCAGUGAUCGGGUAUACUAGGUAGAAUAGGUUAUUUGUUUUCAAGUCUUGACUUAUUUUGUAUAGAUUUAUCACAGAAUGCCAAAGGGGGAGAUUGUUAGGUUUUAUAUUGUAAUUGGGAAUUUUGUGAACAAAAAUGACAUAAUUGAACAUUUGUAAUAGUCAAGGACUUGGGUUGCAAUUUGUAUAGAUGGUUUAGGUUAGGGUUUUAGUUUGGAAUAAGGUAGAAGACUCACCAAAUUUUAGCUAGCUGCUCACCAAGUUGUUGCUUGAGCAUUAGAAAUAGAACCGUUGUCGCUCGCUUGUCACCCCUGUUUCGCUCAAGUGAAAAAGUUGUCGCCUGCUUUUCUUUGCUAGAGUGUCGCUCGAGCGAUAGUGUCACGUGGGCAAAUCUUAGGUCGUAAUUUGAAGAAUUUUACACAGCCCACGGCACUUAUUUUUCCCAACUCUAAAUACUGAAGUCAUGGACGGAAUUCUAGAGGUUGUUACAUUGUGCUUUCACUUCUACACAUAUUUAUAACAUCAUUAAGAGAUCCAAAGAAUACUACAUUUAUUGAUUCGUCAACAUUGCUCUUGUAAUCUGGAAACCAAGUUUUGGAAAACAACAACAAUUAAAUAAUCCAAAACACCAGGCUUCCUUAAUUCAUUGAGGAAUGGGCGCUCUCGUUGGGGAUUGAGAAAAGUGGACUUCAAGCGCAGGAAAAGCACCAGAAUAGGAGAUUCUUGGAAAUUCCACUUGGAAGAGGCAAUCAAUUUAAAAUUAGGAGGCUGGAAGAAGAAGAUAGCAGAUCUUGUGGGCUACAGAAGGUAGAAUAGGAAGUCUAGUGGAAUGGCUAGACAGUAUCUACGACAGUAGAUCGUGAGACUGGAAGAUGGACAAUGGGUCUUAGAGAUUGUAAAAAUAACAACUGCUAGAACUGGAGGGACUUGCUAGUUUGGAAUCAUACUACAAACCUGAUUGACUAUAGUAGAGGUAACUGUUUUGCUCCAGGAGUUUUUCCCCACAUUGGGUUUCUCCGUCAACAAAUUGUGCGUAGCUUAUUUUUUUCCAUAUCAUUACAAUUGCGGCAUUCAAACUUAGGAAAAAUGGACUUGUGUGUUUAAUCAUCUAGAAAACUAAUUAAAAGUGACUUGUUAUUUUAAUCAGUAUAAUUUCACAUGUAAGGUCGAAAUAAUAAAUUGUCUAGAACGUAAACUUGGUAAUUCUAAAAUUUGAAGUUGUUUCUAGACCCGAACUCACAAGUAGUCAAGAGCGUUCUAGACGGUCCUUCAAUUUUGAUUUUAAAUUUCUUGAAAACAUUUCCCUCCUUUCCAAAUCCAUGAAUUACAAGUGUUUAUCAACAAAUUAAAGGCUGUCAAAAUUGAAAUUUUGGAAACUUUCCAAGUGGGAGCAAUUAUUGCAAAAGUUCCGGGGACUUGGAAAGGAUAUCGAAAGAAGAUCAUGCAUUAUUUCGAAGAUUACACUUUGGAACAAUUGUAGAAACAUCUUCGCAUCAAAGAGAGGUUUAAGAUACAAGAAUGACAAGUCUUAUGAAGGCACUUCAAAGGCCAAUGCCGUGGAAAAGACCGAGCCUUCUAAAUCUAACAAAGGAAAGCUUCAAGGAACUUUAACAAGUCCAAGAAGAAGACCAAAGGUGGUUGUUUUGUGUGUGAAAAACCUGGGCAUUAUUGAAAUGAAUGUCGACACUGGAAAUGAAACGACGCUGAAGGAAAGGUAAACUCCAUCAAAGAAGACAAUAUUGUGACCAACGUAAUCGAGAUCAACGCUAUCAAGGGAAAGGUUCCCGAUUAGUGGUAUGAUACAUGUACAAUCGUACAUGUAUCAUAUGACAUUAUUUGAAACAUAUAAUGAAGUUGAUGGAGGUCAAGAGAUUCAAAUGGAUAAUGAAGUCCCCUCUAAGGUUGUUGGGAAAGGAAAUGUAGAAAUUAUCUUCACUUCCGUCAAGACCAUUACUUUGACAAAUGUUCUACAUGUUCUUGACAUGAAUAUGAACUUAAUCUUUUAGGAAAAUCAGGCAUCAAAUGUGUUUAUGAGUCCGGUAAACUUGAAUCAUUGCUAAACGAAAAAUUUGUUCGUAAAUGCGAUUCCUGUGAAGGAAUGGUCAAACUCUAUACCGUUGAUAAAUUAAAUAAUAAUAAAGUUGAUUUUGCUUAUAUUGUUGAUUGUUUUACUUUGUGGCUUGCUAGGUUAUGACACAUGGAUAAAAGUACUAUGAAAAGAAUGUUGAAAUCUUAUUUGAUUUCAUACAAUGAAAAUGAGUUAUUUAAAUGUAAAAUAUGUGUUAAAUCUAAAAUGACUAGAGAGCCAUAUCAAAGUGUAAAAAGAACUUCUAACAUUUUAGAAUUAAUUCAUAUGGAUAUAUGUGAAUUAAAUGGCAUGUUAACUAGAUAUGGAAAUAGGUAUUUCAUUACCUUUAUAUAUGAUUUCUCUAAGUAAAUAAAUAUGUAUUUGAUAAAGCACAAACAUGAGGUAUUUGAUAUGUUUAAGGUAUAUAAAAGUGAAGUUGAAAAUCACCUUAGUAAAAAAAUAAAAAUACUAAGAAUUGAUAGAGGUGGCGAGUACAUCUCUAGCGAUUUUAACUUGUUUUGUGAACAAUAUGGUAUUAUUCACCAAUAUUAUGUACCUAGGACACCUGAACAAAAUGGCUUGGCUGAAAGAAAAAUAGAACUAUGGUGAAAUGAUAAACGUCAUGUUAACUUAUGCUAAGUUUCCAUUUAAUUUGUGGGUGAAGCUUUAUUGAGUGCAUGUAGGAUUAAUAGGAUUCCUUAAAAAUUUACAAAGGUUUCACCUUACGAAUAUGAAAAAGAAAGGAAACGAAACAUUGGAUAAUUCAAAGUGUGGGGGUGUCUUGCUUAUUGCAAGAACAUGAACCCUAAUAAGACUAUAUUGGGUUCAAGAGGCAUUAAAUAUUCUUUUAAUACAUAUGCUAGUAAUAGCAAGUCAUACAGAUUGUUAAACUUGAAGACCAAUGUGAUAAUUGAAUCUAGUGACAGAGUUUUUUGAGAAUUCAUUAUCUUCGGAUAAUGAAUUAAGGGAAAGUCAUAAAGAAAUUCAAAACUCUAGUAGAACACAAGAUGAAACAUCUUCUAAAGAUGUUAGUGAAUCUAGUAAAUCUUGAAUGAGCAAAAGAACUCGAAUUGAGAAGUCUCUAAGACCGGAUGAAAUUGGCUCUCAACAUAUUUUCUGUUACAUAGUAGAUAGAAGAAAGACGAAUGUUGUAAGAACGAUUCCUUUUAUUCUACAAGUGAAAAUCAACCCUAGGACUUAUAGAGAGGCUAUAGCUUCUCGUGAUAGCAUCUUUUGGAAAAGAAGUAACUAAAGAUGAGAUAGACUCAAUUAUGUCCAAUAAUAAAUGGGAGCUUAUCGAUUGACGACCAAAUCCAAACUUAUUGGUUGUAAAUGGGUAUUUAGGAGAAAAUAUAAUGUUGAUGGUUAUCUGAAUACCUUUAAGGUUAGACUAGUAGCUAAAGUUUAUCGACAAAUGGAAGAAAUAAAUUAUUUGUAACUUAUGCACGAGUAGCUAGACUAACAUCAAUUAUGAUAUUAUUUGCAUUGACUUCAAUAUAUGAAUUGCAUAUUCAUUAAAUGAUGUCAAGAUGGCAUUCUUAAAUGGGGAUCUCAAUAAGGAGGUUUGGGUUUGCACUAUUCGGAUAUGAGCAUAAGGUAUGCAAGUUAGUGAAAUUGUUAUACGGUUUAAAGCAGGCACCUAAAAUGGCAUGAGCAAUUUAACUUAGCUAUAGUAUCAUUUUAUUUUAAAUACAAUAGCGAAAACAAAUGGUUUAUAUUCGAAAGAAUGUGAUAAUUAUUUGAUAUUUAUAUGCUUAUAUGUUGAUGACACGUUGAUUAUAAGUAAUCACAUGAAUGGAACAGAAGGAACGAAGAGGUUUCUAUUUUUCACAUUUAAAAAUAAGGAUCUUACAUAGGUGGAUACCAUAUUGGGUAUCAAAGUCACUAAGACUAGUAGGGGUUACAAUCUAAGCCAAUCACAUUAUAUCGAGAAUGUGAUAAACAAGUUUAAACAUUUGAAUGUAAAAGAAUAUAAUAUCCCAAUUGAUCCAAGUUCAAAGCUUGUAAAGAAUUAUGAAAGGGCAAUUACUCAAUUGGAAUAUAUGAGUGCUAUUGGAAGUCUUAAGUAUGCUAUAGCACCCCGAAAAAAAAUGUGUGUGUGUGUGUGUGUAAUAGAAAAAAAUAUAUUAUUUGUUUUAUUAUAUAUAUAUUUUAAAAAGUUGGGGACUAAAAUGGAAUAAGUUUUUAAUUUCUAUUUUAGUUAGGCUAAAUAAUUAGAUAAUGAUGGAAUAAGUUUUGGUAUAUCAAUAUUGGACUCAUUUUGUAGGUUGUAAUUAAUUAGAAGUUUUCGACUCAAAAUAAAGUUAUUAUGGAUAAGAAUGCAUUAAGUUUGAACCAAUUGAAAGAAAACAGGAUAGAUAGAAUUUUAUAUAAGUGAUAAUUAAAUUCAAUUUCUCUCCCUAGAAACGUGUGAGGUGGGUAUUAAAUUUUUAAUCAUUUUUUCAGUUUAAUAUUAACCCAUUUUGAAUUUGAUAGAAUGGCUGCCACGUCUAUAUUGGAUAAGGAUAGUAGUUCUUUUAGGUGGAGUAAAACAAUGAUAAAGUACAAUCUUUUUUAUGAUACACGCAACAUUGGAUUUGACUCUAUCAAAUAAAUUUUUUAUAUAUCAAUUACUCUAGCCUACACUUAUAUAUAGGCAUGAUGGAAGAGUUUUACAUACCCAAAUUCAAAUAUACAUUUACUAGAGAGAGAGAGAGAGAGAGAGAAUAGUGUUGGAAAUCUAAUACUUUGCGUACGUCAUUGUCAAUCAGUACACUUUCAUCGGAGUAGAGAAGUUGAGAAAAGAAUUAGGACACGAGCAAUUAUAUUUCAUUUUAUUUAACAAGGUAAGAUACUUUUAAAAGUAUUUUCAUUUCCUUAUGUUUCUAUAUUCAAUUAAAUAUACAUGGAUUGUCAGUGGACCUUCAGGUUCUAUAAAAAGAGAGAAAAAAUCCUACGGGAUUAUAAGAGGACCUAAGAUGGAUGUAUUGUUUGGUCACCGAUAUACUCCAUAAGAGCAGAGUGGUAUGAAGUAUAGAUUUUAUUUGUUAUAUAAUUGUGUGUAAAAACUGCACAUAUCUUACUGAGUAUUUUUGAAUGCUCACUCGUACAAAAUUUUACAUGUUAGCUCGGGUUGUUUGGAACUGUGACGAAUUGGUGAUGCGGACUGCCAACGGGAUCCAAAGAAAAAGGAAAAUAAAUAUUUAGUUUUUCUUUUUAUGUCUCUAAAUUAUUUGUCAAUUUUAUUUGUUCAAAAACUCGUUUUUGUUUAUUUUAAAUUAAUAUUUAUGGUUGAAAAUAAAGAAUUUCUUUUAUUUGAGUCGUUCCGCAAUUAUUAAAAAGAAAAUUAAGUUUUUCGUAACACUCCAACUUUUAUGAAAAAAUUUGGGGCGUUACAUAUGCAGUUCAAUACAUGAGACCAGACAUAGCCCAGCCUUUGCAAUUAGUAAACUUAGUAGAUUUACUUGUAUUCCGAGCAAUGAUCAUUGAAAGGUCACUGGAAGGGUUCUUGAAUAUCUAAAGAAAACUAAGAAUUUAAGCCUACAAUAUACUAAAUUUUCGACUGUAUUGGAAGGAUUUACCGAUGCUAGUUGAAUAUUUAGCAUAGGUUCAUGUUGGGUGUUACUCUUGGAGGAGGUGCUAUUUCUUGGAAAUAAACAAAAAAAAAAAAGAAAAAAAGGCACAUACAUGUAUAACACACUCAACUAUGGAAUCUAAAUUUGUAGCACUAUAAAAAAAUCGAGAAAGAAGCCGAGUGGCUUAAGAAUCAUCUUUAUAAGAUACCUUUAGGACUGAAGAAUAAAUCAUCAAUACCUAUCAUGUGUGAUAGUCAAGUCACUUUAGCAAAAGCAGAUAAUGAAGCAUACAAUGAAAAGUCUAGACAUAUGAGUUUUCGACAUGACUAUAUAAGGAAAUUAAUCAAUGAUGGAAUAAUUUAAUUUUCCUAAAUCAUGUAAAGUCAAUCGAGAACUUAAUGGAUCCUUUAACUAAACAUCUAAAUAGAGAUUUAAUAGCAUCUACUUCGAGUAUGAUGGGGUCGAAACUCCUCAACUAAAAGGUCUACCAAUGACAGCAACCUUACUUGUCGUCACUCAAAAGGUAAUCUACAAGUUCAAAGGGUAACAAUAAGUCAUUCGAUAUGUGGAUGGUUUUAGGAUUAUUAAAAUCAGCAAUAACCAUAUCCUAAUAAGUAAUGCUAGUUGUUAUCGUAGUGAGGGUUGAGCUAUAAGCUCUUAAUGAAGUUCAAUACUAAAUACAAGUAUCCUUAAAAGUAACAAAGAUACUGGAACAAUUUCACCUAGAUAAACUUCGAGAUGGUGCUGUCUAAAUAAAGAGUUGGAGUUUCUCUCUUAAAAGUUUGUUGAAAAUGAUAAGCGCAAGGCCAUAUUAGCACUAAGGGAGUUUGAGGAAAUCGAGAACACAUGAUACUUGUGUAGGUGUUCUCACCGGUAUUGUCACAUGAAAUAAAUGGUUCAAACGUUCAUGUUACCUUUGAUUCCAACUUUACUCUGUAAAAAAUACACUAUGUUUAUAUUCAAAUCGAAAGAUAUUUAAUCAUUAUGCAUAAGUAUUGUAUACUUUGAUUAUGAAAUUUUAUUGAAUAUUGAACAAAUGGGGAAUUAUUGUAAUGUCGUUCAACCUUAAUAAAAUAUAAGUGUGGAAUGAAAAUAGGAAUUGAUGGUCGGAAGUUUGGCCUACCCGACCGCACAGGCCAGAUGCCCAUGUGGUUGCAUGGUGUCAUGCAGGGACUAAACGACCUACAUGACCUUGCUCUAUGUGAUAGUGUAGGUUUGUUAUAUGUGGUAUACGGUUACAUAGAACAAAUAUGUUAUUGUUGAUGACCAUUUUUGACCAUUUUGAUUUAAAUUUUUGGAGGCUUUUCACCACAUUUUGGCACCAUUUCGUGUGGACUGAUCCAUGCCUAUAAAUAGGUGAGUAUGUUCAACACAUAAACAAUUGAAAAACAUUUAUGACCUAUACAUCACUCACAAACAAAGAUCAAAACUAUAUUCUAUUCAAUAUUCAAAGUUCCUCCCUUGUGUUCUUCAAGUUUUGGGAGAUUUCACUUGUGUUUGAUGAUAAUCUUUUUCAAGGCUUGUUAAAAUUCUGCAAACCAUUUGUCAAGAUCCCUCAAACCAUUUUACUCAAUCUAAGAGGACGCAAAUAUCGUUUGAGGACAACGAUAUCGUAUUUGAGCCUUCAUCUUGAUAUCUUGAUCCCAGAGGUCAACGUUUUAGAUAACAAAAAUAUCCAAAAGCUUAAAAUUAAUACAUUUUAAAAAAGAUAACAAAUUCGAAAAAUAUAGACAACCCUUGAGAAUACCAAAUAUUAUAAAGACACUAUCUCUCUCUCUCUCUCUCUCUCUCUCUAUAUAUAUAUAUAUAUAUAUAUAGUACCAAGUAAUGUGGCACACUACAAUAGAUGAUAAAAAAUAAUGGUUAAUUUUAAGAUUAAUUACGCCACCUAUUUUAGUGUACCACCCAAGCACGUAUGUCAUUCCAAGAUGUUUAAAAAAUCAAGGCCAUUGAUUAUUUUAAAUGUUGUUAAAAUCAAUGGCAAAUAUGUGUAACAUGUCAUGAAGUGUAAACAAAGCUGUCAAUCAUGAUGUAAUGUAUGAAAACUGAUUUUGAAAUUCUUAUUACAUAGAUUUAAACUAUAUUUUCCUUUAUUAAUUCUUAAUUAUACUUUUUCACACUUUUAACUGAGAUGAGAUAAAUAGUUUUAGUUAAAAGAAAUAUCAUGAUAAAUUGUCAUAAUAUCUUAAAAUUUUGAAAAAUACGAUUUAUUUUUCAAAAAAAUUAUAUGUUUUGCCGAAAUGAUUGACAAAUAUUUAACAAAUCACCAUAAACACUUGUUAUAGAAUAAUUGAAUAAUGCAGAUUAAAAAUAGUUUGAAUAAUUUAAAUUUCUUGAUUUAGUAGUAUUUUCUCUAAUUUCAUGAUUUAUUAAUUGGUAUAUUAUUAAUUUGGUGGGAGUUGGUGGGGGUGGGGUAGGAGUAGGUGGGGAUAAUUAAUUCUAAUUAAUUGUAUAUUAUAUAUAUUAUUUACAAUUAAUUGGAAUUACACUUGAAUUUUGAAAUAAUUUGACAAGUUUGCUAAUUUUAAAAUGUGAUUCUUAUAUGUCGGAGUUAUAUAUUAUUCUCCUAUAAAUACCCAUCAAACGAACUUGUCAAUUCACCAUUGAAGUGGGAAGCAUUUCUUCGAUUUACUAUCCAAAUUUUGAAAGUGAAAUACGGAAAUGGAUAACCAAAUCCAUGCAUCUGCUACUCCAUCUUCCACCAAAAAUAUGAGAUUCAGGAUACUCAUCGUUCUAUCACGUAUCAUCCUACCAUUUGGGGAGAUUAUUUCCUUGUGUAUACUUCUAAUGUAAAUCAGCUUGACCUUUUGUUCUGUUGGGAAUUUACUUAAACAUGCAUAGCAGAAAUAAAACAAUUUCAAUUCACACCAGGAUUCAUCUUUGUAUUUAGAUAAGAAUUGUGAUGAGAAUUAUAACUUUUCUUGAAUUUGCGAACUCCUUUGCAUUAUCUUUGUUCCAGCAACUUGGAUCUACUUUCCACAGCCGUCCAAUUGUCUAGCCUCUAAUGAAAAUCCACACAAAAAAUAGAUUGCAACUGCUGGGGUUUUUUUCUCUUGUGCCAGCAAGAAUUAUGAAAAACUAUAUGGAUCUAAAAUCCUAGCCAUGUAUUUAUAAGCCCAAACGGGCACGGACCGAUCUGAUCCAAUAUUUAAUUAAUCCAUUUAAUUAAAUCCGAUCCGUGAAUUAAUUAAUCAAAUUAAUUAAUUCAAGGCUAUAAAUAACCAAUCCAAUUAAUUAAUUUAUCCAACGAUUGUUAAAUUAAUUAAUUGGCAAUUUACAAUCUUCCAAUUCUCUUUUGUGUGCAACCCAUUAGGUUCCCGACCACAAUGUCUAACGACGUGAAAUAUUAUUUUGAUCUAAUAAAAAUGAUAAAUUAAACACCCUUAUAAUUUAUGACAAAUUCACACUCGCCGUCCCAGAUUAACAUCUAGCAAUGUAUCAGGGCAACACAUGUUGCCUAACGACGUGAAAUAUUAUUUUGAUCUAAUAAAAAUGAUAAAUUAAACACCCUUUUAAUUUAUCACAAAUUCACACUCGCCGUCCCAGAUUGACAUCUAGCAAUGUAUCAGGGCAACACAUGUGACUGGAAAUAUCACGUGGUAUGACAAAAUCAAAACUGUUCGUUUACCAUGAAACUAUAAUCCAUUCGUCAAUAUGAUCCGAUCAAUUACGAGAUAUAGAAGUCUGUCAAUCUCGAUUAUCGAUCAUAUCUUUCAUUCUACUAUUAAGUCAAUAUGAGUCGAAAACUCCUUUUCGACUUAUGUGUAUACCUUGGCCAAGGAUUUCAUUAUUGACUUAAUUGAACGAAAUGCAGAUCACAAUCUCUUUCUAUCUAAAAGUCACGAAUCCUCUAUUGGUUAUUCACAACCUUCAUAUGGUUCUUGACAUACCCAAACGAUAUCGUAUUAGUGGUAGUGGUCCUUGGUAGAGCAACAUCCAACACCGUCAAAGCAUGAUUGUCCUCAUACAAGGCACUAUGAUGACUUCAAGUCAUAGGACCAAUCCCACUACCGAACGUUAGAGAUUAACCACUGACACUCAGAUAGUUAUCUAUGUGGAAUCUCUUAGCAGGUCUCCAAUAUUUUGCUCUACAAUAAAACAUCCACGUGUUCAUUUAAGUGUAACCACACUUUAGCUUGUGAGAUCAGCUACUUACUUCACAAGUAGGAAAUGUCACACGUGAUGGUCUAUCUGUAAUAACGAUAUCCAUAUCUCAUUACUACUUACGACCACGGAUUAUUCAAGAUCUAAUUAAACGUAAUUUGUAUCUCACAAUCACAACUCCUUGUGAUUAACAAAUCACUUAAACUUGAAUCUUCGUACUCUAUUAUUUAAUAUAAUUUAUCAAAAAAUUAAUUUAAAUAAAUAAUAGAUCUUGCCAAAAUUAAAUACAUUAAACAUAUUAAACGUGUUUACAACCUAAAUCGGUUGAAUCUAGGGCAUAACACUCACAUGUUCUUCGUUAAUUAACUGAAAUAUAAUUGUGUUAAAAAGUUAAAUGGAUGCUUCCACUUACUUGAGCAGGAUAUAUUGGCCCACGAAGAGCAAGAACGUCAAAGAUUAAAAGAUGAAGUGAAAAUGUUGCUAACAGCUGCUCCAGAUGGUUCGGUGUAUAAACUAGAUCUCAUCGAUGCAAUCCAACAUCUUGGAGUUGGUUACCAUUUUGAAAUAGAAAUUGAAAAAUCUUUAAAAUACAUCUAUGAAACUUAUCGUGAAAGUCACAAUAAACAAAACAAUGAUCUUCGUGCUAUUGCUCUUCGAUUUCGGUUAUUUAGACAACAAGGAUAUUAUGUCUCAUGUGGUAAGUAAUUUUUGUUUACGUGAUUCAUAACAUUUUGGGAAAUUGAAUUGACAAUAACAUAUGUAUGCACAUGUAAUAAAAGAUUGUAAUAUGCUUAUUUUCUUAUGCUUCUAAGCAAGUCAAAUAUACUUUAUACAAGUUAGUUAUGAUUUUUAAAGCUACUUUUUUACUUACAAAAUUAACUUUUCUUUAACAUGACCAAACAUGAAUAUGGUACAUUUAAUGAUUUUUCGGGCUGAGGCAGAUGUGUUCAACAAAUUCAAGGACAGCCAAGGAGAAUUUGAGGAUUCUUUGAUUCGCGAUGUACCAGGGAUGUUAAGCUUGUACGAGGCUGCACACUUUGGAGUACACGGGGAGGAAAUUUUAGAAGAAGCAUUGAAGUUUUCUACCUCUCACCUCGGAUCCAUGAUCCACCAGGUGAGCAAUUGUCUCUCCAGACAAGU